AUCAGAAUAUAGGAGCUUUGUCUGUAAAACUGUCAGCAGAGGAAAUGGCGGAACUUGAAUCUUUUGCUUCUGCGGGAGUCAAGGGUGAUAGGUAUGGGCCUGGCCUUGGUACUUGGCAAACUUCUGAAACUCCACCUUUGUCAACCUGGAAGAGAACAUGAAGACAUACUUUGUUAUUGCAAUAAUUCCUUCUAGCUAUGUGCCUGAUGGUGGAUUCCACUAUAUUAAGAGUUGAGUGAUAUGUAUUUGUUCCAAUAAAGUUUGACAUACUAUUGUCUCUAGGGUUAAGGCAAGUAAAGUUAUAAGAAGAAUGGAGUUUCUUCAGAGGUUGUAAUGAAUAAAUAUCUGGUCAUGUAAAAGCAGAAUAUAAUUUUCCUUGCAGUUGAAUGCAUUAAAGGUUAUAUAUUGUACUUUUGAAUGCUAUAGUGGUCCAUUUUUUAUGUGCUACUGCUACGAGAGUUAUAGAUUGUCGAACAGCAUUCAAUUCAGGACUUAUUAAACAUAAGCAUAUAAACAUUUUAUGCUCGGAAUAUUUACAUCAAAAGAAACUCCAAGGUCACAUCAUUGUAAAGUGUAAACUACAUCAUAUUAAUAAAAAGCAAAAAAAAAGGUCUAAAUGAGGAAAAAAAUGUACUAUAGAAGAAGUCAACAAUGUCAUGUAAUCAUUUUAUCCUAAAAUUGAGAUUCAAAUUUAGUUGAUUUGUAUUUUGAGUUUCCUCUUUGAUGGGAAAUGUAUCUCAGAACUUUAACUCCAACAGUUGAUGUUUCCUACUUGGAGUACUCAGUCCACCUUGAUGCAUUGAUCUUUCCCCUGAACUUGUGCCCGUCAAACAAUAUUUCUGAUCAUCUUGAAGUAAUUAGUACCAUCUGUUCAUUACUCCCUUUUGAUUUCUUGCAUUAUAGUUUCCUCUUUAAUGGGAAAUGUAUGUCAAGAUCUACCUUCUACAAUUGAGAUUUCUUAGAGUACUCAGUCCACCUUACUAGAUUGUUCUUUUCCGUGAACUUUGUUCACUUCAAACAUUACUAUGAUCAUCUUGAAGUUAUUCGUAUUGUUGUCUUUUGUAGACGACACAUGCUUUACUAAUUACUGCACUUUGAAUUUCUGCAUUGCAGUUGCUUAAAUUUUGAAAUUCAUACAAUUUAGAAUAUGCCAAGGUUUCAAGUAGAGAAUUUGGAGCACAACAAGAAGUUGUAUGAGCGGGGUCAAUGCCAUUGCUUCAAGGAAGAGUUGUACUCCAUCACAGCAAGCGUUGGCCUGGGUCCAUACCAAGGCAAUGAUGUUUGUCCCAUAACUAGCACUACCAAGAUUGGAAACCUCAAUCAGAAUAUAGGAGCUUUGUCUGUAAAACUGUCAGCAGAAGAUAUGGCUGAACUUGAAUCUAUUGCAUCAGCUAGAGUCAAGGGUGAUAGAUAUGAUCCUGGCCGUAUCAAGGGCAGAGGUUAUGGGAUCUGAUUAUGGGCAACUGAUUAUGGAAUCUAUUCUAUCAUAAUUGCAAAGAUUAUGACUGAAAUUAUGGGAUCUGCUCUAUCAUGUAUAUUAGCUGUAUAUUAGCAUAUGUGUCAUUAAUAUAUCAGAUAGGUAGAUAUAUUCUUACAUAGAAUAGAAUGUACAGAGUUUCUAUUUAAUGGAAAAGAUGCACAAAAGACAGCAUUCAGUCUUUGAUCUAGAAAAUUGUCAUGGUAUCAGAGCUGGUUAUUUGAAUUUCUGUGUCUUUCAAAAUUUGCUGAGUUGUUAUUCUUCUUGGGUUGAUUAUUUUGAUCAAUCAUUUGGUUUCAAGAUAUCAUUUUGGGUCAAUCAUAUUGUGGUUGGCAGCCUUUCUUGUAAUUCAGAUCUUUGUUUUUUUGAAAGUAUGUCUGUGGCAAACUCUUUGGGAAAAACACAUACGGAAUCUUUGUCUAUCAAGUUCAUUGGGAAAAAUUAUGCAGCAUGGGAUUUAGAAUGUUUCUAAAGGCAAAGAGCUUUGGAGUCAUAUUGAUGGGUCUUCUACAGAACCUAGAGAUGGAAAAGAAUUUAGUCAAUGGGAGGCAAAGGAUGCUAGAAUUAUUUCUUGGAUUCUAGCAUCUAUUGAAGCUCAUAUGGUGAAUAAUUUACACUCCUUUAAUACAGCAAAGGAGAUGUAGGAUCAUUUGAAGCGUGUAUAUCAUCAAGAUAAUACAGCAAGAAGAUUUCAACUUGAAUUGGAAAUUAGUAACUACGGCCAAGAUAACCUCUCUAUUAAGCAGUAUUAUUCUGGAUUUUUUAAUUUAUGGAGCGAAUACUCUGGUAUAAUCUAUUCUAAGGUACCAAGCGAAGCCUUAGCUGGUAUUCAAGCAGUUCAUGAAGUUAGUAAGCGUGACCAGUUUCUAAUGAAACUAAAGCUUGAAUUUGAAGCGGUCAGAGCUGGAUUGUUAAAUAGAAAUCCAAUUCCUUCUUUAGAUGUAUGUCUUGGUGACUUGUUGCAAGAAGAACUGAGAAUGGCUACACAAACUAUCAUAGGUGCAUCGAAGGAGAUAUCCGAAGUUGUCAAUAUUGCCUAUGCUGCUCAAGGGAGGAAUCGCGAAAAGGGACAAGUACAGUGCUUAAAAGCAGUCUGUUUGCCAGACACAUGGUGAGCCACAUUUAAAAAUUGGUUUCUAUCAUAAAGCCUAUCAUGUCCGGACAGAAGAUGGACUGUUUUUUAAAUUUUUUAUGAAAGCAAGUGAAAAGUGUUGCAACUCAGGACUUGGAUGGUAAUUCUAAAAUUUAUUAGUGCACCUACCUUUUAACUUUUGGUGUGCUUUUAAGGUAUCAAAUGGGGGAAAAAAAACCAACACCAUAUAACUUCAAAUGCAAGAUGGUACGAAAUUUGUAUCCAUUGACAUGUAAAAAGUGCACCGUUCAUCACAAAGAUAUUUAUCCUAAUAUUAGAUUCAUUUUUUCAAAAAUUCAACUUUGCAUGCAAACAUGUAAUCAAUAUGCAUAAAUAGAUAGCAUUAGAUGAAUUUAAACAAGUAGCCUUCAAAUUUAAAAAUAUUUGAUUUCAUAAAGGUGCAUUCGCAAUUUAGAAAAAGGACUUUUCAAAUGGCAAAUCUAGAGAGCAAUAAAUACUCCUACUUUAUUUUGAUUUCAAAUCUUAUUUUGACUUGUCAAAAAAGUGAAACACGAAACCAAUAAUGGGUCAGAUACAAGGCUAAUUACUCAGAAUAUCGAUGUAAAAAAUAUUGGACAUAUAUGAUUUUGACAAUGGGCAUGUAUAAAACUAUUGCUGUAAGGUUGUGUCAGCCCGGCAGCAAAAGAGGGUUUUUUUUUAAAGCCUGCCAUUGCCACCGAGCUGACACGGCUCGGCAGCAAUAGUUUAAUUUUUUUUAAACGCUGCCGGGCCUUGUCAGCCAGAUAGAACAAAAAAAAAAAAUUUUUUUUUAAACACAGCCCGGCAGCGGGCAACAUUUGCAAAAAACUUUAAAAAGCUGGCUGCCGGGCUACGACAGUUCAAAAGAUUUUGCUAUCCGCCUACAACACCAGGUGAUAAAGAUAAGGGCAAAGGCGUACCGGGCAUUGAUAUGAUCAUUUCCGGUGCAUGUUUUAAAAUUUCAAAUAUUUGAAUAUGGGGAUUUAGCGUUAUUUUAAUCUUUUAUUAUUAUAAUGCUUGUCGUUAUUUUUAAAUUUCACAAUUUCAGCAUGUCAUGUUGUGCAUUUUUCCUUCUUUUUUUUUUUGCCUAUUUUGUUUUUAUAUUGCACAAUAACUUUAUAUUUAUAAAAUUAUAUUGUACAUUAAAAAUUACAUAAUAAUUUUAACAAACAAUUUUCCGGUACAAUUUGAAAACUGCAUCUUAUUGUAAAAUGAAAGAGAUUUUUUGUUUAAAAAACCUUUUUUUAGUUUUUUUACCUAUCGGAGUAAUUAUUAAUUUUACAAAUCUGUUUUCAUCUUUUUCUUACGUUCCAACUUUGAAACGUAAUUUAAUUAACUUAAAAGACUGUCGGGUUUAGUAUGUCAGGUAUCACACUUGUUGUAAUUAAAAAAAAAUUUUCUUCUUAUUUUUCAUUUUUUGUUUUUAUAUUGCAAAAUAAAUUUAUACAUUUUUUCGAUUUUUCUAUACAAUUUAUAACAAAAAAAAUAAUAUCAAAUAUUAUACAUUGUAAUUUUAACAAUUAUUUUGCAACGGUUUAAAAAACCUUUUUUUAGUUUAACAUCCUAUAUAUUUUACGAAAAUGAUUUGAAUAUUUUUUAAUCAUUUAAAGAAAAGAUAGAUUUCUACAAUUACUAUUUUUUAAAUUUUAAUCCUUAAGAUAAAGAUUUUUGCGGGAAAGAUGAAGAUUUAAAGAAACAAUAAAGAGGCAAAGAAAAUAAAAGAGAAAAAUAGGAGAGGUAAUUUUGUCCAAUGGAGGAUAUAAUGAGACAGAAAAAUUCCGAUGAGGGAUAAAGUAAAAAAAGAGAUAUAUUUUAAGGACAUUAAUUGUGAUUAACCCUAUUUCUUAUGCUCAAUUUGUAACUGGUCCAAAGCAUCAAAAGUAGCGUCCGCCUCCCAGGUGAUGAAUUCAUGGUCUUGAAUGUCCAAUAACCUAAGAAGAGUAAAAAGAUCACUUUAAAGUUGCUCCACACCCUACAAAUGCUUCUGAUACUAACUUUCUCGUCAUAUUAACAAAUGCUCCGCACCUUAAUGCUUCAGCACCCGUAAAAAACGUGUUUUUGCAACUGGUCCAAGAGUUGAACCCUUCGCUCAGAGUUACUUCUGGAUGUUGAAAAAAACAUUUCGAUCACUUGAAUCUAACCUCCCGCGUCUAAUCAAGCCAGAAGGCCAGCUUUUUUUUCACUGACCCUUCAACGUGAACCUUCUGAGAACUUAUCUCAAGGGAAACUUUUAGUGGUUCAGUAGAAUUUUUUUUAAUCCUCUUACAUGUUUCAUUCGUAUCUCCUACUUCAUGUCCGUGCAUUGUUGAAUUCUGAAGUGCAGGUCUUCUUUCGCCCGUAUUGUUAACCUUCUUUUUCAUGUUCAUUGAAGCACAGCAUUCUUUUUUCAGGUUUGAAAUUUUUUUUUUAAAUUGGACUAGCUGCUGGACUGAGCUUUUUAAAGUUUUUUGCAGAUGUGCGUCAGCCCGGCAGCCAGCGAAUUAAGAAAAAAAAAAAUUUUUUUGAGGCCCGGCAGCGUUUAAAAAAAAAAAACUAUUGCUACCGGGCAAGCUUUAAAAAAAAAAAAAAAAAAACCCUAACAGCAAUAUUUUUAUACAUGCCCAUUGUCAGAACCAUAUAUGUCCAAUUUUUUUUUCAUCGAUAUUCUGAGUAAUUAGCUGAGAUAGAGAGGAGUAUUAGAAAUUUGUUUUCUAGAUUCUUUGGUCUCCCAAUUUUUUCAACGGGUCAACUCCGAUCAUUAUUAUCACAGUCAUGUGAUUGUAGGUCUACCACGCUUCAUAGUCCACAACGUGGAUUGGCACCACAAAGGAUGGUUUCAAAACACCAUUUUAGUCUAGUAAGGAUUGUGUAUAUAACACAAGUCUUUUUAGGUUUUCCCUCCCCUGUAAUCUAAAAUAAAAUAAAAUAGGUUAUACAAUUGUUAUAGUCUUCAGAAAAAAAGGAUAGGUCCCACCCUAUUAUUAUUAUUUUUCUUUUAUAAAUCAACAACGCCUAUUCUACACCUAUUUCAACUUCUAUUCUAGGGGAACGGGAGGUUCAACUGAAAAAUUAAUGGUGAUUGAACCACGAACGGACCAAAAACUUUCAAGAUAAAAUUUGAUCUAAAAAAUAAAUAAUAAUAUAUUAACUUAUUAUUUAAUGCGAUACAUAUUCAAAUAUAUUAAAUUUAAUAAUUUAAUAAAUUUUAAAUUUUACAUUUUAAAUUUUAAUUUUCAACCUUCAAUGUUGCCGUACUUACAACAACAACUUCUAGAUGGUCAACACUUAGAGUCGUAGCCCUUGCUUUUGGCAUACCCUAGUCCCUAUUUCUGUUGUUAUCAAUGAGGAAGCAAAUGUCUGCUAUUAAUUACACGAGACAUCAGUAGGUUUGUUUGGAUUGGAGGUUAUUUGAAAUAUUUUUUUGAGAUAAUUAAUGUAGUACUUUUUGUGAUGUAAUGUAUAUAAGAUAAAAUUGUGAUUGGAAAUUGUGUGGAUGCAAAACAAAAUUUUGAAAUUUUUUUUUGAAAACCUUAAUAUUAUUGGCUGCACUACAAAUCAGUCAAAACUCAAGAGAUGAUAUUAAUUGAAACAAGUGGGCAAAUUGAACGAGGAUGCGUAAUUGACAUGGAAGUCUUGGUAGACUUGGAGGUAGGCUUGUCAACGGAUUGGGUCUGGGUCGGAAUUCAUUAUUCUGGACCCGGAUCCGACAUACUAUAUUGGACUCGGAUUCGACCCAUUUAUUCGACGGGCCUUCUACUCUAUAUUCUGAAUCCGGAUCCGACGGGUCUCGGAUUCGGGUCGAGUCUACCCGAAAAAAUCUAUCAAAACUUACAAAUUCUAAUAAAAAUGAGAAAAAAAUAUAUUUGUAAACCAAUUUUUAACUAAUAAAAAAAAUCAAAUAAGAAAAAAAAUCAAAUUGACUUUACUCAAAUACAUCACCCUAAUCAAAUUAUAUUGAUAAAUAUAUAUAUAUUUAAAUUGUUAAUCCAUUUAUAUCCGAAUCCGGGUCUAAUACGGGUCGAAAUAUUAUAUUCCGUAUUCGACCCGUUUUUUGUUUGAUAAAACGGAUCCGGAUCCGGGGUCCGAGUAAUGGAAUUAAAUCCCUACUCGUACCCACAAUAAUUUGACGGAUUCGAUCCGGAUCCGGAUCUAGACUCGAACUGUUGACAGGCCUACUUGGAGGGAUCAACAUUUGAAUCUGACUUGGAUGAGGUAAGCACAAAGGUAAGCAUUUUCCAUUUUUAUUUUGGUUUUCAUUUCUUGUAUACUUUAAAACGUUUUUCAUUCUACCUCACUCACAUAUAAUAUAUAAUGAAAUGUAAAUUUUUUAUGAAAACAUAUAAAAUAUAUAAAAUGAAAAAUAAAUUUUUUAUAAAAACAUAUGUUUAUAUUUUUCUUUGUAUAAUGAAAAUUUAUAAUUCAUUCUACCAAUAUAUACGCAUAUAUAUAUAUAUAUAUAUAUGUAUAAUGAAAAAUAAAUUUCUUCUUCAUCUUUAGGGCUGCACCUACAAACAACAAAACUCAGCUCCACUCAACUCUUUCCUUCAUGUUUUUUUAUAAAAAACAUAUAUAUAUAUAUAUAUAUAUAUAUAUAUAUAUAUAUAUAUAUUAAGUUACACUAAUUGUUUUAUCUCUUAAUAAUUUUUAUUUUUUUUACUAAUAUUACCUCAUGAGAGGCAAAAAGGGUAUAAAUGGAACAAAAUUAUUAUCUCAUUUUCCAAAAGAAUUUUUUAAUGGUACUUUUUCUAACAUGGGUUGAAGCUACUAUCAAAAUCUAGUUUAGGGAAAGUUAGUGCUAUUUUUUAAAUUUUAGGGUAGAUGAGUACAACUGUUAGAAACCUCAAAAAGGGAUGGUUUCUGCAAUUAUCCCUAAAAGCAUAGACCAAGACUACACUAAACACUAAAAAUUUGACACCUAUUUCUUAUAACUAUACUAGAUAAUCUCAUAAUUAUAUAGAAAAAUAAAUCAAAAUUCAUUACACAAAAGCAUUUUUGGAUAUUUAUUUAAGAAUUUGAUCAAAUUAAUAUUAUUUUAAAGUUUUAUUACAAAAACUAUCAAAUUAAAGGAGGUAGGGGUAAUGUUUCAAACCUCACAGUGAAAUUGUUAGAAACCUCAAAGAGGUUCUUGAUAUUAUCCCUAAUUUUUUUGGGUACAAAAACCUCCAAAAAAGUGGCAGUUCAAACGGGGCCAACAUUCUCCUAUCAUCACAAGUCCUCCCGCUGACCCACUAGCCGCCGGCGGCCCUGGGUCAUCUAUUAAAGGCUUAAAGCAUAGACCAAGACUGCAGUAAUCCCUCAUAUACACAUGUUAACUAGAGGGGUCAAUCACAACCCAAUUAUAUUGAUCUGUUCAAACCCGUUCACUAAUAAUCCUUUCAAAUUCGCCCAUUAAAAUUUAAAUGGGUCUAAGUGAGUACCUAAUUAAACCCAUUUAAUUGAUGGAUAGUUGAUUGAUUCAACUCACCCAUUUAUACCCAUUUAAAAAUAAAUAUAUGACAGGGUGUCGAGCCUGUGCAAUAAUAAUUAUCUACUCAAGAAAAACACAAAUUCUGUAUAUAGCAGUGAGUAGAGUCGAAUCCACACGGACUGUAGAUAAUUCGUUUCUUUUAGAGUCCAAAGUAUGGGGGGUUUUGGAGAAUAUAAAAUAACUAAUUAACUAACUAAUAAAACAACUAAUAGAAAUAAAUAGAAAUUAAUCAAUAACCAAUAUGACUCUAGCCAAAGGUGCAACUUUUCAGACACGGUCCAUUCAACUGAUCAUCGAUGCAAAGAUAAUUCAAUUACUCAUUACUAGAUUGGUUAUAAUUGUCAUACACGCGAUGAACAACCAGCCUUUUCUUAAUUUCUCGAUAGUUAAAGUACGACCGUUAACUAUUUCUCUAACCAAGUAAUAACCCUAGGUACGACCAUAGGAUUUAAUUACUCGAUUACAUUAAUAAUUAGAAAAACCCAACCCUAACCAACAAACACGCUACGAGGGUUUGUUUAAAUUAGAUCAUACGUUUCCCUAACAUGAAACCAAUCACGCUAGUCGCCACUGGUAUUAAUCAAUUGAACAAUUACGGAUUCAAUCAAUUAAUUUAGCAUUAGAUCAUUAAGUUAAUUUGAAUAUCGGGCCCUUGACAUUCAAAUAACAUAACAAACAUAAGCAAUUAAAUCAGGAAACGUAAAAAUACCAAUGAAUAAAAGAAAUAAAUAAAAUUAAUUCGAUCUCACAGAUAUUUGGAACCGCGCCUUCAAAUUGGCCUUCGACUAGAUGAAAGGUUUAGUUCAUCUACAUGGAGGAAACCCCAUGUGAAAUUGCAGAAGUAAUUAUUCUAAAACAAAGCUAUGUUUUCGUCCUCCAUUGAAGAAAACGGCAAAGCUAUAUAUAAAGUAAUGAAUACGAAGGAACUACCUAGAAGCAAAAACAAAACGAAGCUCUCCUAUUCUAAAACAAAAACUACUUGUCUAGUGGUCCCCGCCGAAUUUAGAUAAAAGGGUGCAAUCCGUCAGAUCAAGCUUUGCCGACUUUUUCUCCUCUUUGUUGCCUAUUGCUAGGCAAAGACUUCAGUGCCCAGACCAUUCCUAAUCAGUGAAAAGAAAAUGCACUCCCUCUGCCGCACUCUGUGGGCCAGGUUGUUGAAGCUCUUUGGAGUCUCCUAUGUGUGGAGCUGUUUUAUCCUUCAGAUGGUCUCGCUCUUUUUUUUCUUUUUAUUUUCUUUUGUGUACUUUUCUGCUCCAUUCCUGAAAUGAGAUCCAAAUACCAAAUAUAAAUAUAUAUUAACAAUUAAACAAUAUUUAGUAAGGACAGAGGGGAAAUUAAUAAUAAAAUAAUCAAUAAUUAACACCCUAUCAAUUCCCCCCACACCUAAAUCAUACUUGCCCUCAAGCAUGGGGACGACAAAUAACACCAAAAUUUGAAAAUGGGUAUUGCCCCAUCUACCCUAUUGUCAAGAUACCAAGGAAAACAUCUAUCAAGCAUCAGUGAUCAGGGUUCAAGAAACAUCACCCCAAUUAGCUUCUAAACCACAAACUCCUCCAAUUUAAGACAAACUAAUCUAAGAAAAAGGAAUGGUUGCUCACAUUUAUCAACAAAUGGUCCAACUAUUAACUAAAAUCUCGAUAUUAAGAUCACAAACCGGCAAGCUGACUUAUUCACAUACUAACACAAUCUUUACUUUACUUCUUUUUUUUUUUUUUUUGAAUAACAAAAGACUUAGUCUAUAGCCCUUAGAGCCUUUUGACGCGAACUCCAACAUUUGCCAGAUGGAGAAGCCCGGUUUCUCAGCUCCAAUCGCUACGGGACCACGCACUCAUAGUAACUACUACCUUUUGAGGCGAAAAUCGACACUUUAGGUCAAGAUCCCCGAUCACUCAGUAGUAACCACUAGCGGAGUACAGUCAACUCUUAUUUACAACCAUAUAGCACGAUAACUAAAAAUAACAGCAGGCAGCCUCAAAUUUCCAAACAUGGAGAACUAAAAUUAAUAACUGGACCAAUUCACAUGAAAAAUGCCAACAAUCAUUCCCUAUGCCUAGAAAAGUUAACCAAAAAUUAGAAAAGUCAAGCAAUUACUGAUAUUCACAUGAAAAGUCAAGCAGAAGUAAGCAAAAGAGCAACUGUACUUCCCUGAAAUCACGGGGGGCAUGGCGGGGCCACAGCAGUGGGUGAGGCCGGAAAUGGUUGAUUUGGGUUGGGGUAGGCUAAGGUCGAGAGGUUCCGGACCUAGAAGAGGACUUUGAUCUCACCAUCGUCGCUAACAGGUAACCCAAUCAACAGAAACAAAAUUGCCAACAGAUAGAGGAACAAGUAAAUCUAGAUCAAUAGAAAUCAAUAUCCUCAAGUGAAGUCAACAAUCAACCCAAUAAGCACAGGUAUCUUCCAAUUUAAAAGGGUAGUGCACAAUAAAUGGCCCACCAAAUUUGCAAUGUAAAGCCCUGAGCAAUUCAAUCAAUACCAGAAAAUCGCCCCAAACAAUGUAACAGUUAAACUCCAUGGGCCAUGGACGUCCAACCAAUUUCACUCGAACAAACUAUGAGCAGUGCGAGUGACGAAACAAAGCAACAAAUUUCAGCAAUUAGACACAAUUCCACUCAAAAUCUCAACAAAUAUCUCCAAUGGACAGUCUUACACAACUUAACCAACUGGAAUUAGCAAAUAUCCCCAAGAAACUGACAAAACAAGCAAUAGUAGUUCAAAAUUUGGACUACAACUAAAUCAAAAUGUUGUUUCAGUUUUCAAUCAGGUAGCCAACCAAGUAGAAUCAAUAAAUGUAGACAAAAUACCCCAACCAGUACCACUGGUGUAUUCCACAGAAAAGAAUUAAUUCAAAUGCCAAUCCAAACGACUGAGAAACCCUAACCAAGACCAAACCGUACCAGAAAUUAGAAGAAAUGAAAAUGGGAAUCAAUUGGCAAGCAACUCCCAAAUCAACCCCAAAGAACUCCCAAAUAAAUGAAUUAUCAGAGGUGCCUUCAAAAACCAAAUACCAAAAAUGCAUAAAAACUCCCAACCAAUUCAACGGGAAAAACAAAAUUAAGCAAAUCACCUCCUGUGUUUAUCCAUCAAGGAACCCAAAAGCACAAAUUCCAGUAACUGAGGAUUCAGGAAAAAUGCCAAAACAAGGGUAGAAAGUUAAUACCUCCACCUGUCAAUUUUGACAGGUAGUGAUGCGCGGCAAGGAGGUGGCGCACGAGGUGGUGGCCGCGAGCUUUGGAAGAUGAGUUGGCGAUAGAGGCUGUCAGCUACGCGUGCGACUGUGCGCACAAUGGGAGGAGAGAGGCGCGGCGAGCUGGUGGACAGCAGCAGCGGCACGGGCUGGUGGCAGUGGCUGUGGAGCGUGGGCAGGCGGCGGUGCGCAGCUGGUCAACGAAGGAGGAGAUGGGCGGCGCUCGGGCUAAGGAGAGAGUGAUUUGGGGGCUGUGGCGGCGUGGGGUGGAGUUGCGGCGGCGGUCAAAGGCACUGGUGAGUGGAGGUGGCGGGGAUGGAGCUUGGAACGGAGGAGCUCAGCGAGCUGUGGGUGGACGGCCGUGGGCAGGGGAGCAGCGGCGGCCUUUGGAGCUGCUGAAGGUGGUCCGUGAGGUGGAGCUUGGAGCUCGGAGGCGGCGGCGAUGGAAGCUAGUCAGCGGCGUGCGGCAAUGGAUGAGAAAGGGAGACUGGUGGCGUCGGGCUAAGGAGAGAGUAAGGGAGAUGAUGGCGGAUGAGCGAAAGAAAAGAAGGAAAGGGAUACAGGGCAGCGAGGAAGAAGAGGAAGAAAAGGGAAAGAAAGGAAAGAAAAAAGAGAAGAAAAAGGAAAAAGAAAAGAGAGAAAGAAAAAAAGAAAAUAAAAUGGUUUUGGGGUUUUUUUUUCAAUAUUUUUUUUUCAAUUUUUUCCCUAAUUUAAAUUUUCAAAAUUUGAAUUUUUGAAGAAAAAGAAAGAAAGAAAAAUGCUCUUUGAAUUUUUGAAUUUUCUCAAUGUGAAAUUUUAAAUUUUUUUUUGGUUUUGGAUCGUCAAACACCGCGUGAGCACGCCAAGAUUACACUUCCUGGUCACAGUAGAGGAAAAUAUUAAGACCGACUACCACCCAAAUGAGAAAUGACAAAAUGAAAGUAAUGAACAAUGAAAAACGAUAAAACUAAUAUUUGGGUUGCCUCCCAAAAAGCGCCUUUCUUUUAUGUCUUUGGCCAGACAUUGCCAUAUUUGUUUAGGGAGGAUAAAAUCUUGUACCUCGGUUUAAUGUUUCAUCCUCUAUAUAGUCCUGAUAACCCUCGUAAAUAGAGUAAUUCUUGAACACAUGAGCUACGGUCUUCCCUGGACUAGUAAAUGGUGCCAAACAAGUCAACAAUAAGUUGAAUUUUCCAUUCACUCCUCCAUCACUUGCAUUUAUUGGUUUAAGAUAUCUUGCCAUCGCCACUCUUAAUUUAUUUCUGUCAUGAAAUUCGAAAUUUUCUGAUAUAAUAAAAUCAAUUUCAUUAACAGGAAUUGAAGAAUAAGAGUUAGAAGAAUAUUGAUGAAGGAAUGGAUGCGAUGUCACCGCAUUUGAAGAUUGUUCACUGGUUUCAUUCACUUGAACGAGUUGAUACUGGGGCAUUAUUUCUUGCACUUCACCUUUUUUUUCAACUGCAUCUUUAGAUCCGUUUUCUUGAAACUCUUGCAGUUCCAUGUCAUUUGACGGGAUAACUGCACUCUCAUCCUCUUCAAGGUUGAUAUUGGUUUGUGAGGGCAAUUCUUCAAGGUGAGAAGCUAAUCGCUCUAUCCUGGAUGUCAAUUGAUUCAUUUGAUCCGCCGGAUCCCUAAUGCUCGCUUGUGUCUCCUGAUGAAAUCGAUAUGUAUUAGUAGCAAAUAAUUCAAUCAAUUCCUGAAGAGACAUACCUGACAUGGAUGAUGGCUGUUGAGAUUCUUGCUGUUGAAAAUCCAUUGGCCCGGUCGCAUAAUUAAAAUUGGAAUCAUCCCACCAUCCUUGAUCAUACCCGUUUGAAUAAGGAUCGUACCACGUUUGAAAUCGAGGUGAAAAAUCUCCAAAAGUAUCAAUUGGAGCACUUAGAUUAUCUUGAAAUGCGGGGCAUGUGUCGGUUGAGUAACCUGAGUCAAAAUAAGUUCCACAAUUUGCAACAGUCCAUUGACCAUUAGGAAAAACUCGAGUCUCAUAACCUCAUUCGGGAAUAAAGUCCAGUCUAUCAUCAAAAUAUGGAAUGUUAGCUACCAUAAACUAUAUAUAACAAAAAAGAGAAAAAAAAAAAACAAGAUGAACUAAAAAAAAACAAAUUAAUUAGGCACCAGUCCCCGGCAAUGGCGCCAAAAAUUGACAGGGUGUCGAGCCUGUGCAAUAAUAAUUACCUACUCAAGAAAAACAUAAAUUCUGUAUAUAGCGGUGAGCAGGGUCGAAUCCACAGGGAUUGGAGAUAAUUCGUUUCUUUUAGAGUCCAAAGUAUGGGGGGGGAGUUUUUUGGAGAAUAUAAAAUAACUAAUUAACUAACUAAUAAAACAACUAAUAGAAAUAAAUAGAAAUUAAUCAAUUACCAAUAUGACUCUAGUCAAAAGUGCAACUUUUCAGAUACGGUCCAUUCAACUGAUCAUCGAUGCAAAGAUAAUUCAAUUACUCAUUACUAGAUUGGUUAUAGUUGUCAUACACGUGAUGAACAACCAGCCUUUUCUUAAUUUCUCGAUAGUUAAGGUACGACCGUUAACUAUUUUUCUAACCAAGUAAUAACCCUAGGUACGACCAUAGGAUUUAAUUACUCGAUUGCGUUAAUAAUUAGAAAAGCCCAACUCUAACCAACAAACACGCUACGAGGGUUUGUUUAAGUUAGAUCAUACGUUUCCCUAACAUGAAACCAAUCACGCUAGUCGCCACUGGUAUUAAUCAAUUGAACAAUUACGGAUUCAAUCAAUUAAUUUAGAAUUAGAUCAUUAAGUUAAUUCGAAUAUCGGGCCCUUGACAUUCAAAUAACAUAACAAACAUAAGCAAUUAAAUCAGGAAACGUACAAAUACCAAUGAAUAAAAGAAAUAAAUAAAAUUAAUUCGAUCUCACAGAUAUUUGGAACCGCGUCUUCAAAUUGACUUUCGACUAGAUAAAAGGCUUAGUUCAUCUACAUGGAGGAAACUCCAUGCGAAAUUGUAUAAGUAAUUAUUCUAAACAAAGCUAUGUUUUCGUCCUCCAUAGAAGAAAACGGCAAAGCUAUAUAUAAAGUAAUGAAUACGAAGGAACUACCUAGAAGCAAAAACAAAACGAAGCUCUCCUAUUCUAAAACAAAAACUACUUGUCUAGUGGUCCCCGCCGAAUUUAGAUAAAAAGGUGCAAUCUGUCAGAUCAAGCUCUGCCGACUUUUUCUCCUCUUAGUUGCCUAUUGCUAGGCAAAGACUUCAGUGCCCAGACCAUUCCUAAUCAGUGGAAAGAAAAUGCACUCCCUCUGCUGCACUCUGUGGGCUAGGUUGUUGAAGCUCUUUGGAGUCUCCCAUGUGUGGAGCUGUUUUAUCCUUCAGAUGGUCUCCCUCUUUUUUUUCUUUUUAUUUUCUUUUGUAUACUUUUCUGCUCCAUUCCUGAAAUGAGAUUCAAAUACUAAAUAUAAAUAUAUAUUAACAAUUAAACAAUAUUUAGUAAGGAUAGAGAGAAAAUUAAUAAUAAAAUAAUCAAUAAUUAACACCCUAUCAAUAUACAUUUAAGCUCAAUUUUUACUAAGUGUUAAGAUGAUAAAUUUGAAUUUCCUAUGACUCUAAUAACAAUAAAAUAUCAUUUUUCUUGUCAAACAACAUGCAAAAAACAAAAAAAGGUAGAAUUUCAAAUUAAUCAUAAAUGGGUAAUUGAGUAUUCUCAUGUCUAUUUGUUAAAUUGAUAUAAAUGAAUUGAUUCAAUUAUAACUAUUACUCAACUAGAAUCCGCUCAAACCCGUUUAAGUUAAUCAUUUUGACACCCCUAAUGUUAAUAUAUAUUGACAAGUGAAAAGUGCAGCAUUUAUCACGAAGAUAUACUUAUUUAUUUUAAUAUUAAAGUCAUUUUUUCAUUACAAAAAUAUUGAUAAUUUCAUAAUUUCAUGGAAGUAUGUAACCAGUGACAUAACAUAGUCGCCAGUGGCGAAUCUUGUCACGAGCCUUCUUUUCAACGCUUUGAUUAUGGCAUACACCUUUAACAAUAUGCCCCCACGUUGUCUUUCGAUCACUUUUUUUUUUUUUUUUAACCUCACAUUCGUUCGUUAUGUAUGUAUAAUUUCUUUACAAAAAAGUGAAAAACUCCAAAAACGUGGCAGCUCAAACGGGGCCAACAAUCUACUAUGUUCGCCUGUUCUCCCGCCGGACCCACCAGCCGCCGGCGGCCAUGGGUCAUCUAUAAAAGCAUAGAUCAAGACUACACUAAUCCCUCAUCAGUCCAAUCCAUCCAUACUUCUUCUUCAGGCCUCAGCUACUAAACAAUAAACUCUGCUCCACUCAAUUCUUUCCUCUGUUUCUUGUGGUUUUUGUCUGAAAAUGGCGGCAUCAGAAGAAGUGAAAGUGCCAAGAAUCAAGCUGGGGUCGCAAGGUUUUGAAGUUUCAGCUCAAGGGCUGGGCUGCAUGGGCAUGUCAGCCUUCUACGGGCCGCCAAAGCCCGAGCCUGAUAUGAUCAAACUCAUUCACCAUGCUAUUAGCAGAGGCAUCACCCAUCUUGACACCUCCGAUAUGUAUGGACCUCACACCAACGAAAUACUCAUUGGCAAGGUACCGUAUUUGCAAAUUUUCUGCUGUUGUGUGCUAUGCAUAAACUCUUGUACUUCUAAUUUCUAAAAGAGCAUAUUUGUAAGUAUUUUAUUUGGGUAUAUUAUAUUUAACCCCCUGCACUUGAAAUCUUGUCUCCCUUUGUGCCCCCUUAAUUUUGUUUGUCAGCACUUAAACUCCAUCUGUUUAAAUUAUAAGUAUUAUUAGUCAAAUAAGACAAUAAUAUUCUUCAUUUCUUCUUCUUCUUCUUCUUCUUCUUCAUUUUUUCAGAUGUUUGUCCUCAAUUGUAAGAGAAGGUCGUAGGUCUAGCACAUACGUUGAGUAGCUGUAUCCGAUUAGAAGGAUUUAGAUCAUAAUGGAGUUGGUAAAAUAGUACUAUUUUCGUCUUUGAAGUUAAAAUUGUCAUCAAUUUAUGGAAAGUUUACUAUUUCUCUGAUAAGAGAUGGUAAAAUUUACUUUUUACGAGUACUAAAGUUUUAAAGAUUAUGAAAAGAGAAUUGUACGAAUGAAUAUAAGGGAAAAGAAAGGUAAGAACAUAAAUAGAUUGUGUUUGGAUUGAUUUUGGGAGGGGCAAGGAGAGGAAAGGGAAAGAAAAGGAAAUGGAUGGAUUGUGUUUUGCUCAGACAUCAUUUCCAUACAAAAGUAGACGGAAACAGAGGGAAAGAAAAUCUAGUUGAUGAUUUUCUUAUAAAAUGCCUCAAGCACCCAAAUUUUACAUAAACUUGAGUAACCAUGUGUUUCAUAUCUGUAGAACUUGCCAUUUGUGAAACCUGCUUUAGAUAUGAAUUGUGGGAUGCAACAGCAGGCUAGGAAUGUUUGACUAAGCAACUUAUGUAAAUAUUUUAUCGUUAAGUGAAGUUCCUCUUUUGCUGUUUAAAAAAAAAAAAAAAAAAGAGAGAGAAAAACCAUUCCUUUAAUGUCUGUCAUUCUACCAAACAGCAGAUUUAGGAUUUCUUUUUUUCCCAUCCAUAUCUAAUCCAAAUAAGGCAAAUGAGAACUAUUUUCCACUACUCUCCUUUCCUUUCUUUUUCACUAGGAUGUUUUAUUUAUUCUUUCCUUUGAUCCUAAUGGUUCCUAAAAGGGCACUAAUUAUUCUACAUUGAUCGUUCCCCAUAUUUGUAUUAAUGUGCAUGUUCACGAUUCUGUGUACGUUCAUGUUGUGCAUCAAAUCUUGUGAAUGUCAAAGCUAAGAUUGUAAAUUUAAGUUGAAGAAACAUAAAAGAAAAAAGAAAAUGGAUUGGCUCCUUUAAGAGUAUCAGACUUCUAAACCCCAAGGAUUACAUAAUUUUCAUAUCCUUUGCUAUACAAAGAAGUGGCAUAGCCUUAACAAUGAAGUGCUGGAAAAACUCCAGAAGGACUGUGCCAUCCAUGAAAUCACAAUUCCGCUUGCUAUACCAUGCAUUAAUGUGUAUGCCCUUGAUGAUUAAUAUAAUGAAAUCAUGGUUCUAGGCCUUGAAGGAAGGAAUAAGAGCGAAAGUGGAGCUAGCAACAAAAUUUGCAAUCAGUUAUCAGGAUGGGAAAUUUGAUGUACGUGGUGAUCCAGCCUAUGUGAGGGCUUGUUGUGAAGCGAGUUUGAAGCGGCUUGAUGUGGACUGCAUUGAUCUCUAUUAUCAACAUCGCAUUGAUACACGUGUGCCCAUUGAAGUCACGGUUUGCUCGUCUUGCCUUUCUUGUAUUUUAGCUCCACCUCAUUCUUGAUGAAACAAAAGUUUGAUCAACUCCAAAUUUCGAAUAAUUCAGUUUCAUGUGCGUUUCAAUUCUUCAAAAAUUGCACAGAAAAGUUAGUCAACCUUAUGGUCUAGGCUAAUCUGCAGUAUGCUAAAUCUUAUUUAGCACCAGGCACCCUGAAAAGUGAAAACAAUGAAAAUGUCUUAUAUUAGCUUGGCAGUCCUGCUGAGGGAUAUACAGGUGGAUAUCAUGCUAUACAUUGUACAGCUUUCCUUUAGAAGCAAGAGACCUGAGCAUUCUCUUUCAUUUGAGAUAGGCUAUCCAGUUGAGUAAUGAUAUGCUAUUUACUUACCUUGUCAUUCGUUUUCAGUCGGUGCCAAAAGCACUGCAGAUAGAAGUUUUUUAGUCAAUAUCUAAAAAACGUGGUACUCAUUUUGUUCAGAGUAUAGCUUUUUGUCUAAUUGUGAAAGCCAGCUGCGACUACCCCGUUGACCUCUCUAAGCAAUUCAAAGAUUGCAGCUGCUUGCUUACAUUCAGCUUUUAUGAAAACAAUUUCUGUCUUCUUUUUCUAAUAUAGUCAGCAAAGAAUUGUCUUGUUUUUCCUGAGUAUUAGGAAGAAACUUUCUUGCAGUUUAAUCACUCAAAAUACAGGCAAGUAUAAAGGAAAUCAAGGAAAUCGACAACUGAUAAUUGAUAUGUGCAGCCAUUAUUAUAUCUAGACGAAGUCAACAAUGUCGUGUAAUCAUAUUGGAGGAGCAUUAUGUUGGCAUGGUCCAAUAGAGCUAAGUCAUCCGGUGGGCUGUACAUAGAGAAGUAUCACUGGAUGCUUAUUGCCAUUUUUGUCAAUUAUUGAUUUCAGUUUGACGUAUAAUUUGUCCACGACUUCAUUGAACUAGUCCAACUUUUACUUUUUUGCACGUAAUAUUUCGAUUAUCUGCCUAAGUAUUGAAUGUAAUAAAUCAGCUUUGCAUUUUCUUGUCCAUUGAAAUUCUCUAGAUAGGAGAGCUCAAGAAACUGGUUGAAGAGGGUAAAAUAAAGUAUAUAGGUCUGUCUGAGGCCUCAGCUUCAACAAUUCGAAGAGCACAUGCUGUUCAUCCAAUAACAGCGGUACAGUUGGAGUGGUCAUUGUGGGCCAGAGAUGUCGAGGAAGAGAUUAUUCCCACUUGCAGGUAGUGCAUAUAUUCUGCUGCAUUUUCUACGUGGUCUAGAAGAAAUAUGAAGUUCUUAAUUCAGUUUUUGGUAUAAUCUUUCAGAGAGCUUGGAAUAGGGAUUGUUGCAUACAGUCCACUUGGAAGAGGAUUCUUCUCUUCAGGUCCAAAGCUGGUCGAGAAUUUGGCUGAAGGUGACUGCCGAAAGGUUUGUGCAUAUCCAAAACUAUGAAGUUUUUGAGUAUAGAUUGUUUAUAGUUCGAAUAAGUUUCUCACUCAUCUACUUUUACCACUUCAGUGACAAUCUUGCUUGAUAUCCCUAUUCUUGUCUAUCUGUCAUAUGUUGCUGCACUUUUUGAUGUCCAAUAAUUUGAUUAAGCCUUAUAAUAUGAUCACAUUUAAUCAAAUUUCUAUUAAGCAGAGCAAAUCAACAGGCUUUUUUUUUUCCUGUCGAACAAGUCUUGAGGUCUUUAGUUGAUUAAAUGAAUGCAGAUUUUGGUGUCCUCUGUAUUUAGUUCAAAUUAAAAGAUAUAGCGCUAGCUUUGUCAAAUUUUAGAUCUUAUAUUAAUUGAAGGUUGUUAUUGCAUGCUGGAGAUUUAUAUAGUGGACAACAAUCACAAGCAAUCGAUAGUAUCGAAUUUUAAAGUGCAAAGAUGUCGCAAGACAUCAAAACAGGAAGAAACUAUGUCACUUUUUAUGUAAAAGUCUCUUUUCAGUUUUGAGGGGAAAUGGACCUUGGACUUCAAUUUCAUCAUUUAGUCUCAGGCACAGAAUUUCAUCAUUUUGUCCUGUGAAACUAUCAUUUUUCCUUUACCAUUAAUCCUAAAACUGAGUUUCAUUGGUCAGAAGUGUACUUCUUAGUACAAACAUUAGUUGAUAUGCAUUUUAAGGUUCCCCUUUGAUGGGAAAUGUAUCUCAGAACUUAACUCCAACAGUUGAUGUUUCCUACUUGGAUUAUUCAGUCCACCUUGAUGCAUUGUUCUUUGCCCUGAACUUGUGUCCUUCAAACAAUAUUGCUGAUCAUCUUGAAGUAAUGUACCGUUUGUUCAUUUCUCCCUUCUGAUUUCUUGCAUUAUAGUUUCCUCUUUAAUGGGAAAUGUAUCUCAUGAUCUACCUUCUACAAUUAAUGUUUCUUAAGAGUACUCAGUCCACCUUACUGGAUUGUUCCUUCCCCUGAACUUUUUACACCUUAAACAAUACUAUCAAUCAUCUUGAAGUUAUUCAUAUUGUCUUCAUACCUAUCACCCUUUACAGUUGCUUGAAUUUUUGAAAUUCAUACAAUGUAGGAUAUGCCAAGGUUUCAAGCAGAGAAUUUGGAGCACAACAAGAAGUUGUAUGAGCGGGCCAAUGCCAUUGCUUCAAGGAAGGGUUGUACUCCAUCACAGCUAGCAUUGGCCUGGGUCCAUCACCAAGGCAAUGAUGUUUGCCCCAUACCUGGCACUACCAAGAUUGAGAACCUCAAUCAGAAUAUAGGAGCUUUGUCUGUAAAACUGUCAGCCGAGGAAAUGGCGGAACUUGAAUCUAUUGCUUCUGCGGGAGUCAAGGGUGAUAGGUAUGCGCCUGGCCUUGGUACUUGGCAAACUUCUGAAACUCCGCCUUUGUCAACCUGGAAGCGGACAUGAAGACAUACCUUUGUUAUGGCAAUAAUUCCUUCUAGCUAUGUGCCUGAUGGUGGAUUUCACUAUAUUGAGAGUUGAGUGAUAUGUAAUUGUUCCAAUAAAUUUUGACAUACUAUUGUCUCUAGGGCUAUGGCACGUAAAGUUAUAAGUAGAAUGGAUGGAGUUUCUUCAGAGAGGUUGUAAUAAAUAAAGAUCUGGUCAUGUAAAAGCUGAAUAUAAUUUUCCUUGCAGUUGAAUGCAUUAAGAGUUAUAUAUUGUACUUUUGAAUGCUAAAGUGGUCCAUUUUUUAUGUGCUACUGCUACGAGAGUUAUAGAUUGUUGAACAGCAUUCAAUUCUGGACUUAUUAAACAUAAGCAUAUAAACAUUUUAUUCUCGGAAUAUUUACAUCAAAAGAAACUCCAAGGUCACAUCAUUGUAAAGUGUAAACUAUAUCAUAUUAAUAAAAAGCAAAAAAAAUGUCUAAAUGAGGAAAAAAAAUGUACUAUAGAAGAAGUCAACAAUGUCAUGUAAUCAUUUUAUCCUAAAAUUGAGAUUCAAAUUUAGUUGAUUUGUAUUUUGAGUUUCCUCUUUGAUGGGAAAUGUAUCUCAGAACUUUAACUCCAACAGUUGAUGUUUCCUACUUGGAGUACUCAGUCCACCUUGAUGCAUUGAUCUUUCCCCUGAACUUGUGCCCGUCAAACAAUAUUUCUGAUCAUCUUGAAGUAAUUAGUACCAUCUGUUCAUUACUCCCUUCUGAUUUCUUGCAUUAUAGUUUCCUCUUUAAUGGGAAAUGUAUAUCAAGAUCUACCUUCUACAAUUGAGAUUUCUUAGAGUACUCAGUCCACCUUACCAGAUUGUUCUUUUUCCUGAACUUUGUUCACUUCAAACAAUACUAUGAUCAUCUUGAAGUUAUUCGUAUUGUUGUCUUUUGUGGACGACACAUGCUUUACUGCCUUUUUGAAUUUCUGCAUUGCAGUUGCUUAAAUUUUGAAAUUCAUACAAUUUAGAAUAUGCCAAGGUUUCAAGUAGAGAAUUUGGAGCACAACAAGAAGUUGUAUGAGCGGGUCAAUGCCAUUGCUUCAAGGAAGAGUUGUACUCCAUCACAGCAAGCGUUGGCCUGGGUCCAUGCCAAGGCAAUGAUGUUUGUCCCAUAACUAGCACUACCAAGAUUGGAAACCUCAAUCAGAAUAUAGGAGCUUUGUCUGUAAAACUGUCAGCAGAAGAUAUGGCUGAACUUGAAUCUAUUGUAUCAGCUGGAGUCAAGGGUGAUAGAUAUGAUCCUGGCCGUGGUACUUGGCGAACUCCUGAAACUCAACCUUUGUCAACUUAGAAGACUACAUGAAAACAUACCUUUGUUGAGGUAUUAAUUCCUUCUAGCAUUCUACCUGUUGGUGAUUUCACUGUAUUGAGAGUUGAGCGAGUUGUAUUUGAUCCAAAAACUUUGUCAUACUAUUGUCUCGAGGGUUAAGACAUGUAAAGUUUUAAGAAGAAUGGUGUUUCUUUAGAGUGCUUGUAAUGAAUAAAGAUCUGGUCAUGUAAAAGUAGAACACAACAUACCAACAAUGUCAUUGUAAACUACAUCAUACCAACAAAAAAGUAGAAAAUGGUCUAAAGUGAAUCAGAAAUCAACAAAAACUAUGUAAGCACCAAUGGAAAGCAGAAAAGUUCUUGAUACCAUAGUAAACACCAAUGGAAAGCUAAAAAGUUCUCGACGCCAUAGAAAUUAGGGAUUCGUUGGGCAAAAAAGUUCUUAACACCAUACUCUAUAGACGUAGGGGAUCCAGGUUUGGGCAUCUAGCUAAGUGGAACAGGUAAAGGAAAGCUGCAUCACAGAUGUAGCAAGUAGUUCCAAUGCCCUUGCCAAUGGUAUAGGCUUUCUUGCUUCCAACAUGGUCUUGAAAGUGCAGAUUAGAGAAGGAUAUCAAAGCCGGCCAGCUGCGAAUCCUGUGGGGUGAAAACCAUACAUUUGAGAACAUAAACAAAACAGAGCUGCCUGGUCCUCAAUUUAAGCAUUAUACUUGAGAAGGACAAUACAAGCAUUCAGGGAUAUUUGCAGCCCCAUCCUCAAUGUGUGAGAAAAUAAACUUUACAUGCAGAAAGGAAAUAAAUGGUUGAAAUUACACAAUGGAUGGAUGUUGAAAAGAAUCACUAACAAAUAUGUCUAGAAGAUCGAUCUGUUAAGCAUGGGAAGUUCAAAGAGUAGCAUUUUUUUUGAAUCUCAGAAAAAUGAAGAGUAAGGUACAGUCCAACAAUUUAGGGAAUUCAAACUCUAUUUGUGAAUAAACUGCUUGUAUUUUUCCUUUUUCUAGUGUAAGAUUUAAGGAAAAGUUAAAAUCACUUGACCCCUGAUCAGUUCUUUACCAAUACAUUGAUUUUGACUUCAAUCAUGAACAAAUAAUUCAGAUUAAGACUGAAUAGUUAAUAAAUUGAAAAAAAAGGGAAAGACAUCAGAACUUAGAUGUAACACACUAAUCCAUAACAUCCAGUCCUUCUUACUUUUCGUGCCUUUGGCCCAGUGUUGCAAAAGGCCUUGCCUGAGGUAAGGCAUUUGUCUCUACUGCAGCAGCACGAAAGCCUUGGAGCAUGGGUUGUAAUUCUCAUGAAUUUUAAAAUUUUUGAAUAUUUUAAAAAUAUUGUAAUAUUUAUGCAAAAUAUUAUUAAAACACAUAUAACUAUAAUAAAAUAUGUAAAAUUUUAAAAUUAUAGAAAAAUAUAUUAUCAUGAUAUGCGGUAGUAAUGACAGUAUAGAAAAAAAAAAAUAUGACAAAAAUUCAACGAAUACUAGUCGUGGGCAUCUGAAAAUGGUUAUAGAUGACAAGGGACGAUGAUUUUACUUGGAAACUUGGGUUUUUACAUUCUUGUGGUAUGUAUUACUAUACAAAAAUGGUAAAAUUAAAAUAUAACCAAGUUUUGGGGUUAAAUAAGAAAUUUGAGAUAACAGGUUAGCUAAAUUUUUAAAGUGAGCCAAAGCACAAGGACUUAAUACUACAUGUUUUACUAAAAUGGGACCCACAUCUCUAAAUUCAGGCCCGUCAGGUUCAUCGAGGUGCUUCGUUCGCAAGCCCAUUUGUCAGCCCAAAUCAUCAAACGCUUCCUUCCUCCCCUUUUUAUUUAAUAAACCCGAUACGACUUCCUGAUUAUUCCAGGAUCCAACAAUUAAAACUUUACUGGCUCUAAAAAAAAAAAAAACAAUUAAAACUUUACAUACAAAUAAAUGGUCAAAUUCACUUAAAAAUUGUGGGGUCAUCUUCCACAUUAAACUUUUGUACUAUCCAAGUUUGUUUUAAUUCCUUUGGGAAAAUCAAACAUCGAAUGCAUUCCCCAAAAAAAACAAAAAAGGGAAAAGGAAAUGGCUUACCUUUGCCCUUACGUAUCCAAUCCCAAUUUGAACAUUACAUCAUCCAUCCAAUUGAAACAAACUCCUAUGGAGAUUUUUUUUUUGCUCUAUUUUGUUGUUAGAUCUGAAAGUUUUUUCAAAAUUUGAAUCUAUUUGAACAUAUCUCAUUAUCAUUAUUGAAACUUAAAACCAUUUAUUGACAAAUCUGGCAAUUGCCAUAUGCACAAAAGGGAGACGCUUUAAAAUUCUUUAUAUUUUAUUAGAUGUGUUUGUAAUUUUCAAAUCUAUUGUAUUAGUUAAAUUAUAAUCUGUAAUUUUUAAUGCAUGCGUGACCUGCCAUUAGAGGAGUUAUGUAAAUCAAAUCAUGUUGGACGAUUUUCAAAAAAAAAAAAAAAAAACUUAACCGUCAAUUACUCUUUCCCAUUUUAUUUGUCCACUUUUCAAUUGUCAAUAACUCUUUUAAAAUAUUUUGCAAUACAAAAAUCAACUGAAACCAGUAGACAUUGUAAUUAAUAGCAGUAUUCAAUUCUUGUUUUUGUAUAUUACUCGUACAUCUAAUUAGUCCAAUUUGGAGGGAAAAAAAGGUGAAAACAAAAAAAUAUAAUAGUCACAAAAAACACAGAUCUAGCUCAAAAUAUGGCAGUGACCAAUUGUUCUGCAAAAUUAGUAGGAUAAGCAGUUGACAAAUUCUAUAAUCCCUUUUGGUCAAAUAUUAUUUUUAAUAUUUAGGUCGUUACAAUUUCAAUAAUUUAAAUUACCAGUUACUAUCAUCAUUGGAAGAAGCACAUUGAAGGAAUGAUACUCUAAGAUGACUGAUAGAGCGAUUUUUGAGCACAUUUUGUACUAUUAUUCUGUCCUAAUUUUGGCUACUCAUGGUGCUAAGAAUUAAGAUUUUGCUCAUAUUUGAUAUUUGUAUGAAUUAUAGGUGGUUGGCGUUAAAAAUGAUCUUGCGAGGCGAAUUUCUAGAAGACCCUUCAGGUCAAGACGUGCCCAUGCCAGAAGUAGUGGAAGGUUACCCAUAAAGUCGGACCCGCGGGCUUGGUAGCAAAAUAAGUCAACUAGGGAACCAGGUCCACGUGGAUCAAAGGCGGGGGAUUAGAACCCUUAGGCAAAGCUUGUUCCUUUUUUUGGAUUACUACUGGCGGCGCACAUGAAAAAUAUAAGAGACGAAGCCAGGUUCACGUGAAAGGAAGGAGAUAGCUUAGUUUUCUUUUCCCAAAUUUGUCAGACGUUUGUCUUGCUUUUCUCGGUAGAAAACAGAAGACAAGCCAGAAUCACGUGGGCUUAGUAGAUUAGUUUUCGUUUUCUUCACUGGCAACAAUUUCUUUCUCUGUUUUGACUUUUGAUAAAUUUCAUGAGAUUGCUCCAGUACGGACACGAAAUAAGAAAAGGAAUUAAGAGACUUUCUCUUCAUUAUUCCUCCGUUAGUUCACUUUUCUCAAUUCUUCGGCAAUUAAUUGAAUGUUUUCAAUUAAAUCACACGGGAUUGACAGGAUGAGGAGAGGCUAGUUCUCUCCUCUACCCAGAGGUCGACGCGAGGGCGCGGUCCAUAAUAUCAGUAAGAUCUGAUCAAACUUUCAUUAUUUCUUCCAAUUUGUUACUAUUCGUGCGUUUCUUGGAUUAAUUAUUCAUGGGUAUUUUAUUAAUUGAAUAUCAACGGCCGGGUAUUUAAUUUAAUUUAAUAGCCUACUGUCACAUUAACUAAAUUCAAUCCGUAAUUGUUUGUUUAGUUGAUAACUAGUGACAACCAGCAUAAUUAGCUUUAUGUUGGAGGAAUGCAAGAUCUAAUUUAAAUAAACUCUCUUAGCGUGUUUAUUGAUUAGGGUUGAGUUCUUCUAGUUGUAAUGCAGUUGGAUAAUUAAAUUCCUAUAGUUGUACAUAGAGUUGUUAACUGGUUAGAGAAGCAGUCAACGGUCGUACCUUGGCUGUCGAAAAGGUAAGGAAGAAUUGGUUAUCAGAACUUGUUGUUAGCUAUAACCAAUCAAGUAAUGAAUGAGUGAAAUAUCUUUGCAUCGAUGAUCGUUUAAUUGGACCAUGCCUGAAAAGUUGAUCCUUUGGGUAAAAUUUUAUUAAUUGCUAUUUUUACUAAAUUGCACUUGUUGAGUUAGCUCUUGAGUUUUACUUAUUUUAUUUUUACUUUCACCCCAUUAAUUAUCCCUCUCUUUUAUUCUAUUGACUUAGAAAGAAAUCACUUCCUAUCCGUUCCCUGUGGAAUCGACCCUACUUGCCAUUGUACGCAAAUUUAAUAUUUUUAUAGACAAAUCUGGUAUAUCGGAUCAAACAAAUUUUUUGAAAAUAGGGUGAAUCAAGUAACCCAUUGCACACCUAGAGUCCCUGCUCCAGUACUUGGAUUUGUUCUAUAAUGAAUUGUGGUGGUAAUUAGGACUUUUUAGUAAUUAUUAUUGCACAGGUUCGGCACCUGUCAAUUUUUGGCGCCGUUGCCGGGGAGCGGUGUUUUGGUUAAAUUUGUUUCUUUCUAAGUUAUUCUCUUUGAAUCUGUCUAGCAUUUUUCUAGUUUAUGCCUCGCUCUUCUCGUACAGGCGAAUUGAUUUUCGAUUCAGAAGUAGAGAAGGCUGCGCGCCAAACUAGGAAACAGACCAGACAACUCAGGGAGGAGCAAUCCAGUAUUGCAUCUCAGGGACUGGAUCUUGAGGUUGAAUCAACAGAUUCAAGUAGUGAAAAUUUAAAUGAUCCAGGCCAAGAGGGCAUCCUUAUGGCAAAUGCAAGAAUACUAUAGGAGUUGGCUGCUCCAGAAUUACCCCAGCAGCCUUUGUGCAUUACAUUCCUAACGUUGGCUAAAAAUAUCUCAUUUGAAUUGAAGUCAGAAUUAAUCCACCUCCUACCUACGUUCCAUGGCCUCUCAGGUAAGGAACCCUACAAACACAUCCAAGAGUUUGAUGUGGUAUGCUCCAGUAUGAAGUCUCCAGGAAUUACUGAGGAGCAGAUUAAACUCAGAGCCUUCCCCUUCUCCCUCAAGGAUGCAGCAAAUGAUUGGUUGUACUACCUACCUGCAGGUAGUAUCAUCAAAUGAGCCCAACUUAAGAAGAAAUUUUUGGAAAAAUUCUUCCCUGCGUCCCGGGCUGCAAGUCUGAGAAAAGAGAUAUGCAGCAUUAAGCAAUAUCCUGGAGAAUUCUUAUAAGACUAUUGGGAGAGAUUCAAUAAGUUGUGCACUAGAUGCCCACAGUAUCAAAUUAGUAAAUAACUGUUGAUCCAAUAUUUCUAUGAGGGACUCCAGUCGUCUGAUAGAAGCAUCAUCGAUGCUGCGAGUGGGGGAGCCCUGGCGAACAAGACACCACGAGAAGCAUGGAUAUUCAUUGAAUCAAUGGCGAAAAAUUCUCAACAGUUUGGUUUCCUAAAAAGUAACCCUACCCGGAGGGCUAACGAGGUAGAGACGUCAUCCAUUCAGCAGCAGAUAUCAGAGCUAACAUUUUUUGUUACAAUUAGCUGUGGGAAACAUGCAUCAAGCUAAGGCCUGUGGAAUCUGCACAAAUGUGGGUCACUCCACUGACUCAUACCCUAUGUUGCAAGAGGAUGGGGGUGAACAAGUGAACAUAGUCGGAGGCGUGCCCGUGCCUCAUAGACAGUACGAUCCAUACUCCAACACAUACAAUCUGGGUUGGCAAGACCACCCCAAAUUCAGUUAUGGUAAUAAGCCACAGAAUUCAUUUCCCAAUCGCCUACAAGGAUUCCAACAACCGUAGCAACAAAAGUCUCAACCCUCGUCCUCCAGCUCAGGAAGUCAUUUGGAGAAAAUUGUCAAGAGUUCAGCUACGACUAUAACUCAGCUCCAGCAAGAGACUAGGUUCUUGGUCGCGAGCAUUACUCAGUUCCAACAGGACACCAAAGCAGGCAUGAAAGACAUGGAAAUUCGAAUGAGUUAAAUGACAACUGCCAUUAAUCGCCUAGAGUCCCAUGUUUAUGAAAAAUUGUCAUUUCAAUCCGAGCCAAAUCCCAGAAAUGUAAGUGCCAUAACAUUAAGGAGUGGCAAAAAGGUGGAGGGACCUAAGUUGGUAAAUUCGAAAAGCAAAAGUGAGGAAGAGAUAAAAAAGGAGAUUGAAGAAGAAGGACGCAUUCGUAAAGACCCUAAGGUAAAAUUUACUCUUUCAGCUCCUAUUAAAUCUAACUUACCUCAUUUUCCUUGCAGGUUAGAAAAAACAAAGAAGCAAAAUAAGGAAAAGGAGAUUUUAGAGGUGUUUCGAAAGGUGGCAAUCAAUAUCCCUUUGUUGGACGCGAUCAAACAAGUGCCAAAAUACGCUCAAUUCUUGAAAAACUUGUGCGUUAACAAGAAGAAGUUGAGGGGGGAUGAACAAAUUGUGGUAGGUGAGAACGUUUCAGCGAUUUUGCAAAGGAAACUACCACCUAAAUGCGGAGAUUCAGGUAUGUUUAUUAUCCCUUGUAAGAUUGGAUGUUCUAAUAUCAAAAAUGCCAUGCUAGAUUUAGGGGCCUCUAUUAAUGUGAUGCCUAAAUUAAUUUAUGAUUCCCUAAAUUUAAAACCUUUAAAAGAAAUAGGGAUAAUAAUUCAAUUGGCUGAUCGUACAUUUGCUUAUCCGGAUGGAAUAGUUGAGGAUGUUUUGGUGCAAGUAGAUGGAUUAAUUUUUUCUGCUGAUUUUUACGUACUUUACAUGGAUGAUAGAAGUGCCCCAAAUCCAUCACUCAUUAUAUUAGGAAGACCAUUCUUGAGUACUGUCCAAACUAAGAUUGAUAUUAGUAAGGGUACUCUCACGAUGAAAUUUGAUGGAGAAAUAGUCCAUUUUAAUAUUUUUGAUACAAUUAAAAAUCAUGUUAACUCUCAUUCUGUAUUUGCUAUUCAGGCUACUAAUCCCUCUGUGCAAGAAUUCUCUGAGUUUGUUUGUAGGGGUAAAUUCAAAAUUGUUGCGAACAAGUAUCCUGGAAUGAAAGCAAUUCAUGAGGUGAAAAUGAGUAGAAAAUUCAGGAAAAUAUUGCAUUCAAUGGCUAUUUGGAUCCCGGAGGAGGGCCACAAAUUAGAAGAAAAAUUGAAUUACAUCCAAACUGAAGAGCGGUGUAUAGUGUCUAGCCAAAAACAUUAAAGAAAGGCGCUACUUGGAAGGAAAUCCAAGGCUUUCAAUUGUGUUUUUUCAUAUUUGUGUGUUCAAGAUCAGUGGGUUUAGGUUCCUAUUGACAAGCAAUCUUUAUUGUAGGUCAUGGGUGUUUCUGUGUAGUUUUAUUCUAUGUUGGGAGCAAAAAUUUGCGGGCAGAAGACUUCAUGUUACAAGGCUUGCCCGCGCCUUGUACUCACCGCGCAUGAACAUUUGUAAAAUUUGGCGGACAGAAGAUCUCGACCUUCAAGGCGUCCCCACGCCUUCCAACCUUUGCAACAAUGAAAGUUAAAAAAAUUGAUCAGGACCUUCUCUAACCCCCCUUUUCUACUUUUCUCUUUUCUUGUCUUAUCUGGUCUUUUUAAUUUCCUCUAUCUUAGUUUCUACUUUUCAAUUUCCUUUGUUUUGUCUUAGUUUCAGUUUCUUUGUUUCCUCUUUUCUUGUUUGUCCGCUGCGCACAGCGCGUCGCUGUGGCGUGCUCCUCUUACCAUGCUCCUCCUGCUGGGGAUUCCCAAUACCGUGCCCUCCAAGAUUCUAUCCGUGAACUAGGUGAGCGGGUUAAGGGACUAGAUGGCCAUCUUGCAGGGCUACAGGUUUUUGCUCGCAUUCAGGCGAAGAACCAAGCAGCUUUCUUUGCUCAUAUUGGAUUCACUCCAGCUCAUCCUUCCCCCCCUUAGUGUCUAGCUGCACCCUCUCGGUGGUCAAGGAAGUUUAUCUCCUUUUCUUCUAAUACUUCAUUUGUCUUUUCUAUAUUGAGAGCAAUGUAGGUUUUAGGUGUGGGGGAGUGGUUUCCAUUAUUUCUUUUGGCUUUGGUACAAAAAAAAAUGAAAAAAAAUGAAAAAUGAAAAAAAUGAUGAAAACAAUGCAGUUAGUCGGCUUUCUGUUCAUUUCUAUGUUUGUUAGUGCUGGAGUGUGUUGCUAUGAUGGAUUAUACAAUCCUGGGGCACAGGUACAUGGUCAAAUAUGCUAGCUGGACAUUUUGUUUUUCCUUGGCAAUAUCGUUGAAUGUAGAGUGUGUUGAACUUGACCCAUUCUUGUAACUUUUGGAAGCUUUUGAGCCAUGCAUGGGCACAUUAUUCUUGUUUGCUCUAGUUUUGUUUGAUUGAGUGGGUAUCACACAUGGUAUUGGUAUUCUAGAACUUGCUAUUUUAUACAUGUCGAGACUAUAUUUUGUUGAACUGGAUGCAUUUGAAAUGAUAAGGGCAUUUGGGAUUAAACCUUCUUUAACUUCCUAAAACCCAUGCCUUCAUCUUGUCUCCCAAUAGUGAACCAAUUUGAACUUUUAUCCGUCAAAUUUGUUUGUUAGCCAUGUUGAUAACCCAAGACCUUUUUAGACUUUCUUGUUCACCCCGGUGUUGUUAAGGGAUGUCUGAAUUUCAUCAUUUGUGCAAGACAAAUAAAUCUGGAGUCGCAAGUGUUGUUAGAGUAGAAUCUGUAUGAUGCUAUCUUUGUGCAUUUAGAACAAAAAGGGGAGAAAUCGACAAUAAGCUGCUGAUCAGAAGACUCUGUCUUACAGGGUGUGCCCACGCCUUGCAACACGUUUUUCAAAAAAAAUGAAAAAAAAGGAGAAGAGAAGCUAGUGAACAUAAGGCUCUGGCCUCCAGGACGUGCCCAUGCCUUGCAAGACAUCUUUGUAAAAAAAAAAAAAAAUUGCGACAUUUGCACAGUAGGUACAGCAGGUGAAACUGUCUUGUUCGCGGAGUUCAUGUGGUGAAGCAUUGUGGUUAUAUGGUGGGUUUUGGACAUCCUCUUGACACAUUACAUCUUACCUUCACCUUCUUAUCCCGCAUUUUACCUAAACCCCAUUACAACCCUAUUAAAAUCUCUUUGAUUAGUGUAUUUAAUUCACUUUUAAGUGGUGGAGAUUUAAUAAAUGUGCAAGCCUAUGGUAAUGUCAUUCCGUGUGUUGAUUUGACCGUUCCCAGUAUUCAUACAUUCUCUUGAAGGUGACGAGUAUUACUGAGCAUAUUCUUUGGUUAAUUGCCUAUCCGGCAUAUUCUAAUUUCGGCGACAUUGUCGGGGGGGCGAGAUGCUUGUGCUAGUAUAGAUUACUAUAUGACCUCUGUUGUCUUGAUUGUAUUUCUGAGUUUCGGAAUGCUUGAGGACAACCAUUGUUUAGGUGUGGGGGGAUUUGAUAGAGUGAUUUUUUAGCACAUUUUGUACCAUUAUUCUAUCCUAAUUUUGGCUACUCAUGAUGCUGAAAAUUGAGAUUUUACUCAUAUUUGAUAUUUAUAUGAAUUGUAGGUGGUUGGCGUUAAAAGUGAUCUUGCGAGGUGAAUUUCCAGAAGACCCUUCAGCUCAAGACGUGUCCACGCCAGAAAUAGUGGAAGGUUACCCAUAAAGCCGGACUCGCGGGCUUGGUAGCAGAAAAAGUCAACUAGGGAACCAGGUCCACGUGGACCAGAGGCGGGGGAUUAGAACCCUUAGGCAAAGCUUGUUCCUUUUUUUGGAUUACUAUUGGCGGCGCACAUGAAAAAUAUAAGAGACGAAGCCAGAUUCAUGCGAAAGGAAUGAGAUAGCUUAGUUUUCUUUUCCCAAAUUUGUCAGACGUUUGUCUUGCUUUUCUCGGUAGAAAACAGAAGACAAGCCAGAAUCACGUGGGCUUAGUAGUUUAGUUUUCGUUUUCUUCACUGGAGACAAUUUCUUUCUCUGUUUUGACUUUUGAUAAAUUUCGUGAGAUUGCUCCAGUACGGACACGAAAUAAGUAAAGGAAUUAAGAGACUUUCUCUUCAUUAUUCCUCCGUUAGUUCACUUUUCCCAAUUCUUCGGCAAUUAAUUGAAUGUUUUCAAUUAAAUCAUACGGGAUUGACAGGAUGAGGAGCGGCUAGUUCUCCCCUCUACCCAGAGAUCGACGCGAGGGCGCGGUCCAUAAUAUCUGUGAGAUUUGAUCAAACUUUCAUUAUUUCUUCCAAUUUGUUACUAUUCGUGUGUUUCCUGAAUUAAUUGUUCGUGAGUAUUUUAUUAAUUGAAUAUCAACGGCAGGGUAUUUAAUUUAAUUUAAUAGCCUACUAUCACAUUAACUAAAUUCAAUUCGUAAUUGUUCGUUUAGUUGAUAACUAGUGACAACCACUAUAAUUGGCUUUAUGUUGGAGGAAUGCAAGAUCUAAUUUAAAUAAACCCUCUUAGCUGUUUAUUGGUUAGGGUUGGAUUGUUCUAGUUGUAAUGCAGCUGGAUAAUUAAAUUUCUAUGGUCGUACUUAGGAUUGUUAUCUGGUUAGAGAAACAGUCAACGGUCGUACCUUAGCUGUCGAAAAGGUAAGGAAGAAUUGAUUAUCAGAGCUUGUUAUUAGCUAUAACUAGGGGUGGCAAUCCGGUCGGGUUCGAGUUGGUGGGGCGGGUUGAGACCCAAAUAUAACAAAAAAAAUCAUUGACCCGAACCUGACCCGUCAACCCGAAACGGGUCAGGAUGCCUGACGCCAACCCGAAAAUUUCGGGUUGGCGGGUCGACCCGAAAUGACUCGAAACUUAAUUUUAAAUUAUUAAUUUGUCAUUGUAAUUUCUAAUAAAAUCAAUUUCUCACAAAAUUAAUUACAUCAUCAAGUAAUAAAAAUUUAAAUAAAAAUUUCAAACCAAAUCUAAAAUAAAUUAAAUACCGUAAAAGUGUUUUAUCCCAAACCAAAUAUAAAAUAAAUUAAAACAGCAUAAAAGUGAAAAAUAACAUAAUAUAUUAUUUGUUCAAAUAUAAUAAUUUUAACUUCACACAAGUUAAAUAAAUUCAUUUAGGAUUAAGUAAUUAAUACCUUUGAAAAAAAAAGAAUGAUUUAGUUUAGUUAGAUAAAAUAAUUUUAUGCUUAUGAAAUUAUUUUUAAUUCGUAAACGGGUCAUAUCGGGUCAUAUCAGGUCACCAUGGGUUGACCCGAAAUCGACCUGUUUUGUUUUCGGGUCAAUCGGGUUCGACCCGAUUCUGACCCGAAUUCCUGAAACCUCAAUCCAAACCCGUUAAUUUCGUGUUACGUUCAUGUCGUGUUUUCGGAUCGUGUCAGAAAUUGCCACCCCUAACUAUAACCAACCAAGUAACGAAUGAGUGAAAUAUCUUUGCAUCGAUGAUCGUUUAAUUGGACCAUGCCUGAAAAGUUGAUCCUUUGGGUAGAAUUUUAUUAAUUGCUAUUUUUACUAAACUGCACUUGUUGAGUUAGCUCUUGAAUUUUACUUAUUUUAUUUUUACUUUCACCCCAUUAAUUAUCCCUCUCUUUUAUUCUAUUGACUUAGAAAGAAACCACUUCCUAUUUGUUCCCUGUAGAAUUGACCCUACUUGCCAUUGUACGCAAAUUUAAUAUUUUUAUAGACAAAUCUGGUAUAUCGGAUCAAGCAAACUUUUCGGGAACAUGAUGAAUCAAGUAAUCCAUUGCACAUCUAGGGUCCCUACUCCAGUACUUGGAUUUGUUCUAUAAUGAAUUGUGGUGGUAAUUAGGACUUUUUAGUAAUUAUUAUUGCAUAAGUUCGGUACCUGUCAAUGACUAUAGAAUUUUUCUAGUCGGUGAUACAAAAUAUUAAUAUUUGAAAAAAAUUCUAAUCACACAAUUGUAUUUGAUCUCAACCAACCGUCACUACUUUAAAUUAAUUUGGAUUGCAAGUAACGUCAUUACUUUAUGUGAAUAUCAAACAUGAAAAGCGCAUGAUAUAUACGAGCAAAAAAAUUAUAAUGUACUAAUUUUCAAUUUCUUUAUGUAGAAUAUUUUCGUGAAUAUUAAUUUUUGACAUAUCUUAGUCAAGGUCAUUAAUCAACCCGGACCUAAUCAGCUCCAAACCCAGGGCAAAUUUCUGGCAAAUUUCUUUGAAAUACUGCCAAAAAGAAGUUUGAAAAAUAUUGUUGAAAAGUUGAGCAUUUUUCUAUCUAGGCUCUUCGUGUCUCCUACACGCAAUGGAUAGUUUAUUUGUUCAAUUUUCUUUUUAUAAAAGGAGCUUGUCGUAUGUCAGGCACAUGGCGAGCCACAUUUAAAAUUUGGUUCCUAUCAUAGAGUCUAUUAUGUCCCUAACACUGAUGGACUGUUUUUUAAUUUUUUUUUUUUUUAAAAAGCAAGUGAAAAGUGUUGCAACUCAAGAGUUGGAUAGUAAUUUUAAAAUUUAAUAGUGCACCUACCUUUUAAUUUUUUCGUGUGCUUUUAAGGUAUCAAACGGGGAAAAAAAAACCAACACCAUAUAACUUCAAAUGCAAGAUGGUACGGAAUUUGUCAAUAUGUAGAUGUUAAUAGACAUUAAUGACAUGUAAAAAGUGCACCAUUCAUCACAGAGAUAUUUAUCCUAAUAUUACACUCUUUUUUUUUUUUUUCAAAAAUUCCAUAUUUCAUGCAAACAUGUAAUCAAUAUGCCUAAUCAACAUUAGAUGAAUUUAAACAAGUAGCCUACAAAUUUAAAAAUAUUUGAUUUCAUAAAUGUGCAUUCGCAAUUUAGAAAAGGUACUCUUCAAAUGGCAAAUCUAGAGAGCAACAAAUACUCCUACUCUAUUUUGAUUUCAGAUCUUCUUUUGACUUGCCAAAAACGUGAAAACAUGAAACUAAUACUGUGUCAGAUGGAGAGAAGUAAUAGAAAUUUGUUUUCUAGAUUCUUUGGCCUCCCAAUUUUUUCAGCGGGUCAACUCCGACCAUUAUCAUGGUCAUGUGAUUGUAGGUGUACCUGGCUUUGUAGACCACAACGUGGAUUGGAUAUGUCGAUUAGCUCCCAUCCUAUUAUAAUAUUUUUUCUUUUAUAAAUCAAUAUCUAUUCUAUUCCUAUUUCAACUUCUAUUCUAGGGAAAGGGGAGAUUCAACUGAAAAAUUGAUAGUGAUUGAAUCACGAUCGGACCAAACAGAUGUACUAUGCACAUAUACGAAUCUUGGAGAAGCCGGUGCAAUGAUGAGAGGUAAUGUUUGAGUCUUGACCUUCCAUUCCACUAAAAUUUAUAGUCUUUGAUAGUGGCCAACCACCCAAAGAGUUGUUGGUUAACUCCCACCCUGUUAGGAAGUAAAGGUUUUCGACACUCUAAAACAAAUGUUUUUUUUUUGUUUUUUCAAUUAUUUUCAUCUAUCACCAACAGCUGGCGGUCAUGGGUCAUUCAUCAAAGCAUAAAUCCGAACGACACUAAUCCCUCACUAGUCAUCCCCUCAUUCCUUCACGUAUGUUUUUAAUAAAUUGGAUUCAUCUAUUUGGUGUUCUAAAAUCACAUUUAAAAAGUUUUUUUUUUUUUGCAAUGUGUUAUUAUUCAGGACAUGAAUGAUAAUUUUAAAAUUUGAAUAGUGGACCUAAAAAUAAAACUUGUAAAUUUUACAUCUUAGCCUACUUACUUUUAAAACAGAGGGAAAAAACAGCACAUAAUUUCAAGUCAAAGAUUGUAUGCAGUUUGUCCAAUAAAUAAAUAUUCAUAAUUCAUAAUUUCAAACGACCGUGCCUAGUUGCGUGCGACCAUGCCCCGUCGGCCUGCGUUCCGCACACUAGGAUUCUAGAACUGUGUGGAACUCUUUAGAGUCCUUAAAGGAUAAGGAUGCAUGAAUCUUGAAGAUAAGCAUGAACCUUGUAAAUAAGGUUGUGUAGAAAAUUCUAAGCACUUGUAGUGUUUUGGCUUGCCUAUAAAUAGGCCAAGCCCUUUGUAUUGGAAAUGGUUGGCGACCUUGUGUAAAGAAACUUUAUGUAUAAUAUAAGCUUUUCUUUGCCACACUUACAUAUCUUUGCAUACUACUUUGGCGCUUCCGCACUUUAACCGCGCAUUGAGUGUUAAUGCUGAACUAGUUAGGCGUUCAUAGCUUAAGACAUGAGCGUAUGUUAGUGCCGCACGAGGUGUUGGUUUGUAGGAAAACAAGCAGCCCGUGACAAUAGGAAUGUGCUUAGAAAUUGACAUGUGCACUGAUGAUUAAUGCGGUGGACCCGUAAGGGAAAGUGGACAUCGGAAGCCACACGCGCAUGAAUUAAGUGUAAGGAGGAAAUGAUUUCGGGAAUAGCUAAUAUUACCAUUUAUCACUGAUUUUUAAAUUCAAAUUAUUUUUUUAAUUUUUCGUAUGUUGUUUGACAAGAAAAAUAAUAUUUUAUUAUUAUUAGAUUCGCAAGAAAUUCAAAUUUAUCUUCUUAACACUUAGUAAAAAUUGAGUUUAAAUACAUAUUUAUUUUUAAAUGAAUAUAAAUGGAUGAGUCGAAUCAAUCAAUUAUCCUGAGUAUUUUGAAUAACUCAGUUUCAUGUCCGUUUCAAUUCUUCAAAAAUUGCACAGAAAAGUGAAAACAAUGAAAAUGUCUUGGACUCGGGGCACGGACGGUUGCAGGUGCAACCGUCCCUGCCAAUUUUAGUCAUUAUCAACUGUGCGUAACUUUCUUUGUACAUCGUAUAACUUUUUUUUUACAGGAUAUAUUUUCACAACAGAUAGUGGUGAGUCCCACACUUGGCGCGAAAAUCGAGUUACAUGGUGUUAUCUUAGCCGCACAAAAUUUUGAGGACAAAUUUUGAUCCUUAACCGUGCAGGGACGGUCAUACUGCCCCAAAUCCAAAUGUCUUAUAUUAGCUUGGCAGUCCUGCUGAGGUAUAUACAGGUGGAAAUCAUGCUACACAUUGUACAGCUUUCCUUUAGAACCAAGAAACCUGAGCAUUCUCUUUCAAUUGAGAUAGGCUAUCCAGUUGAUUAAUGAUAUGCUAUUUACUUACCUUGUCAAUCGUUUUCAGUCGGUGCCAAAAGCACUGCAGUAGCCGUUUUUUAGUCAAUAUCUAAACACGGUACUCAUUUUGUUCAGAGUACAGCUUUUUGUCUAUUUGUGAAAGCCAACUGCAACUGCCUCAUUGACUUCUCCAAGUAAUUCAAAGAUUUCAGCAGCUUGCUUACAUUAAGCUUUUAUGAAACAAUUUCUGUCUUCUUUUUCUCAUGUAGUCAGCAAAGAAUUGUCUAAUUUACCCUGAGUAUUAGGAAGAAACUUUCUUGCAGUUUAAUCACUCAAAAAACAGGCAAGUAUAAAGGAAAUCAAGGAAAAUUGACAACUGAUAAUUGAUAUGUACAGCCAUUAUUAUAUAUAGACGAAGUCAGCAAUUGAUUUAAGCACGUCUCGGUAAGUUAAAAGGUUAAAACUUUACAUACAAAUAAAUGGUCAAAUUCACUUUAAAUUUGUGGUGUCAUCUUCCACCUUAAACUUUUGUACUACCCAAGUUUGUUUUAAUUCCUUUGGGAAAAUCAAACAUCAAAUGCUUACCAUUUAUUGAAACAUUACAUCAUCCAUAUUUUUUUUUGACAAAAAAAGUAGAUAUAUAAUUAAUAGCAGUAUUCAUAUUAUUUUUUGUAUAUUACUUGUACAUCUAAUUAGUCCCAUUUGGAAAAAAAAAGGAUGAAAACAAAAACACAUAAUAGUCACAAAAAACACAGAUCUAGCUCAAAAUAUGGCAGUGACCAAUUGUUCUGCAAAAUUAGUAGGAUAAGCAGUUGACAGAUUCUAUAAUCGCUUUUGGUCAAAUAUUAUUUAAAUUAGCUGGAUGGUCAAAUAUUACUUUUAAUUUUAAUCAUUUAAAUUACCAGUUGAAUGUUGACUUCCCAUUUCACUAAAAUUUAUAGUCUUUGGUAGUGGCCAAUCAUCCAAAGAGCUAUUGGUUUGUUCCCACCCUGUUAGGAACUAAAGGUUUUCGACCUUCUAAAAAAAAUGUUUUUGUUUUCAAAAAUUAUUUUCGUCUAUCACCAACAGCUGGCGGUCAUGGGUUAUUCAUCAAAGCAUAGAUCCGAGCAACACUAAUCCCUCACCAGCCAUCCCUCAUUCAUUGUCGCAUCCUUUUUAUGAAUUGGAUUCAUCUAUUUGGCGUUCUAAAAUCACAUUUAAAAGUUUUUUUUUUUUUUUUUUUUGCGAAAGUGUUAUUAUUCAGGAUGUGUAUGAUAAUUUAAAAUUUUAAUAGUGGACCUAAAAAUAAAACUUGUAAAUUUUACAUAUGAGCCUACCUACUUUUAAAAUAGAGGGAAAAAAACACCACAUAACUUCAAGUCCAAGAUUGUAUGCAGUUUGUCCAAUAAAUAGAUAUUCAUAAUUCAUAAUUUCAUAUACACAUGUUAACUAGAGAUGUCAAUCACAACCCAAUUAUAUUGAUCCGUUCAAAACCGUUCACUAAUAACCCAUCCAAAUUCACUCAUUAAAAUUUAAAUGGGUCUAAGGUUGUGUUUGGAUUGCAUUUUCCGUCAUUUUUCAUGGAAAAAUUACUGUAGCGAUUUGAUAUAUGUGAGGGAAAAAGGUGAUAGGGAAAUGUGAUCACGGAAAACGACAAUAUUUUUCGACAGAAACAAGCAAUCCAAGCAUGACCUAAGUGAGUACCUAAUUAAAUUCAUUUAAUUGGUGGAUAGUUGAUUGAUUCGAUUCACCUAUUUAUAACCAUUUAAAAAAAUAUAUUUUUAAACUCAAUUUUUACUAAGUGUUAAGAAGAUAAAUUUGAAUUUCCUACGAAUCUAAUAACAAUAAAGUAUCAUUUUUCUUGUUAAACGACAUGCAAAAAAUUAAAAAAAAUAGAAUUUCAAAUCAGUGUAAAUGGGUAAUUAAGUAUAUUCAUAUCCAUUUAUUAAAUAGAUAUAAAUGGAUUGAUUCAAUUAUAUCUAUUACCCAAUUAAAAUUUGCUCAAAUCCGUACAAGUCACUCAUUUUGAUGCUUUUAAUGUUAAUAUAUAUUCACAAGUGAAGAGUGCAGCAUUGGUUGGGAAGAUAUACUUAUUUAUCUCAAUAUUAUAAUCGUUUUUUACGUUGCAAAAGUAUUGAUAAUUUCAUAAUUUCAUCGAAGUAUGUAAUCAGUGACAUAACAUUACAUGAAUUUCAACGAAGUAUGUAAUCAGUGACAUAACAUUUCAUCAUUAGUCUUCAGCGGUGAAUCUAUGCUCUUUUCACGAGGCUUCUUUUCAAAGCUUUGAUUAUGGCAUACACUUCUGACAAUAUGCCCCUUUUAGAAUAGGGAUAAGUUUCUGGGUGAAUCUUUUCACGAGGCUUCUUUUCAAAGCUUUGAUUAUGGGGAUAAUUUCAGAUACCUCCCCUGAGGUUUCUGAGAGUUUCACUCCCCUCCCCUGUGGUUUCAAUAAUACCACAAACCUCCCUUAAAACUAGAUAGGCAAUGCCAAAAUAGACCCAUUUUAAAAAUACAAACAAUAAAAAAUUAGUAGCUGGUGAGAGAAACAAGUGUAUACCACAAAUGCCCUCAUUAUCUUGCAUUAAUGAACUAAUCUCAUGUGAAGAAAAAACAGGGAAUUUAAGAAGAAAGAAACUUGAGGGGGUGGAAGUGAGACCAAUGCAUUCAUUAAGGUCUGAACGUCAGUAGUGAACAAAAUGGAAGGCAACGGCUCUUUCUGGUAGGGCAUGUUGUUUUGUCAAGCGAGCAUAUAACUGAAGAACGGCCUGCAUAACCAAAGCUAGUACAUGUUGUUUUAUCAAGUCACAAGCAAUAAUCAAUACAUUACCACAAUCUUCCAUCGUCAAAAAGCCUGUAGGUUUUCCAAAUGUUUUCUCAAAGAUUUAUCGACUUUCUUUAUCCUGCAAAAGAGGAGUGGAUUUUUUCUCAGCAACAUCUUCCAGAACUGGAGAUGCAACAUGUUUCUCUGAUGAGUCAGGUAUUAGUCCUGCUGCAGUCUCUUCUGUACUUUCACGAGAGAUUCUGGGCCUGGAUUGCAACAAAUUAUCCAGGAUUAGAAGUAAGGCACUAAUACAUUUCGGGCUCAAAAUCUCAUUUCCUGCAAUAGUCCUUGCUUUGAAGUUCAUCAAGAUAUCAAUUGCCAAUGGGACAAUGCCACUCUGCACAGCAAUUUGUCGAGCAUUUUCAUCUUCAGAUAAAAUCAAUGCUAAAGUAUGUGAAACCAUGCACAAUGCACUAUUAUCUUUUGAGAAUUCCAUGGGGCACUGCUUUAGCUACUUUACAAGAUAAGGAAUCACCCGAUCACGGUCUUCUCCUUUGUUCCUAUUGCAAAGAGUCACAAGCAAAUCUGUCAACUGGAAAGCCAUUGAAUCACUACUGUGAAACAACUUCAUUGUUGCAGCAAGGAUGUCAUCAACAUAAGGGGUCUUAAUUCGUUCCUCUUCUGCCAAAACAUCCACUGAUUUUUCAGUGUUAUCGACUUUAGAUGCUUCUGAGGAAUUUCCUAGAGAUAAAGCAAGUGCACGAGCCAAUUCAUCAUCCUCCAGCACAGGAUCUUCAGCAUGACUAAAUAACCAUUCCAUAGCCAUUUCGACACUAUUAGUUUCCACUCUUUUUAAUGCCUUCUCAGCUCUUGCUCUUGAGAACCCCAUCUCAACAAUGGUAGCAAUGGUAGCUUCAUUAGGUGGUGGAGCCACCAAACGUUGGUUUGUAUUCCCUAACAACCCACUACGAUUUGUUUAACAUCACCAACACCAGAAUAUACAUGAGUGAUUAGUGAAAUAAUAGAAGUUAUAAAAACUGGAUUACAAUUUGGAAACAAAGGGUGAUUCCAGAUGGGAACUAUAGCAUCCAGAACCUGAGACUGCAGCAUACGAACAAACACUUAAGGGUCCUUAGGAACAGGAAGCAACCCAAUAGACAGACCAACUGCAACAGGUUGCACAAGCAGCUGUGCCUGGGAUGCUAAGGUUGGAGACAACAGCAAAGAAGAAUUGAUAAAAUAUUCAAGAAGGCGACAAUAACUCUGCAAUGUAUCAAGCAGCCAUGAACUGUGAGACAAUUUGCCCUCCUCCGGUAAGACAAUCAUAAAAAGUUACAAGUAACUCUUGGGGUCUACCUUAGCCACUCUUACUUUUCUUCCCAUAAAAUGGAGCACAAUAUCAUGAAAAUCAGUGAUAACCAUCCUACAAUAGACAAUCAUAGGCUACUGAAGUUACAAUAUUAGUUAUUGAAGUUACAGAAAAUAUUAGCUACAAUAUUAACCAUCUUGCAACAUUGGUUGCUGAAGUUACAGAGCAAGUAUAAGCUUUCUAAGUACUGAGGUUUGGCAUCUAACUAUAUCAAACAAUCCAAGUCAGACGAGAAAUUUAGAAUCAAGUAAGCAUAGUCUGGUAGAGGCUUAGCAAACCAAGUCACAUGACAAACCAGAAAAUCAUAAGCAAACAUGUAUCAAGCUUACACAAACAACAACCAAAUCAUCAUAAGCUGCCAAUAUCAUAUUGAAACAGAGUAUGAAAUCUUAAACACUUACCUGGUAAAUUUUUCUUAAUGAGCUAAGAGACUCUUCAGUUUGUUUGCCAAGACCUUUGUUUGCUAAGAACUUUCUUAACGAGAAUCAAGAGCUUUGUUUGCCAACCAUCAACCUCAGUUGCUAUAUCUCAACAAUGGCGGGAACAAAGUAAGUUUCUUGCUUCUAUAGGUACCGUGCCUAUCAAGCUGUUGUGUCAAUCAGACCAUGGCGCCUAAGUUUGGCGCCAUUUUGCUGAAGGCUCCUUUCUAUAUUGGUUGUUAGGACUCUAAUUUUUCGUUAAUUAAUUACAUUAAUUGUGUUUAUAACUAAUUCAACUAAAGUUUUCCAGAUAAUCAUGAAAUAUUAGCAAACUAGUGAGGGUAUUUAAGUCUUUUUGGCACCAAUGACGUAAGAAAUGGGACCUCACAAUCUGACAAGGGAGGUUUGUGAUAUUAUUGAAAUCACAGGGGAGGGAAGUGAAACUGUCAGAAACCUCAGGGGAGGUAUCUGAAAUUAUGGGAUACACUUCUGACAAUAUGCCCCUUUUAGAAUAGCGAUAAGGUUCUGUGUGGGAUAAUUUCAGAAACCUCCCUAGGGUUUGUAACAAUUUCAUCAAGCUUUCUUGAGAUUUUCAAUAUUACACUUACCUCCCUUGAUGAUAGUGACUAUAAUAAUCUUCAUAAUUUUUUCAGAGACAAGCCAUUGAUAAAAAAGGAUUAAAAAAAAACGAAAACAAUUCUUCUUGGCUAAGCCACAUAUUGUGACUAAAUUGUUUCAUCCAUGACCACUAAAUUGUAAUUUUCUAUUACUGAGAAAAGGAAGUAUUUUGGUAAUUGAGGGGCUUGGUUGUUUGAGUAGGAAAAGGGUAAGAAUUAUGAAUUUUAUGAUUGACAGUUUGGUAGACAACAUAUGGAAAAAACUUAUAGAGAGGUAAAAAUUAUAAAGGUAAGAAUUAUGAUGGUGGAUUUUGACAUCUAAAAUAACGAGCUUGUUCGAAAGAGGAAGAAAUGAUAAGACUUUGAAAACUUGGGUAGAUGUAGAAAAUUAUGAGAUGAAAAAUAUUAGGACAUUGGCUAAGUAAUAAAACUCAUAGGUUUAUAGUAUACAAGUGUAUUCUUGAUUUUUGAAAAAUUUUAAUGACUAUUCAUAUUUUGAAAAUUAGAUAAGGACAAUUUUGGGCAUUCGUAUAUUUUUUUGGUCUUACAUCGUCAAGGUGAAACUCAAACCUAUGUUUGAGUAAAUAUAUGUGUAAUUUUCAAAACGUGAGAAAAGCUGUCUGAAAUUAUCAGAAACCCCAGGGGUGGUUUAUGAAAUUAUACAAAAAACUCCAAUAAAGUGGCAGUUCAAACUGGGCCAACCAUCUCCUAUCUUCGCAUGUCCUCCCGCCGGCGGCCCUGAGUCAUCUAUAAAAGUAUAGACCAAGACAGCACUAAUCCCUCAUCAGGCCUCCAUACUUCUUCUUCAGGCCUCAGCAACGAAACAAUAAACUCUGCUCCACUCAACUCUUUCCUCUGUGUCUUGUACUCUUGUCUGAAAAUGGCGGCGUCAGAAGAAGUGAAAGUGCCAAGAAUCAAGCUGGGGUCGCAAGGUUUUGAAGUUUCAGCUCAAGGGCUGGGCUGCAUGGGCAUGUCAGCCGUCUACGGGCCGCCAAAGCCCAAGCCUGAUAUGAUCAAACUCAUCCACCAUGCUAUUUGCAGAGGAAUCACCCAUCUUGACACCUCCGAUAUCUAUGGACCUCACACCAACGAAAUACUCAUUGGCAAGGUACCAUAUUUGCAAAUUUUCUGCUGUUGUCUGCUAUGCAUAAACUCUUGUAAUUUUAAUUUCUAAAAGAGCAUAUUUUUAAAUAUUUUAUUUAGGUAAAUUAUGCUUAAUCCCAUGCACUUCAAAAUUUGUCUCCCUUUGUGCCCCCUUAAUUUUGUUUGUCAGCACUUAAACUCCAUUUGUUUAAAUUGUAAGUAUUAUUAGUCAAAUAUGACAUUGUUCUUCUUCAACUUUUCAUGUUACUGCCUUUUCAGUUUGUCCUCCUUUAUAAAUAUGGGAUGAAUUACUUUGAUUUUGAUUUUGGUGCAAUUUUGUAUAAAAUGAUUUUUGCUAUGAAGUUAUUGAUUUAUUAUGAGCUAUGUGUUGUAUAUUUACAAAAUUCUGCUAGUUAAACAUUCACUUGAGCAAGCCUUCCAAACAUGAGCAAUAUAAUUCUCUAUGGGUGCAUUUGGUAAAUUUGAAGUCUAGAAAUUGAAAUCUAAUCUAAAGUCUGAAUCUAUAAAGUUAUUAAAUUGUUAAGUACUAAAUUUGAUACGUUUGAGUGUAUGUCACAUCAAGUGAAAUGAAUAACUCAUAACUUAUUUUUUGAAGCAAGUUUUGCUUAAGAAAUUUAAUGUCAUUUAAUUAAUUCAGAUAUUCAAUUUUUGGUUAUCAAACGUGUCUAAAUAUGUUAAGAUCUGAAUUUAUUAAUUUUAAGUGUUAAAUUAGGUUAUCAAACAUGACCUAUAAUUAUUAAGUAACCAAGCAGACAACAUGUUUAGUGUAUAAUAGUAAUUAGCUUUCAAUUUGUCUUGUUAUUCUUUGGUAAAGAACUCUUUGAAUUAAUAAUAAUAAUUUUCUCAUACACGGGAAUCAAAAUAAUUGAAGUGUUAUCUCUACAAUUGAGAUAUGUCACCUUCUAAAAGAAAGGAAAGGGAAGGAAACAUGGGGGGAAAAUAGGGAAAGGGCAAAGUGAUGAUAAAGAAAAUUGGAAGUAGCAAAAUGACACAAGUGAAUUAUUGCAAGGGGUUAAGUGUAAAUUAUGUUUAUUUUAUUAGUCUAUUUAACCAGAAAGAUUGGGCUCUUGUAAGGCACCAAUCAAAAGUUCCAAUUGCUGGAAAUAACAUAAAAACUUAGACUUUGUUUGGUUUGGCAUUUUUGGAGGUGGUUCAUGAAAAUUUUAUUGUAGUUUUUUUUUUCUUGUUGAAAAAAUAUACUUGUAAGAGGAAAAAAAAUGGUUGAAAAAAAAUUGAGAGUUUUUUUUAAUAAAUUGUUUUCUAAAUAGCUCAGUCACCCAAAAUUUUCAGUAUUCUGACAAUGGCAUCCAUGUGGUGUCAAUUGUCAAACUUGCAACAAAGUUGAGAAAAGAAGGUCGUAGGUCUAGCUCUUUUUUAAUACGUUGAAUAGCUCUAUCCCAUUAGAAGGAUUUAGAACUCUUCUACCAUCUCUUUAUUUUCUUUUUUUUUUUCCCUUCAAAAUUCUACAUCAUAAUGGAGUUGGUAAAAUAGUACUAUUUUCGUCUUUGAUGUUAAAAUUUUCAUCAAUUUAUGGAAAGUUUACUAUUUCUCUAACAAGAGUUAGUAAAAUUUACUUUUUAUGAGCAGUAAAGUUUUAAAGAUUAUGAAAAAAGAAUUGUAUGAAGGAACAAAGGGGAAAAGAAAGGUAAGAAAAUGGAUGGAUUGUAUUUGGAUUGAUUUUGAGAGGGGAAAGGAGAGGAAAACGGAAAGAAAAGGAAAUGGAUGGAUUGUGUUUUGCUCAGACAUCAUUUCCCUACAAAAGUAGACGGAAACAGAGGGAAAGAAAAUCUUGUUGAUGAUUUUCUAGUAAAAUGCCUCAAGCGCCCAAAUUUUACAUAAACUGGCCAUUUGUGAAACCUGCUUUAGAUAUGAAUUGUGGGAUGCAACAGCAGGCUAGGAAUGUUUGACGAAGCAACUUAUGUAAAUAUUUUAUCGUUAAGUAAAGUUCCUCUUUUGCUGUUAAAAAAAAAGAGAGAGAGAAAAACCAUUCCUUUCAUGUCUGUCAUUCUACCAAACAGCAUAUUUAGGUUUUCUUUCUUUCCCAUCCAUAUCUUAUCCAAAUAAAACAAAUGAGAACUAUUUUCCUCUACUUUCCUUUCCUUUCUUUUUCACUAGGAUGUUUUAUUUAUUUAUCUUUCCUUUCCUUUGAUCCAAAUGGUUCCUAAAAGGGCACUAAUUCAUCUACAUUGAUCAGUUCCCUAUUUUUGUAUUAAUGUGCAUGUGCAUGUGCACGAUUCUGUGUACGUUCAUGUUGUGCAUCAAAUCUUAAGAAUGAAAAAGCUAGAUUGUAAAUUUAAGUUGAAGAAAUAUAAAACAAAAAGAGAAAAUGGAUUGGGUCCUUAAGAGUAUCAGACUUCUAAACUCCAAGGAUUACAUAAUUUUCAUAUCCUUUGCUAUAUAAAGAAGUGGGAUAGCCUAAACAAUGAAGUGUUGGAAAAACUCCAGAGGAACUGUGCCAUCCAUGAAAUCACAAAUCCACUUGCUAUACCAUGCAAUAAUGUUCAUGUCCUUGAUGAUUAAUAUAAUGAAACCAUGGUUCUAGGCCUUGAAGGAAGGAAUAAGAGUGAAAGUGGAGCUAGCAACAAAAUUUGCAGUCAGUUUUCAGGAUGGGAAGUUUGAUGUACGUGGUGAUCCAGCCUAUGUGAGGGCUUCUUGUGAAGCGAGUUUGAAGCGGCUUGAUGUGGACUGCAUUGAUCUCUAUUAUCAACAUCGCAUCGAUACACGUGUGCCCAUUGAAGUCACGGUUUGCUUGUCUUGCCUUUCUUGUUUUUUAGCUCCACCUCAUUCUUGAUGAAACAAAAAUUUGAUCAACUCCAAAUUUUGAAUAAUUCAGUUUCAUUUCCGUUUCAAUUCUUCAAAAGUUGCACAGAAAAGUUAGUCAACCUUAUGGUCUCGGCUAAUCUGCAGUAUGGUAUAGCUGAUUUUGCACAAGGCAUCCUGAAAAGUGAAAACAAUGAAAAUGUCUUGUAUUAGCUUGACGGUCCUGCUGAGGGAUAUACAGGUGGAUAUCAUCCUAUACAUUGUACAGCUUUCUUUAGAACCAAGAGACCUGAGCAUUCUCUUUCAUUUGAGAUAGGCUAUCUGGUUGAGUAAUGAUCUGCUAUUUACUUACCUUGUCAACCAUUUUCAGUUGGUGCCUAAAGCGCUGCAGAUAGACAUUUAUUAUUGAUAUCUAAAAAACAUGGUACUCAUUUUGUUCAGAGCACAGCUUUUUGUCUAAUUGUCAAAGCCAGCUGCAACUGCCCCAUUGACCUCUCCAAACAAUUCAAAGAUUUCAGCAGCUUGCUUACAUUCAGCUUUUAUGAAAUAAUUUCUGUCUUCUCUUUCUCAUGUAAUCAGCAAAGAAUUGUCUUGGUUUCCCUGAGUAUUGGGUAGAAACUUUCUUGCAGUUUAAUCAGUAUAAAGGAAAUCAAGCAAAAUUGGCAACUGAUAAUUGGUAUGUACGGCCAUUAUUAUAUAUAGAAGUCAACAAUGCCAUGUAAUCAUAUUGGAGGAGCAUUAUGUUGGCAUGGUCCAGUAGAACUAAGUCCUCUGGUGGGCUGUACAUAGAGAAGUAUCACCGGAUGCUUAUUGCCAUUUUCAUCAAUUAGUGAUUUCAGUUUGACGUGUACUUUGUCCAUGACUUCGAUGAACUAGUGCAACUUUUACUUUUUGCACGUAAUAUUUUGAUUAUCUGCCUAAGUGCUGAAUGUAAUAAGUCAGCUUAGCAUCUUCUUGUCCAUUGAAAUUCUCUAGAUAGGAGAGCUUAAGAAACUGGUUGAAGAGGGUAAAAUAAAGUAUAUAGGUAUGUCUGAGGCCUCAGCUUCAACAAUUCGAAGAGCACAUGCUGUUCAUCCAAUAACAGCUGUACAGUUGGAGUGGUCAUUGUGGACCAGAGAUGUCGAGGAAGAGAUUAUUCCCACAUGCAGGUAGUGCAUAUAUUCUGCUGCAUUUUCUACAUGGUCUAGAAGAAAUAUUAAGUUCUCAAUUCAGUUUUUGGUAUAAUCUUUCAGAGAGCUUGGCAUAGGGAUUGUUGCAUACAGUCCACUUGGACGAGGUUUCUUCUCAUUAGGUCCAAAGCUGAUCGAGAAUUUGGCUGAAGGUGACUACCGAAAGGUUUGUGCAUAUCGAAAAAGAUGGAGUUUUUUAGUAUACAUUGUUUAUAGUUCGAAUAAGUUUCUCACUCAUCUAUUUUUACCACAUUCAGUGGCAAUCAUGCUUGAUAUCCCUAUUGUUGUCUAUCACAAGCAAUGGGUAGUAUCAAUUUUUAAAGUGCAAAGAUGUCAAAAGAGGAAGAAACUAUGUCACUUUUUAAGUAAAAGUCUCUUUACGGUUUUGAGGGGAAAUGGACCUUGGACUUCAAUUUCAUCAUUUAAUCUCAGGCACAGAACUUAUGCUGUCCUGUGAAACUAUCAUUUUUCCUUUACCAUUAAUCCUAAAACUGAGUUUCAUUGGUCAGAAAUAUACUUCAUAGUAGUACCUCCUCUAUCGUUCAUAGUAGUACCUCCAUCGUUCAAACAAACAAAAAUUAGUUGAUUUGUAUUUUAAGUUUCCUCUUUGAUGGGAAAUGUAUCUCAGAACUUAACUCCAACGGUUGAUGCUUCCUCCGUGGAGUAUUCAGUCGAACUUGAUGUAUUGUUCUUUCCCCUGAACUUGUGCCCUUCAAACAGUAUUUCUGAUCAUCUUGAAGUAAUUAGUACCGUCUGUUCAUUACUCCCUCCCGAUUUCUUGCAUUAUAGUUUCCUCUUUAAUGGGAAAUGUAUCUCAGGAUCUACCUUCUACAAUUGAGGUUUCUUAGAGUACUCAGUCCACCUUACUGGAUUGUUCCUUCCCCUGAACUUUGUACACCUUAAACAAUACUAUCAAUCAUCUUGAAGUUAUUCAUAUUGUCUUCAUUUGUAGACGACACAUGCUUUGCUCCCUUUUGAAUUUCUGGCAUUACAGUUGCUUAAAUUUUGAAAUUCAUACAAUGUAGGGUAUGCCAAGGUUUCAAGCAGAGAAUUUGGAGCACAACAAGAACUUGUACGAGCAGGUCAAUGCCAUUGCUUCAAGGAAGGGUUGUACUCCAUCACAGCUAGCAUUGGCCUGGGUCCAUCACCAAGGCAAUGAUGUUUGCCCCAUACCUGGCACUACCAAGAUUGAGAACCUCAAUCAGAAUAUAGGAGCUUUGUCUGUAAAACUGUCAGCAGAGGAAAUGGCGGAACUUGAAUCUUUGGCUUCUGCGGGAGUCAAGGGUGAUAGGUAUGGGCCUGGCCUUGGUACUUGGCAAACUUCUGAAACUCCACCUUUGUCAACCUGGAAGAGAACAUGAAGACAUACUUUGUUAUGGCAAUAAUUCCUUCUAGCUAUGUGCCUGAUGGUGGAUUCCACUAUAUUAAGAGUUGAGUGAUAUGUAUUUGUUCCAAUAAAUUUUGACAUACUAUUGUCUCUAGGGUUAAGACAAGUAAAGUUAUAAGAAGAAUGGAGUUUCUUCAGAGAGGUUGUAAUGAAUAAAUAUCUGGUCAUGUAAAAGCAGAAUAUAAUUUUCCUUGCAGUUGAAUGCAUUAAACGUUAUAUAUUGUACUUUUGAAUGCUAUAGUGGUCCAUUUUGGAUGUGCUACUGCUACGAGAGUUAUAGAUUGUCGAACAGCAUUCAAUUCAGGACUUAUUAAACAUAAGCAUAUAAACAUUUUAUUCUCGGAAUAUUUACAUCAAAAGAAACUCCAAGGUCACAUCAUUGUAAAGUGUAAACUAUAUCAUAUUAAUAAAAAGCAAAAAAAAUGUCUAAAUGAGGAAAAAAAAUGUACUAUAGAAGAAGUCAACAAUGUCAUGUAAUCAUUUUAUCCUAAAAUUGAGAUUCAAAUUUAGUUGAUUUGUAUUUUGAGUUUCCUCUUUGAUGGGAAAUGUAUCUCAGAACUUUAACUCCAACAGUUGAUGUUUCCUACUUGGAGUACUCAGUCCACCUUGAUGCAUUGAUCUUUCCCCUGAACUUGUGCCCGUCAAACAAUAUUUCUGAUCAUCUUGAAGUAAUUAGUACCAUCUGUUCAUUACUCCCUUCUGAUUUCUUGCAUUAUAGUUUCCUCUUUAAUGGGAAAUGUAUAUCAAGAUCUACCUUCUACAAUUGAGAUUUCUUAGAGUACUCAGUCCACCUUACCAGAUUGUUCUUUCCCCUGAACUUUGUUCACUUCAAACAAUACUAUGAUGAUCUUGAAGUUAUUCGUAUUGUUGUCUUUUGUAGACGACACAUGCUUUACGGCCUUUUGAAUUUCUGCAUUGCAGUUGCUUAAAUUUUGAAAUUCCUACAAUGUAGAAUAUGCCAAGGUUUCAAGUAGAGAAUUUGGAGCACAACAAGAAGUUGUAUGAGCGGGUCAAUGCCAUUGCUUCAAGGAAGAGUUGUACUCCAUCACAGCAAGCGUUGGCCUGGGUCCAUACCAAGGCAAUGAUGUUUGUCCCAUAACUAGCACUACCAAGAUUGGAAACCUCAAUCAGAAUAUAGGAGCUUUGUCUGUAAAACUGUCAGCAGAAGAUAUGGCUGAACUUGAAUCUAUUGCAUCAACUAGAGUCAAGGGUGAUAGAUAUGAUCCUGACCGUAUCAAGGGCAGAGGUUAUGGGAUCUGAUUAUGGGCAGCUGAUUAUGGGAUCUGGUCUACUCAUUGCAAUAAUCAAGGGCAGCUGAUUAUGGGAUCUAUUCUAUUAUAAUUGCAAAGAUUAUGAUUGAAAUUAUGGGAUCUACUCUAUCAUGUACAUUAGCUGUAUAUUAGCAUAUGUGUCAUUAAUAUAUUGAUAGGUAGAUAUAUUCUUACCUAGAAUAGAAUGUACAGAGUUUCUAUUUAAUGGAAAAGAUGCACAAAAGACAGCAUUCAGUCUUUGAUCUAGAAAAUUGUCAUGGUAUCAGAGCUGGUUAUUUGAAUUUCUGUGUCUUUCAAAAUUUGUUGAGUUGUUAUUCUUCUUGGGUUGAUUAUUUUGAUCAAUCAUUUGGUUUCAAGAUAUCAUUGGGUCAAUCAUAUUGUGGUUGGCAGUCUUUCUUGUAAUUCAGAUCUUUGUUUUUUUGAAAGAAUGUCUAUGGAAAACUCUAUUGGAAAAACACAUACGGAAUCUUUGGCUAUCAAGUUCAUGGGGAAAAAUUAUGCAGUAUGGGAUUUAGAAUGUUUCUAAAAGGCAAAGAGCUUUGGAGUCAUAUUGAUGGGUCUUCUACCUAGAGAUGGAAAAGAAUUUUGUCAAUGGGAGGCAAAGGAUGCUAGAAUUAUUUCUUGGAUUCUAGCAUCUAUUGAAGCUCAUAUGGUGAAUAAUUUACACUCCUUUAAUACAGCAAAGGAGAUGUGGGAUCAUUUGAAGCGUGUAUAUCAUCAAGAUAAUACAGCAAGAAGAUUUCAGCUUGAAUUGGAAAUUAGUAACUACGGCCAAGGUAACCUCUCUAUUAAGCAGUAUUAUUCUGGAUUUCUUAAUUUAUGGAGCGAAUACUCUAGUAUAAUCUAUUCUAGGGUACCAAGCCAAGCCUUAGCUGGUAUUCAAGCGGUUCAUGAAGAUAGUAAGCGUGACCAGUUUCUAAUGAAACUAAGGCUUGAAUUUGAAGCGGUCAGAGCUGGAUUGUUAAAUAGAAAUCCAAUUCUUUCUUUUGAUGUAUGUCUUGGUGACUUGUUGCAAGAAGAACAGAGAAUGGCUACACAAACUAUCAUAGGUGCAUCAAAGGAGAUAUCUGAAGUUGUCAAUAUUGCCUAUGCUGCUUAAGGGAGGAAUCGCGAAAAGGGACAAGUACAGUGCUAUAGUUGCAAGGAACUUGGACAUAUAGCAUGCAAUUGUGGAAAGAAAUUUUGCAAUUAUUGUAAGCAAAAUGGACACAUCAUCAAGGACUAUCCUACACGCCCUGAAAAUCGGAGAGCCCAAGCCUUUCAAGCUGCUGUCCAAGACUCUAACACUAUUGGUUCUACAUCUACAGCCACAACACUUACUCCAGAAAUGGUUUAACAAAUGAUUUUUUCAGCAUUUUCUGCUCUUGGACUUCAAGGUCAAAGUAAAUUGUUUCUACUCUUUGGUUAGUUGAUUAUGGAGCAUCAAAUCAUAUGACUGGUUCACCUGCAUCAUUACAUAAUCUACGGCAGUAUACUGGUAUACAAAAUAUUUAGAUUGCUAAUGGCAGUAAUCUUCCAAUUACAGCCAUUGGUGAUAUUGGACCUUCUUUUCGUCAUGUAUUUGUCUCUCCAGGGUUGUCUACUAGUUUGAUUUCUAUUGGUCAGAUGGUGGUUAAUAACUGUGAUGUUCGGUUCUCUUGUGAUGGUUGUCUUGUGCAGGAUCAGGUGUCGGGGAAGGUGAUCGCGAAGGGGCCUAAAGUAGGCAGAUUAUUUCCUUUGCAAUUUUCAGUUCCGAGUACUUUGUCUUUGGCUUCUAUGGUUAUUGACAAUAAAGUUGAAGUAUGGCAUCAACGAUUGGGUCAUCCAAAUAAUGUCAUUUUAUCUCAUUUAAUGAAGCACGGUUUUUUUGGGAGUAAAGAUCAGUGUUCUAAUCAUAACUUGUCUUUUGAUUGUUCUACCUGUAGAUUAGGGAAAAGUAAAAUAUUACCUUGUCCUAGUCAUGGUGGUCAUGCUAAUACAAGUUUUGACAUCAUUCAUAGUGAUAUUUGGGGUAUUACUCCUGUUGUUUUACAUGCACAAUAUAAAUACUUUGUGACAUUCAUUGAUGACUAUAGUCGUUUCACAUGGAUAUAUUUUUUGCGCACUAAAGUCGAGGUAUUUGUUGUUUUUCAAAAACUUGUGGCUUAUGUACAGACACAAUUUUCUACUGGCAUUAAGGUUUGACGUUCUGACAAUGGUGGGGAAUAUAUGUCCCAUGCCUUUCAAGCAUUUUUGCAACAGAGAGGUAUUUUAUCUCAACGAUCAUGUCCUUAUACCUCUCAACAGAAUGGGGUGGCUGAAUGUAAGCAUCGUCAUUUGUUGGAUAUGGUAUGAACCUUACUCUUGCAGUCUUCGGUUCCAUCUAAAUUUUGGAUAGAAACUUUGCCCACUACAGUUUAUUUAAUUAAUCAUCUACCUUCUCAACAGUUGAAUUUUGAUUCUGAUUAUUAUCAUCUUUUUGAUGUACAUCCUGAUUAUGGCAACCUACACACAUUCGGAUGUGUUUGUUUUGUUCACUUACCUCCUUAUGAGCAUCACAAACUUACAGCUCAAUCUGUUAAAUGUGCUUUUAUGGGUUAUAGUACAACUCAUAAAGGAUUUUUGUGUUACAAUGCUAUGGCUAAUCGUCUACACAUUUCUAGAAAUGUGAUUUUUGUUGAACAUGAGCACUACUUUCCAUACAUGUUUCCUCGUCUAAAGGUGUUGUUCUUCCUAGCUUUGAUGAUAUUGUUCCGCCAAUUGAACGGUUUAAACCAGGGAUUGUUUAUCAAAGACAAUAGGCUUCUUCAUCACAACCUCUUCUCGACUCUGGUCCAGUCCUUGCUCCAACCACUCUUAAAAGGUCUCUACGUCUUAGUCGUCCGCCUGAUUGGUAGUAUGGUUUCUCUGCCACUAUAACUGACACUACAGAUCCUACAUCCUAUUCACAGGAAGCUAAACAAGCAUGUUGGGUGAAAGUUAUGAACGAGGAACUUCAAACUCUUCAGGAGAAUCAUACUUGGGAUAUUGUUCCUUGUCUCGAUGGUGUUAAGGCCAUUGGUUGUAAACGGGUGUUUCCUCUUAAAUUGAGAUCUGAUGGCUCACUUGAAAGAUAUAAAGCACGAUUAGUAGCUCUUGGUAAUCGGCAAGAGUAUGGAGUAGAUUAUGAGGAGACCUUUGCUCCAGAUGACAAUAGUUCGAAUUGUUCUAGCUAUUGCUACUUCUAAGGGCUGGUCAUUGCGACAGAUGGAUGUUAAGAAUACCUUUUUACAUGGCGAUCUUCAAGAAGAGAUUUAUAUGACUCCACUAUUAGGGUUAUUUUCUACAUCUUCUUCUGAUGUUUGUAAGCUAAAACGCUCACUCUAUGACUUAAAACAAGCUCCACGUGCUUGGUUUGAUAAGUUCCAUUCUACGCUUAUUAGCUUCUCCUUUGUUCAGAGUCAGUAUGACUCCUCUUUGUUUCUUCGCCAGACCGAUAAGGGACUUGUUUUACUUCUGGUAUAUGUUGAUGAUAUUGUUAUCACAGGAAAUGACUCUGAAUUAAUAUCUCAACUUCAGGAGCAUCUUCAACGUUCUUUUCAUAUGAAGGACUUAGGCCCUCUACAAUAUUUUUUAGGUCUAAAAAUGCAGUCUACCUCAACUGGUAUUUUCUUACAUUAGCAUAAAUACAUCCAGGAAUUAAUUGCUUUGGCAGGUCUCCAAGAUGGUCGGUCUGUUGAUACCCCCUUGGAAGUAAAUGUUAAAUAUCACCGUGAUGAGGGUGAUUUUCUCUCAGAUCCCUCUCUCUAUCGGCAAUUGGUGGGAAGUCUCAACUAUUUAACUAUUAGUCGGCCUGAUAUUUCAUUUGCUGUUCAACAAGUUAGUCAAUUUAUGCAGGCGCUUAGGGACCUUCAUCUAGCUGCUGUUCAUCGCAUUAUCCGUUAUUUACUAGGCACUUCCUCUCGUGAUUUUUUCUUCUCCAGAAAUUCUCCUAUUCAUUUGGUAGCCUAUAGUGAUGCUGACUGGGCGGGUUGUUCGGAUACUGGACGUUCAGUUACUGGUUGGUGCAUGUUUCUUGGAAAUUCUCUUAUUUCUUGGAAAAGCAAAAAGCAAGACGGGGUGUCUAAGUCCUCUAUUGAGUCAGAGUAUCGUGCUACGUCCUCUGCAUGUUCUGAGAUCAUUUGGCUUCGAGGCCUCUUAGGUGAGCUUGGGUUUCCCCAACUUGCACCUACUCCUCUUCAUGCCGAUAAUACUAGUGCUAUUCACAUUGCUGCUAAUCCUGUAUUUCAUGAGCGUGCCAAACAUAUUAAAGUUAAUUGUCACUCUAUCUGUGAAGCAUAUGAUGAUCAUGUUAUCUCUCUUCCUCAUAUCACCACUGAUCUUCAAACUGCUGAUAUACUUACUAAAGCUCUUUCUCGGCAUAGACACAAUUUUCUGGUUGACAAAUUAAUGCUUUUUGAUCGACCAGCAUCAAUUUGAGGGGGGAUAUCAGGGGCAGAGGUUAUGGGAUCUGAUUAUGGGCAGCUGAUUAUUGGAUUUGGUCUACUAAUUGCAAUAAUCAAGGGCAGCUGAUUAUGGGAUCUAUUCUAUCAUAAUUGUAAAGAUUAUGACUGAAAUUAUGAGAUUUGCUCUACCAUGUAUAUUAGCUGUAUAUUAGCAUAUCUGUCAUUAAUAUAUUAUAUAGGUAAAUAUAUUUUUACCUAGAAUAGAAUGUACAGAGUUUCUAUUUAAUGGAAAAGAUGCACAAAAGACAGCAUUCAGUCUUUGAUCUAGAAAAUUGUCAGGCCGUGGUACUUGGCGAACUCAUGAAACUCAACCUUUGUCAACUUAGAAGACUACAUGAAGACAUACCUUUGUUGAGGUAUUAAUUCCUUCUAGCAUUCUACCUGUUGGUGAUUUCGCUGUAUUGAGAGUUGAGCGAGUUGUAUUUGAUCCAAAAACUUUGUCAUACUAUUGUCUCGAGGGUUUAAGACAUGUAAAGUUUUAAGAAGAAUGGUGUUUCUUUAGAGUGCUUGUAAUGAAUAAAGAUCUGGUCAUGUAAAAGUAGAACACAACAUACCAACAAUGUCAUUGUAAACUACAUCAUACCAACAAAAAAAGUAGAAAAUGGUCUAAAGUGAAUAAGAAAUCAACAAAAACUAUGUAAGCACCAAUGGAAAGCAGAAAAGUUCUUGAUACCAUAGUAAACACCAAUGGAAAGCUAAAAAGUUCUCGACGCCAUAGAAAUUAGGGAUUCGUUGGGCAAAAAAGUUCUUAACACCAUACUCUAUAGUCGCAGGGGAUCUAUAGAGCAGGGAUCCAGGUUUGGGCAUCUAGCUAAGUGGAACAGGUAAAGGAAAGCUGCAUCACAGAUGUAGCAAGUAGUUCCAAUGUCCUUGCCAAUGGUAUAGACUUUCUUGCUUCCAACAUGGUCUCGAAAGUGCAGAUUAGAGAUGGAUAUCAAAGCCGGCCAGCUGCGAAUCCUGUGGGGUGAAAACCAUACAUUUGAGAACAUAAACAAAACAGAGCUGCGUGGUCCUCAAUUUAAGCAUUAUACUUGAGAAGGACAAUACAAGCAUUCAGGGAUAUUUGCAGCCCCAUCCUCAAUGUGUGAGAAAAUAAACUUUACAUGCAGAAAGCAAAUAAAUGGUUGAAAUUACACAAUGGAUGGAUGUUGAAAAGAAUCACUAACAAAUAUGUCUAGAAUCGAUCUGUUAAGCAUGGGAAGUUCAAAGAGUAGCAUUCUUUUAGAGUCUCAGAAAAAUAAAGAGCAAGGUACAAUCCGCCAAUUUAGGGAAUUCAAACUUUAUUUGUAAAUAAACUGCUUGUAUUUUUCCUUUUUCUAGUGUAAGAUUUGAAGGAAAAGUUAAAAUCACUUGACCCCUGAUUAGUUCUUUACGAAUACACUGAUUUUGACUUCAAUCAUGAACAAAUAAUUCAGAUUAAGACUGAAUAGUAAAUAAAUUGAAUAAAAAAAAGGAUAGACAUCAGAACUUAGAUGUAACACACUAAUCCAUAACAUCCAGUCCUUCUUACUUUUCAUGCCUUUGGCCCAGUGUUGCAAAAGGCCUUGCCUGAGGUAAGACAUUGGUCUCUACUCCAGCAGCACGAAAGCCUUGGAGCAUGGGUUGUAAUUGUCAUGAAUUUUAAAAAUUUUGAAUAUUUUUAUAAUUUUAAAAAUAUUGUAAAUUUUAUGAAAAAAAUUAUUAAAACACAUAUAACUAAAAUAAAAUAUGUAAAAUUUUAAAAUUAUAGAAAAAUAUAUUAUCAUAAUAUGCGGUAGUAAUGAUAGUAUAGAAAAAAAAUACGGCAAAAAUUCAAUGAAUACUAGUUGUGGGCAUCUGAAAAUGGUUAUAGAUGACAAGGGACGAUGAUUUUACUUGGAAACUUGGAUUUUUAUAUUCUGGUGGUAUGUAUUACUAUAUAAAAAUGGUAAAAUUAAAACAUAACCAAGUUUUGGGGUUAAAUAAGAAAUUCUUAUGUUAAAUAAGAAACAUAACCAAGUUUUGAAAGUGAGCCAAAGCACAAGGACUUAAUUACUACCAUUUGGAUUAGCUGUUUUUGGGAAUGUUUUUGAAAAACUUUGCUGUAGCAGAGUUUUAGAGUAUAUUUUGGAAUAUUUUUAAAAAAUAUUUUGGGAUAUUUAAAAGUAGAAGAGUUUUUAGAAUAUAUUUUGAGACAUUUUUUAAAAAUUUAAAAAAUUUAAACUAAUUUUUAAAUUAUCUUUUAGAGUACUUUUUAAAAAUUUUUAUUAUAUUUGAAAAAUUAGUUUUUGAAAAACACUUCAAAAACAGGGGAAUGGGACCCACAUCUCUAAAUUCAGGCCCGUCAAGUUCACCAACGUCCUUCCGUCGCAAACCCAUUUGUCAGCCCAAAUCAUCAAACGCUUCCUUCCUCUCCCUUUUCUUUAAUAACAACCCGAUACGACUUCCUGAUCAUUCUAGGACCCAGCAAUGAGCCCGUUUGGAUUGCAUUUCUAAAUAGUUUUUGAGGAAAAAAUACUACCGUACCAUUGUUGUGAGGUAAAAAAAAAUUAGAAAAUAUUUUAAAAAAUAUUCACAAAAAAUCUAAAAAUUGUCUCUUUUACUUUAUCAUCUUAAUUUUUUUUUAUUUUUUCUAGUAUUGGAAGGAUGGAAUUUAAGAAGCGGAGAGAGGGUAGAGGAAUUUCUUUUUUACUAUAUUAUUUCUUUUCUUUCUUGCUCCAUUUUUUUUUUUUGUUGAAUAACUUAAAAUCUUUUUUCUCUUCCUCACUAUGCCACCAAAAAUAAUAAAAAUAUAAAAAAGUAAAAUUCAGGAAAGAAAUACAUGCUUGCUAGCUCUAGAGAAGGUGAGAUUUGUUUUCCCUUUAGCUGCACUAAAAUUUGGGAGUAAAAUUGAGGAAGAUCCCUGCAUCAGAAGAGAUGGAUAUGGAUGGCCACCACUUUAAUUUGGAUAAUGGGUUAUUUUCCUAAAUAUAUUUGCUUAUAUCACCAUUACAAUUUUCAAUACAGCUUUUUAUCUUCCCAAUUAUUUUUUUUUUUCACAUACAUCACAUCACAAAAAGUGCUACAAUAAAAAUAUCUCAAAUAAUUUACAAUCCAAACAAACCCAUGUCUUUUUUGAUCUGAGGUUGUUGCUGAGCAACUUCCAAAAAAUGCCAUGGGUGCUAUUGCUAGUAUAUUAAUGCACAUACUUAUAUUGAACUUUUACAAAUUAGCAAGGAUAAGUACAUCAUUUUUUUUUCGAAACUCAACACCUAAAAGAAAUAUUUUUUUUUGGGUCAAUUGGGGCACUGCUACAAACUUAGUGAUUAAAAAUUUUAUUUUUACAUAAUAUAACCAUUAUUUUAAUUGCAAAAAUUGAAGUAUGGAAGUCAGGUUCUUUGGAGAAGGGUAUAGUCUGGUUCUUUGGAGAAGGAUAUCAAUUGAUUCUUGAAGUUGUGCUUUUCACUGGCGGAUCCGCCACCUAAUGGCCAGCGCGGGCACUUGUCUUGACUGGGCAAAACAAAAAUGAUUAUGUUAGGUAUAAAUUUAUUUUCACUUAACUAAGUUUGUAACUGUGCCCAGACCAAUUGACCAAAAAAAUAUUUCUUUUCGGUGUUGAGUUUCGGGAAAAUUUAGUAUUUAUCCGUGUUAAUUUCUAGAAGUUCAAUAUAUGUAUCAGAAACCUCCUCUAAAGGUACUCUUAAAAUCAUUUAAUAUUUCUAAAUUUUUAAAACUAUCACCCUCCGUCCCUUACUUUUGUUAUUUAUGUAACAAAUGUUUUAAAAACCCUAAACUUAGACAUUUCAUAGCUUUUUUCAUACAACUCAUGAGAUAUUUCAUUACAGAACAAUGUUUUCUGCCACUUGGAUAUUAGUUUAUAGUCAAAAUAUUGUUUGGGCAGAUCUAGUGAUUGACAAAAAUGCUAUUUAAUGUUACACUUUUAAUAUCAACAAAUAAUUCUUAAAAAUUGAUAAACAAAUAAUUCUUUACUUAUUGUGCUAAUACAUUCCAAUGGUCAUACCCAUAGCCAAAAAAUUUCUAUUGGCCACAAACUCUAUUAACCCAUAUCCCUAUACCAUGUAUCUUUCGCGUUAGACCAUUCAUUGUAAAACAGUGGUUACUCAGUUUUAGCGUCCAAAUCAAUCAUCAGAAGAGGAACUUGUCCCCAUGAAGCAUACGCUGUUUAGUCUCGAAAUUCCAAUAUAUUUGGACAUAGAUGAUGGGAAUACUACUAUAUUCUUUAUUUGGCUGAAUUUUGUUUAUGGAGGAAAAAUCAAAAUAAGUAUGCUGUGUAUUAGGGGGGUGAAGUCCAUUAAGAAACUGUGACAAUACGACUCUACAAUGCUACAAUGGGUUGAAUUUUGUUUAUGGAGAAAAAAUCGAAGCAAGCAUGAUGCUUUUAUAUUGUACUGUACUAGGAUGGUGAAAUCCAUUAAGAGAUUGUGACAAUUUGAAUCUAUAAUAAAUAACCCAUUAAUUUUGUGUAGGCACAAAUGGAAUUCUGUGUUGCUUUUAUUUUUUUUCCACAUAAGCCUGUUAUCUAAACAACUAUUUGAAAAGAAAAAAAAAAAGAUCAAAGUCAAAGUCAAAGAAGCAUUUGUUGUUAAGAACAAGGAGCCUCUAUGUGUUUAACGGACUAAUUUUUGAGCAAGUAGAUUUUCAAGUUAGAAGAGAGGGAUGGGUUAGGUGAUACGAGAGAAAGGAGUGUAAAUGAGAGGUUCAGUGUUUGAAACGUCUCACUUAUAUUUUAAAAAAAAUAUAAAAUAAAAAGUAGAUAUUCAAGUUAAACAGAAAGAUAGACUUGUAGGUAGUUCAUCACUUUUAUCGCUUUUCUCUGGGGUAAAUACAAGUAAAUUUCGUAACACGUUAUAUUGUUUUCUUCAAUUCCUUUCUUUAGACUUUUACAUGUAACCAUUUUUAAAAGCAACUUAAGUUUACUGUGUCUAUAAAGAUGCCCAUUUCACCGUAUAUGUAGAGCAAAAAAUGUAAAUUACACGUCAAUCUAGCUAAAACAUGGAUGCUCAUUAUAACAUAACAAGGAGCCUAUGUCUGUUUAACAGACUAAUUUUUGAGUAAGUAGAUCUUCAAGUUAGUGGAGAAGGAUUAGUUAAAUGGUACGAGAGGAUGAAGUAUAAAUGAGAGGUCCCAUGCUCGAAACCUCAUGCUUACAUUUUAAAAAAUAUAUAAAAUAAACUGUAGAUAUUCAAGUUAAACGGAAAGAUAGAAUUGCAGGUAGUUCAUCACUUUUAUCACUUUUCUUUGAGGUAAACACAAGAAAAUUUCGUAACACCUUUAUAUUAUUUUCUUCAAUUCCUUUCUUUAGACUUUACAUGUAACCAUUUUUAAAAGCAACUUAAGUUUAUUGUGUCUAUAAAUAUGCCCAUUCACCGUAUAAAUAGAGCAAAAAAUGUAAAUUACAAGUCAAUCUAGCUAAAACAUAGAUGCUUCUUAUAUCGGGUAGCAUAAUUGUUGGGAUUGUUUAAUCCAAAUAAUAUUCUUUUUGACUUUCUAUUCAACUAUAAUGUCAAUUGCUAUAUUUUUCUAUCACUAGUAUUAGGUGACAUGAUUUGCAUGUAAAUAUGAUUCCCAUAUGUAACAACUUUUAGGUAUUAAAAUUAUUUAUGAAAUUGUCAACUUUUUCUUAAAAAUAAUUUUAUUCUUUUCAUUUUUUUUGAAUCCAUUGUAUUUUAAAAUCAAGUUUGAAUUCAAAGAUGGUCCACAUGUAAAUCUAAAUACUUUUUCUGAAGUCUUUUUAAAACUUUUUUCCGAAGUCGUUUGAUAGUUAAACACUAACACUAGCUUGUUGCAUGCUUGAAAAACUACACAUGGCAAUGAAACUCAAACUAGAAAUUCCAGUUCAAUUAUAUAUAUUUUCCAAUUAGCCAUGAGUCAUUGCAAAAAAUUGAUCCUGAUACAUUCUGGCCAUCGUGCAUUCUUUUCAAUUUCGUCUUGUAACAAAUUCCAUCGAAUUAACAUCUUUCCAUACAUAAUAUAUUUGAAUUUAUUGCCCAUCAUGACUUGGUCAUGCUCGUGUAGGUAUCAAUAUCAUGUAUUUGAUUGGUAUGUAAAAAUAAAAAAUAACAUUUAUUACAAUUCUUACUCUAUACGCUUGAGAAUCUAAUUGUAAGUAUUGUUAUAACUCAUUUUUUAUACCAAAAUAAGGUUUGAAAUUGCUAAACUUAUAGAACUUUUUAAAUCUCUCAUAGGAAUAAUAUUUUUAAAUGCUUAGAUAUAUCAAAUGUUUUCUCCACCAUCUCUAAAUUUUAAGUUUGAAGUUGAAUCUCAUACUUGUGUUCAACCUUUUCCUCUCUAUUUUUGAGAAAAUGAUAGAAAAAUAUACCCUCUAGCAUAAAACACGUAACAAAUUUCACCCAUUUUUUUUAUAUAUUAAUUUUUUUCACUACUACAUAGUUAAAGUUGUUUUACAGAAGUAAUGAGUGACAUGUGGACUAAUAGGAUAAUGAUAAAAUUUGGAGCUAGCAAAAAUAAAGAGUUAUUUAUUGACGGAGAGUUCUAGAGUAUCUUUUGGGUACCUUACCUAUGAAUACUAAUUCGCCGUUGGAUAUGUCAAAAGAGAUAUUAACCCUUAGAUAAUUUUAAAAGUUUAAAUUGUUGAAUAAUAUGGCAAAAGUUUAUUGGAUUACAAUUAUGGGUAUAGCUCCCAAAAAGGACGGUAGAAUUUUCUUUUAUUGUAUAGUUAACCAAAAAAGUUAGUCACGUUCAAGACUUAGUAAAUUGUUUUAUAGAGUAGCUCUAUAGAGCCUACAAUAAAAAGGUUCCAAAGAUGGCAUAACAGAGUUUUACAUUACUAUACCUUCAAUCCACAUGCUUAUUAUUGUAAUAACAUCCACCCACCUGCUUUCACCCAAACUAUAGACAUAUUAGAGAGACCAUAGACAUACAGGAGACCAUAUUGAAUAUAUCUAUGAUAUGAAUUUGAUUUGUAUACAAACUUAUUAUUGUGGCAUAUCACAAUGAUUAAGAUUUAAGAUACUAAAGACACAAAUAUAACAUAUUUUAUACAAAUAUUAUUUUCUAAUGAUCUACAUGGUUAUAUAUUUAACUAACUUUUACUAGGCAAUGGCAAUGGGGUGCAACCAUCUCUUACUAGUACCAACAUAAUUUCUUUCUAUUUGGUACCCUAAAAAAUAAAAUAAAAAUAAAAACUUAUAAAUAUAAUUUAUCUUUCAAGUUUCAACCAUCUUUGAUCGGAGAAAUUUUAUUUAUCAUUUUCCUUUUGUCUUUUCUUGCCAAAAAUGACUACCAGAUUAUCACUUCUAUGUAAGCGCAUCUCCAUUUGCAUUCACUAUUAUACUCUUAAGGGUUUUUUUUUUGCAUAAAAAUUUUCCUUAUACCCCUACCAGAAGGCACAAAAUCACUACUAAAAUCUCAAAUCCAAAAGGUCAAAAUAGACAUAUCUUAGCCACUUAAUCACAUAUCUUUUAAAAUCCUAUGUUUUAAGAAAAUCGCCUCAUUUUAUCAUCUUCUAUAAUUAGAAUUUAUCUUAUUUUUAACAGAAUUGACCUUCUUUGUACGUAAAUAGAAACCUCUUUUGAUCAUGAAUAAAUAAACCUGUUAUCUAUCAUCAAAAUUCAAAUAUAAAAUAAUCCUUAUGGACAAAAUCGAAAUGUUAUUCUCAUAUCACAUUUACCCCAAAUUUGAAAUUCUGUCCCAUAUUUUAAAAUGUAUUAGCGAGUAAUGUUGUCAAUCAUUUCAUUUCAAGAAUUGUUUGGUUCAUUUGCUAAUUCAUCACUAUAGGAAUUGGGUGGGAGACAGAACUUCUGAGUACAAAAUAUUUAAUGGCUCUCAUGCAAAAAUCUUUUACAUUGCAACUUAAUAUUCUGAAAAUGCAUUUGAUACUCUGCGACGUAAUGUUUUGAUGAUGCAUUUAGUAGUUGUAAUAUCUCUUUCUUAUCUUUCCUUUAUUUUUUUCUUGUUUAGUUCUAUUGUGAUAGAAAUAUAGGUUCUCCCGAUAAUGUUUAUUUUGUUUUUAAAUGAAAAGGGCAUCAUUUAUGUAAAAAAUAUAACAACAUACAUAUUGCUUCAAUCAUUCUUGUAGAAUAACCUGCAAUUGUAUAAAUAAUUAUAGGCUAUAUGGGAAAAAAAUUUAAACUAAAUAUUUAUAUUCAAGACAAAAUUAUAGUCAUUAAAGUAUAUUUAUCUUAAUUGGAAAAUCGAACAUAGGUUUAAUUUUUUUAGUAACAUUAGGUUUUUUAGUACAUUAAAUGAUAGGCUAGUAUUUUUGUUUUUAGUUUUAGCAAAAUAACAAAAGAAGAAAAAUUCUACAUAUAUAGGAGUGGUAAAUACUUAAGAAAGGAUUUAUUUUAUGUUUCUUUAAAAAGUUUUGACCCUUUGCAUUAAAUUAGAUGUAUAUAAGCAUUUCUCUUGUUCUUUAUUGUAUGCAUUGAUCAACUAGUGAACAACCAUGUAGUAAUAACAAUGGUACUAAAACUCAAAUAUAAUCAAGCCAAACUUGGACAAGUGAGGUAUUGGAUUUUACGCCUUCCAAAUUUCUAUAAACUUGUUUUCAUCCAAAUCGUUAAAACUUUAAAAUUAUUCUAGAAUGUACUACAUUAAGCUUAAUCAUAAAAUCAAGAUUAAACUUGACUUUAGGAUUUUUUAUAUUCAAUAUGCAUGUAAUAAAUUAAUUAGUUUUAGAAAACUAAAAAAAUUUAAGUCAAAUUAAAAUACAAAUAAAUACAGUUUAAUAUGAGUUAUUUUAACUAGAAUACAUGUGGAAUACAUUCUCUUUGAAUUUUGAUGAACUACAUUCUUUUGAGGUAUGGUAAAUGAAGAAAUCUAUCAUUUAUUUUGUCUAUUUUUUUUCUUCAUAAAACAAAAAAGUUUUUAUAGUAUUCAUCAUGUUACUAAAGAAUGUGCUAUUUUGACUAUAUAUAACUAAUUUUUCUGAUGGAAUAUGCUAUUUUGACUAUACAUAACUAACUGUUCCUCCAGCACAGUUAUUAUUUCUCUACACACAUGAUAACUACAGCUUCUUUUUUUUAUGGUUUUAUAAGCAUUUCUCAACUUGCAAAUAUUCUGAAAUGUUUUAAGUGCGUUCCUUAUAAAUGCUGAUGAAGCCAAUAGUUGGACAACUUGAGGAGCUCAACACAUUGGGAUAUAUGUAUUUGUUUGUGUACUUGUGAGCAAGACUUUACCUUUGAACUUUUGGAUUGUUAGAGAUGUUUCGAUAAGUAAAAGAAAAUAUGGAGAUUUUUAUCUUAGUUGUAUUCUAGUAAAAUAAUAAAUCAAUGCUAACUCAAUAUAUAUAUAUAUUUAUUUAUUUAUUUUAAUAUUUCUGUAACUAACUUAUAGAUGAUAUAAAGAAUUAAAUUUUUAUUACAAAAUUUUAAGUGAAAAUUUUGAUGCAGUACCAAAGUAGUAGGUUCUAAACUACAAUUAUUGUGUAGACAAAUAUGAAGAUAUCUUAUCUUCCUACUAAAUAUAAUAGAGAAAGGGAUUUGACUUUAAUCUUUUUGUCAUUUUUUUGAACUUUCCUUUUUGUCUUUACUAGUUAUGACAAGGAUUAAAAUAAUGUCAGGGAAUUUGAUAAAGAAUUAGGAUCUAAGAAUAGAAAUAUCUAAUUAAUAUCUGUCACUUUUCAUAAUUUGCCCUCUUGGUUUUACUUUCAUCUUGUCAUUUAUUUCUUUUCUCAUAAUUAUAUAUGAGUAAAUUUUAUAUACACUAAUAGCGUAUAUAUUAUCACCAUUUGAUUCAUUCAUCUGACGCUGUCAGUAUAAGAAAGAUUAAUCCAUUAUAUAUGCUUUAAUUUGUACAUGGAUCAAGUCUGCAUGUAGCACUAACAGUACUAACAACUUCUUGUGAAAAUUGCUAAUUGAUAAAAUCUUAAUUUUGCAUAUUUUAAUAUGUAAAAACACAAUGAUUUUUUGCACAAUCCAAUUGAUACUUGGGCUGACCGCUUCGCAAUUAAGUUGUAUAACCUAUAUCUAAAAUUGUCCUUCAUUAGGUAUCAUCUCCCAAUUUGUUCAUAAGAUAAAGUAGUAACAUCAGAACACUUUUUUUUUGGUAAACAAAAUAUCAAAAUUAAUUUGAUAUCACUGGACGACUAUCUCAUCUUUACCUUCAUACUCUUAUGAUAAUGAAGUAUUUGUUCGUAUAAUUUUUUUAGUUCAAGAAACCUCUAUGGUGAACAAAUUAAUUUUUCAAAUUUUAUUUUUUUCCAAAUUAAUUUUCCAAAUUUUCCAAACCUCUAUGGUGAACCUCUAUGGUUUUGAAUGCCCAAUUAAAUGCUAACUUACUCAAUAUGUCAUAUUACAAUUAUUCAUUGCUUAACUUUUUGAAAUUAUUGCACAUUCCAAGUUUAGAAUGUUAAUGAAGUUUAUCGAGUGUUUACAACCAUCAAUUUGUUAACCCUACCACAAGAUGACUAAGAUCUAUAAUUAUUGCAAGUUUUUUUUUUGGUCGAUAAAUGUUAGAAUAAGACUAUACGUCAUCACUUUUUUUUCAUUAGCAAUGUUUAGCAUUAGGAUACCUAUCUUUUAUAAAGUGAUAAGAAAUUUUGCAUCACAGGGUAGAUGGUUGAUGAAGUAAUUAAAGUACGAUGAACAUAACUCAAACUGCUUGAUGUAGCAAAUAUUGACAAUUUACAUUAUAGUAGAUUAAUAAGCUUUCCAUCACCAUAGAGCAUAUAUGAUAAGAAUAUGUGAAGGAUCAAUAAGCAUUCUUUAAACCACAAAUUAAUAAUAUUGUUGAUCAUGAAUAGUGUGAUUCAAGCAAUCUAUGCCUUUCUAGCUAACAUUUACUAGCAGCAUUAUGACAAAUAAAUAGAUAUAGAAAUAGAAACUGAGACAUUUCAUAACUUUUUUCGUACAACUAGUUAGAUAUUUUAUUAUAGAACAAUGUUUCUGUCAAAACAUUGUUUAGGUAGAUCUAUUGAUUGAUAAAAAUAUUAUUUGGUGUUACAUUUUCAAUAUCACUUUGUUGUCCAAAUUUGAUAAACGAAGAAUUCUUGACUUAUUGUGCCAAUAUAUUCCAAUAGCCAUGCCCACAGUUAAAUUUCUAUUGGCCACAAACUCCAUUAAUCCAUAAACAUAUAUCAUGUAUCUUUCACAAUUAGAUCAUUUCUUGAAGAAAAAUAGUGGAUGUUCAGUUUUAGUGUUCAAAUCAAGCAUCAAAAGAAUAACUUGUUCCCACAAAACAUAUGCUGUUUAGUCUCGAAAUUUCAGUGCAUGAAAAGGUAUUCUUUCACUUGUCUAGCAUUUAAUUCAAUGCCAAGUUGAAGUUCUAGGUCUUGGGGAGUGAUCGCUUUUAUAAUUUUCCAUGGGAAUAAAUAAAAGAGUCGUGGAUUACGAUCAUUUUUCUCCACAACUUCAAAUUCAUAAAGGUGAAGGUGAAGACUAUGAUGCCUAUUGCUUUCUUCCUCUAACUCUUUUGUUUCUAGGAAAUGGUAAUAGAAACCUUUUCCCUUGCUGAGAGAUUAGCUCGGCUGUUGCCCUGUAUUGUCUCUCCUAAUCAAAGUGAUUUUGUCCGUGGUCGUCAAAUAUCCGAUAACUUUUUACUUGCUUAGGAGGUGAUUAUGGGUAUUGGAAGGAAAAAUAGGGGGGAAAUGUUGCAUUGAAAUUGGACAUGACAAAAGCUUAUGAUAGGGUGUCUUGGAUCUUCUUGGUUAACGUCCUACAUGCAUUUGGAUUUGGCGAAAGGUGGAUAGAUAUGGUUUGGCACUUGGUAUCCAAUCCAUGGUUCUCGGUUCUCAUUAAUGGAAUGCCACAUAGUUUUUUCCCAGCUUCGCGAGGGCUCCGGCAGGGGGACCCUCUAUCCCCUUCCUUGUUUAUUCUAGGAGCAGAGGUUCUAUCUUGUAUGUUAAAUCAACUUCUGUUGCGCCCUGGUUUUUGUGGGUUCAAGGUUCCUAGGGCUUGUUCUCCUAUUAGUCACUUGGAUUUUGCGGACGAUAUUCUUAUCUUUUCUAGUGCCUCGACGCCUUCUUUGAAGUUGCUAAUGGAGACACUGGCGAGGUAUGUAAGUGUCUCAGGACAAAGUAUAAAUGCUGCAAAGAGUGGUUUUAUGGUUCAUUCGACGAUGUCUCAAGGCAGAAGGGCUAUAAUUCAGUGCAUCACGAGUUUCUCUCAGAAGGAGUUUCCGGUACGCUACCUUGGUUGUCCACUAUUUGUAGGGCGGCAGAAGAAGACAUUCUUCUAGGAUUUAAGCAAUUUGGUGUACUCUAAGAUUAGUUCUUGGAAGAAUCGAUUGUUGUUUCCAGGAGGAAAGAUUGUUCUUAUAAAACAUGUGUUGUCCUCUAUCCCUCUUCACUUGUUGGCUACAGUUUCUCCCCUGAAGUCUAUUUUGGCUACAAUUGAGAGGCUCUUUACAAACUUCUUUUGGGGCACCGAUGAGGGUACAGUCAAACACCAUUGGAUUCGCUGGAGAGAUCUUUGUGCUGCUAAGGAGGAGGGUGGGGUGGGUUUUUGCUCCAUGACAGAUGUUGUUAAGGCUUUCUCGGUGAAGUUGUGAUGGAAGUUUCAACAGAAUUCGUCUCUUUGGGCUAACUUCAUGAUGGCUAAGUAUGUUUCUAAUGCUCAUCCAGGUAUGGUGGGGGCCUCAGUAGGGGCUUUAGCCACGUGGAGCCACGUGGCGGAGGAUAAUUCAGGUGCAGGAACUAGUUGAACGGCAUAUCACUUUUGUUGUUCGAUCUGGGAGUUCACAUUUCUGGUUCGAUAACUGGCUAAGAUCUAGACCUUUGUCUUCGCGAUUGGGAAGUGUUUCGGAUCACGGGGUCUCUAAUUUCUUAUGGAUGGCAGAUGGAAUUCUCAGCUACUGGCGGCGUGGGUGCCUGUCGACAUAAUAGACAAGAUUAACCAGUUUGCUCUCUCGAGGAUUGAAGAGGGAAUGGAGGACUUGAUGGUUUGGGCACCCUUACAGUCUGGAGUCUUCACACUGUGCACGGCUUUUGAGUUGGGGCGUAGUCAUGUGCCGUAGUCUUUUAUCUUCUCCAGGGUAUGGCAUCCCAUCAUUCCGUUGAAAAUAUCCUUCUUCAUGCUUCGAUUACUGAGAAAUUGGUUGUUGUUGGACUCUACGAUAUGUAAAUUUGGUAUUUCUGGCCCCUUGAAGUGUUUUUGUUGUACCGAAGCUAAUGUCGAGACUUUAGACCAUAUAUUUUGUGGGGGUGAGGAAGCCGUCUUGGUAUGGAAAUUUUUUGGCUCUCUUGCGGGAGUUUUCUAUUUGUGUGCCUCGAUACGGGAUUACAUGGCUAGUUGGUGGUUUAGCUCGUGUACGAAUGUAUUCCUGCAAUUUGUCCAUCUGGUUAUCCUUUCUUUGAUUUGCUGGAAUAUUUGCAAGGCUAGGAACAAAACGCGAUUUGAAGGGAAAGUUUACGCUCCUAAUGCUAUUUGUGGAUUUAGUUUUGACGGUGUACGGAAUCUUUUCAAUCUGAAGUUCUCGGGAUAUUCCCGGGCCCUCAUGACAUGGCCAGCAUUUUAUGCUUUUCUCGUCUCUCUUCGCAAGCAGGCUUCUUUCAGGUUGGUGAAGUGGUUGAGGCCGACAAUGGGAGGUCUUAAACUCAACACGGAUGGCUGUUCGAGAGGCAACCCUAGGUGGGCAGGAGGUGGUGGAGUUUUGCGUGAUGGUGAGAGGAAGCUCCUGCUCGCUUUCUCCACAUUUUUUGGGAGUAGUACUAGCAUCCAAGCUGAGGCGAGGGCCCUUUUCUUUGGGGUUAAUUUGUGUAUUUCAUGUGGAUAUGUGAGAGUGCAAGUUGAAGUGGACUCACUGGUACUAGUUCAAAUAUUGCAGCAAGCAAUUCGGUGCCCAUGGAGUAUUGAUACAGAAGUCCGAACCCUCAUUCAGCUAUCGUCCCAUUUCGUUAGCAUUUCUCAUUACUUCCGAGAAGGCAAUCAAAUAGCUGAUUGCUUAUCUAAUAUUGGCUGUGACAAAGGCUGUGACAAAACCUAUCAGCAGUUUUCGGAUCGCCCUACUCAAGUCCGAGGGGCAUUUAGACUAGACAGAAUUGGUCUUUCUUCCCUUAGAAAAUGCUAGGGUAACUUGUUGUCUGGGAGUAGUACUCCCCUUUCCAUCCACGUAACUUAAUAAGUGCAUUGUGCUCCUGAGAGGUAAGGUCUAUGUCCCUCUCCGGUUCUGUCUCUCUUCUUAAGGGAAUAAAAAAAAUUAAUUAAAAAAAAGAAACAUUUUCCCAUCGUCUGGAAAAUAGAUACUUUUUUUUUCUUUGGGUUGACUUUUGUUUAUGGAGAGAAAAUCGAAACAAGUAUGCCAUUUUUAUGUUGUACUAGGGUGAUGAAAUCUAUUAAGAGAUUGUAAUAAUAUGACUAAAAUAAAUAAGCCAUUAAUUUUGUGUAGGCACAAAUAAAAUUCUAUUUUCCUUUUAUUUCUUUUCCAUAUAAGCUUAUUACCUUAACAACUAUUUCAAAAACAUUGAUCAAAAUUAAAGAAGCAUUAAUCGUUAAGGACAAGAAGUUUAUGUAUAUUUCACAGACUAAUUUUUAAAUGAGUAGAUCUUCAAGUUAAAUAGGAAGAUAGAAUAACAGGCAGUUAAUCACUUUUACUGCUAUACUUUAGGAUAAACACAAGUAAAUGACACUUUUAUAUUAUUUAUUUUUCAAUUUCUUUCUUUAGGUUUUUAUGUCUAACCUUUUUUAAAAGCAAACCAAGUUAAUUUAAGUUGUUUUGUAUCUAUAAAUUUACCUAUUUCAUUGUAUAAAUGGAGCAAUAAUUACAAAUUACUCAUCUAUCGAGCUAAAGCAUAGAUGCUUCCUUGUAUUGUAUUGCACAAUUGUUAAGAUUGUUUUACCUUAAUGUUAUUCCCUGUGACUUUCUAAUCAACUAUAGUCUUAAUUGUUAUAUUUCCAUUUCACUAUUAAGUGACGUCAUUUGCUUGUAAAUAUAAUUCCAAAUAUAACAAUUUUUGUAUACUAAAUUAUUUCUAAAGUUGUCAACUUUUUCCUAAUAUAAUUUUAUGCUUUUCAUUUUUCUUGAAUCAAUUGUAUUUGAAAAUCAAUUUUGAAUUCAAAAAUGGUCACAUGUAAAUCUAAAACUCUUUCUAAAGGUUUUUUUUAAACUUUUCCCAAUGUUAUUUGAUAGUCAAAUACUAACACUAGCUUGUGUCCUUAUAGUUAUCAUAUAUAUUCUUUUGUUAUAAAGACUAUAAUUGUUUAUUUACAUAAUAAUGUUGUCAAAAUCAUAAAUAAAAAUUUUAUCUUUUCCUCUCAUCACUAACAGUGCUUUCUAAAUCCAAAACUUAUUUUAUAUCUUGUGAAAAAGUAUUAGCUUGAGUAAAAUUAUGUAAUGACUCGUACAUCUUGAUAGUUAUUAUUAAGAUUGCAAAAAAAAAAAGUUCAAUACUCAUAAUAUCUGCAAGUAUACGAGUAAAACGAGUAUAGAGAUAAUUAGGAUUGAUCCCACAGGGAUUGUCAACUAUCGGAGGUUUUCAAACCUCUUCAUUAUUUAGAUUAUUACAAGUAAACCAAGCAAAUCUAUACUACUAACAUGAAAUAAAAGUAGUAACAACAAUAACAAAGAGGUUCCUAGGGUUAUGGAUUAACUGACUAUUGUUGCAAGUAAAAUUACUGAUUAAAUGAGUUCGUUACCUAGGUUAGUUAUGGCAUAAUAUCCAAAUGUAUGUGAUACAUGUUUUCACAAGUAUACCAAUCAUAUCUAUAACUAAUUCACACCUACUAACAUGAUAUGAAACUAACUAUAGACUCAUUAGAUUCUAUGAAAUUAUAUGAAACAAACCACUAAAGCAACAAAUGUGUAACCCUACAUUAGUGAGUUAACUCCCUUGGUUUAACACUUUCAUGAACUAGUGUUAAGUCACAAUGGUUAUUGAUGAAACAACACCUGUAUAUAAUCACAAUUAAUGAAUCCAAGUUAAUCAAGAUUUUAACAACAAAAGUGUUAAUUAACUUUCUCAAGAGAUACACUCAAAUAACCACAAAAACUUCACUUACAAAUCAUAGAAGUUGAUCAAUUCCCUGGGUUUACAAGCUAGCAAGACAUAAAAAAAAUAAGAGAACAAGAACCAAACUUGUAUAGUCACUAAACAUGAGAAUCAAUAUAAAAAAUAAAGUGAUAGAAGAAAUGCCACCCAUGCUACUUAAGCUCUAAUUCUCUAUCUUCAUCCUCAAUCUCCUCCCUUGUUUAACUAGAUACAAAGAUUGGAUAGCUACACUAAUUUACACUACUAAACUAUUGAUCUAAGAAAAACUAGUGAAGACUACAUUUUUGUGUUAGUUUCUAGCCUUCCCAAUUUAUCAAACAAGCUCAACAAAGGUCCUAUUUAUAGAGAAUUAAAGCACCAAGCAAUCAUGUUUCAAGUUGGCAAAUUGUGUCCUGAAAACACCAAAAGGUGUUUCUUGAAAACUAUGCUUUCUUGUACAUAUCCAGCUGAAAAUCUUGCAAGAAAUUUCGUCAAAAGACUAUGUGAAAUGUCUACAACUUGGUCUACAAGUUGCAGAGCCAAAUUCAGGAUCCGUGAGCCUAGAUCUAUGAGGUGAAGCUCACGGAUCGCCUCGCAGAUCAUCUUGAUUGUAGGUUUGGAUUGUUUUGCUCAAUCUUCAAUAUUGCUUUGUUUUUGGACCAAAUUCAACUAUAAAGUUUUUGAUGAUGGAAUUCAAAUUAGCUCUUUCACAAAACAUAAAGUUCAUAAUCCUUUGAGUUAGCUUUCCAAUGUAUCAAGAAUCAUCUGAUUUAGAGCUUUGUAGACUAAUAAAUGACCAAACUACCCUUGAUUGGUUAAUCCCUUAUUUUAGCUUUGACAAGUAAAAUGUCUGAUAGUUUUUUGAGUUUUUGACCAUGAAAACUCAUGAACUGGACUUUGAUGUCAGAUAUAAAAUGUAGCAUAUGUCUUAGUUUCAGAAUGGUUUGAAAAACACCUCAAUUCGAUACUUGUAACUCAAGGUAUAGUCAAAAUACCAAAAGAUGUCAAAGUUGUCAAACUUUCCUUCUUUAAAACUUGAUUGCAUUUCUCAUUUUGAACAUUUAGCCCUUCAUAUUCACUUUAAAUCUCUACAAAUCAUCAACAAUCAUCCAAAUAUCUUCUCAAUUCACUUCAUUUGAUGAUUGAAUCAUUAAACCUACAAAAAAUAUGAAAUUUUCACCAUUUGAACACAAAAAUGCAAUUUUUCGCAAUUAAACCACAAAAUACAUAUUCACUUGAAACCUAGUUAAUUAGCUAUAAAAAUGAUUAAAACACACCAAAACUAAAUAAUAAAAUACACUAAGAACAUGCAAAAUAUAUACUUAGCACUAGUAUUUGAUGUUUUCUUGUAGAAGUGUAGAGGAAUAUUUUCUCCCAAUGUACUUUUGAAUGGUGAUGUAACUCUUUGUCCUUUUAUUUUUCUUAAUGAUAUUGAAGAUAUGCAAAUAUAAAAUGUGAUAUAUAUGUAUUAGUGUACAUCCAUAGUUGAGUUGUAAGAGACAUGUCUUACUCAUGAAUUUCAUGGACAAAAGUGAAGAAGUACUUAUUUAUUUUGAAAACAUAAGUAAGUCCUCAUCCAUGAUUUUCCUCAUUUAUUUGGGGAAAAAAAAUACAUAGUGUGCUAUUGUUAGUUAAUUCUCCAAUGUUUAAGUAAAAUUUUUUGCGACCCAUAGAUGGUAAAACUCAAAACUCAUAUGAAAGUUAUAAGGUAAUUUGAAAUUAGUUGCUUGAUUUACAAAUGGGGUUUUUCCUUUUUCUUCUUUAUAUCUCAAAAUUAUCAAACAAAAGUAAAGGAAAGACCCUUUAUCAAGUAAACAAGAUUAGGAAGAAAAUCCAUAAUUUGGCACGUAACUCCGAACAGAGUAAUAACUGAUUGACAAUAUAGUUGGGAAUAUUUUAGUGCUGCAUAGAGGUUUGAAACUUUCUGUAAGAUCUUAAAACCAUAUCUAACCAGACAUUAAUCAUGUUGCAUAUCUAACAAUUUCGUUAGCCUCAAACUCAAAAGGAUAGACAAGAUUCUUGAAUAAUUUACAUUAACACAUACCUACACACAAUGAGCAUCCCUUCAAAAGAUACUUUUUUCACAUAACUAACAAAUAGGGUUAUGAGAGCAAUUGCGAAUCAUCCAUUGUAGGAUGAGAUUAAAGAAGGUCACACAAACUAGCUAAUUAAUCACUAAGCUUUUACUUGACAUAGAUAGUUUCUUGAAAUUAUUGCUUUAUGAUUUAUUGGUAUUUUCAAUACUCAAUUCUGAAAUACACAAUAGAGUAAACCUAAUUUUUUCAGAAUAACUGUAUAAAAUGCCAACAAAGGACAAGACCCGAACCUAAUACAUCAUGAUUAGAGAGUUAAAUUUUAAAUGGAAACUAAGGCUAAAUACUUCAGCAUUCACCAUACUUUUCUAGCCCGAAAGUUUGCAUUGCUGUCAAAAUUUUGACUUUUAGGUACUUGAAGAUCAAUUACUCAUCCCGCCUAGAAUCUUCUUCCAUUUUUUUCUUUUUGUUGUUUAGUAAAAUUUUUGAAUAGGAAUUUACAUAUUCAUUAUAAAUAUGUACGUAGUCAAUCAUGAAAAAUUUGAUGAACUUAUUAGGUCAAUAGAAUUCUUGUAAAAGUUUUUACGAAAAUCAAAUUUAGUGAUUUUUAAUGGCUUAAAUUAAUAAUAAUGUUGAUAUCAAAUGCUGUGAUUUGUGCUAGUUUUUGCUUUUUGGCUAGAAUAAAUAGAAGAAACAGAACUAAUAAAUAGAUAUAGAACCUUGAUGGUUUCAAUACAAACUUUCUUCAGGUACAAAGUCAAUAGAUAUUUCAUCACAACAUAAUAUUUUGCUUAGCAUCACUCUUCGCCGCCAAAAAAAAAAAGAAGAAAAAAGAGAAACAACAUUUAGACUUUGACUCCCUCUUUUCCUUCCCAAACACAAGAACAAAAAAGGAAAAAAAGAGUGAAAGAAACACUAGUUGAUCUUUCACUUCCAACAUUCAAAUGAACUUCCCAAAACCGAUACACGAAGGGUUUUUGAUUUCUUAUCCCAAUACAGUCCAAUGGUUAUUAUAGAACUCAAAUUUUUGUUAACCACAAGGUCCUUAAACCAACUUCCUACGAUCAAAUACAGAUCACUGCUCGGCCAUUUUGUGAAGAACACUUGGUACUCAGUUCCAGUGUUCAAAUCAAGAAUUUGGAUAGGAAUUCCUUCUCCAUUAAUCACACGACCUUUGGCUUCAUCUUUCCAGUGGAUGAAUAGGUGUUCUUUCACUUGUUUUGCACUUAAUUCCAAACCUAUUUGAUGCUCUAGGUCUUGGGCUGAGAUUGCUUUCUUGAUUUUCCAUGGGAAUAGGUGCAAGAAUUGUGGAGAACGAUUGUUUCCCUCCUUAAGUUUGCACCGAGAACAGCCCAGUUGAAGACCAUGCCUUCUAUUUUCUUCCUCUUUCUCUUUUGUUUCUAGAAAAUGGUAAAAGAUAUGUUUCACCAUUCUUAGAAAAUACUUUCUUCUCUCUUUUUUUUCUGUUUUUUCUUUUGAAUGACUUGGAGCAAGGAAAACUGCUUUUAUGCUGUACUAAGGUGGGGUACGGUGCCUUGAUAGUUUCUAAAAAUUUAACUCAAGCAUUAAUGAAUCAUUAAAUUAUUCAGUAGGCAUUGAUGGAAAUCCGUUUUACAUUUAUUUCUUUUCCAUAUAAGGUCAUUGCAUUUGUGAUAACUAUUUGAAAAAGAGAUAUAGUCAAAAAAUCAUUGAUUCUUAAACACGUGUAAUUUUUGUAUGAUUAACAAACUAUUCUUCUGAUAAAUUUAUCUUCGAGUCAAUUGCAAGAUAGAGAUAGAAAACUGGUUCAUCAUUUUUAUUCCUUUGUUUUGGGGUAAAAACAAGCAAACUAAACCUUUAUGAUACUUUUUUCUUUAUUUUUUGUUUAACUUUAUAUGACUUUCUUUUUUUUUUAAAUUGAAUACUAUAUCAAUUGUAAUGCAUUUACUUUAGUUCUAUUAUUUCCUUAUUUAUUUUACUUUCAAGAUAUGGACAUAAUAAACUACAAUGAUCAUCUAUCAGGAGGAUCAAUAAUUUCCUUAUAUUAGUAUGUCACAAUAAUAUUAAGAUAAUUUUAUGCUAAUAUUAUAAAUUUCGAAACACCUAGAUAAUUGCCAUGUUUUCAAAUCAGAAUCCAAGCUUUCAUAUUGAGACUUCAUGUCAUACUCCAAUCUACCAUUUCUUUUGUUCAUAUUUAAAAGACUGUUAUUAGUUUUGUACAAUUUAUUAUAACUUUGGAAUUGGGUUUCAUAAUUCUUUUUCUUGGUUUAUUGUCAAAAUAGUGCAACAAAAUAAAUAUUUUGGGUAUAAGUUAGUGAGCUUUCAUCAUCGUCCAUUAAAACCAUAAAAUUUUGUAAGAGGUAAAGCAUGAUAUGACAAUGAUGGAAGUGUAUGUGAAAAAUGAAGUAACUUUUCUCUAGAAGAGAAUGGAAAAAAGUUCUUUGUAAAUUAACUACCACAAAAAAAAGAAACCACAAAACAUCUUAAGGAUGAGGUUACAGUUCAUUAAUUUUUAGAAAUAACUUCAUCCAUAACUAGUAGAAUUCUUUUUCAUGUUGAUGAAAUGUUAAGUUCAAAUAUUACAAAAGUGUCAAAUAAAAAUAGAACAAUUCCUCAGUUGAUGUAAUAGCAGUACAUCAUUGCUCUCAUAACAAAUUAGCAUAUGCUACAUAUGAGAAAAUGUUAAAUUCUAGUCAAUAAUUAAAAAAAUCAAAGUGACAACUCCAAAAGAAACAUUUUCUUGAUUUAUAGCUUUAUCUAUAUUUCUCGAUUUUGUGGGAUUAUACUUAUGUUAAGUUCACAUUCCAAAUCUGGUUUCGAUUUAAGUCAUUGAUAAUAUACAAACAAACAUAUGUAUCAUAGCAAUGUACAAUCUAAUCUUCAAAAUUCUUAUCCAAAAAAAUAUGCAUAUGAUAAUGAUAUAUAGGAGGAACAGCAACUUCAGUAUGGAGAAAGUCUACAAAUAAUGUGCAAGUACUUAAAAAAUUGUAGCAUACACAUUCAAACUUUAGACACUACUUUAGACACAUUCAAACUUCAGAGGUGUAGGUGGCUUUUUCUCUUGAAGAAGUGGUAGCACUAAAGAAGGGCUUGCUAGAAGUUCAAGACUUGUAAUGAUACAUGGUUCUAUCAUUAUGGUGGACAAAGAGAACAAAUGGCAAUAUAGUUCACUAUUAUAGAUGCACGCAUUUAAUGGUUGACAGGCUAGAAAAUCAGUGCUUCAGUUUGUGAUUGAAGUUUGUAAUCAUGGCCCUUAGAUGCAUUGUAAGUGACAGACUAGGGUUCGAUCCUUGCCUCUUAUACUUUUCACUCAAGUGGCUUUUUUGGGAUUUAGAUUUAGUGAGUACAUAUGCACCCAUCUAGUUUGAAAGUGGUUUAGUAUCCUCCGGGUUCUCGAUGGCCUAGUUGAACCUGCACCCUUUAAUAGUAGUUGUAAAUAAGUGCUGAUUGACCUAAAAAAAUGAUACAAGAAAAUUCCUUACCAACUAUCCUGAUGAUAAAUGGGUUUUCGUAACUAGACUUAGAUGACCACGAUUUUUUGAAACUUUUCUAAUGGUUGCAUUGACAAAACAACUGCUGGAAUUACAACGAUUAAAAGUGACAUGGGAUUAGAUGUAAAAUUGAUGAUGAAAGAUUGUCUGGGUACCACAAAAGUUGACAAAGAUUAAACUAGACAAUUGAGAUAAAAUUUUAUAACUAAUGAUAUAGAAUUAGAAUUCUGAGCUUCUUCCAUAAAGUAUUGCAAAUUAACCAUUAAAACAUAAGGGGUCAACUAUAUUUUGAACCAUUAAUUAUUUGUAUUUUAGUGAUUAUGUUUAUUGUAGUUCACAAAAUUUCUAACUAACUAUCACUAUUUAUCUCAAAUUAUGAAUGUAGUGCAAGAAACUAAUAUUCAUUUUUGGUUAAAUAUUAUAGCAAAAAAUUAUGUAUCAGUCUAGCCUGAUGUUUAAAUCUGCUAAGUUGUCUUCAUAUGUGUUGAACAUACCCAAAAGGAAAAUUUGUGUUGCUUCAUUUAUAGUUGUGUCCUCUUACACAAUGUCAUUCUUCUAGCUAUCCAAGAGCCUAUGUAAAUAUAUCAGGGGAGAUUGGCUAGUUUUUUGUGGGGCAUUGGUGAUUAUGAAAAAUGUAUUGGCUGAUUUUAAGGAAGAUUAUUGAUGCUAAAGGUCAAGAAUUGGUCAAGACUAUGAUGUCUAUUGUUUUCUUUCUCUCACUCUUUUGUUUCUAGAAAAUGGUAAUAGACACCUUUUACUAUCGUUUGAAAAUAUAGGAUGGAAAUACUACUUCUUUUCUUUGGGUAGAAUUUUGUUUAUGGAGAGAAAAUUGAAACAAGUAUGCCACUUUUAUGUUGUACUAGGGUGAUGAAAUCUAUUAAGAAAUUAUGAUAAUAUGACUAAAAUAAAUAAGCCAUUCAAAAAGGAUUAUUUAUUUUCCUCCAAAUUUUGUCAAGCAAAUCGUGCUGGAUGAUUUCCAACAACCUCAAUAAUAAAUUUUUGUGUUUGUUUCUUAUAAAAAAAAAGCCAUUAAUUUUGUGUAAGCACAAAUGAAAUUCUAUUUUGCUUUUAUUUAUGUUUCAUAUAAGCCUAUUAUCUUAACAACUAUUUCAAAAAUAUUGAUCAAAGUCAAAGAAGCAUUGAUUGUUAAGAACAAUAAAUAUAUAUGUGUUUAAUAGACUAAUUUUUAAGGAUUAAUUUUUCAUAUACUGAUAGUGUAUAUACUGUUAGUCUUGAAUGAAUGACAACUAUACAAAAUUUGAAUUUGAAAUCCAACUUUUGCACAUGUGUAAUAAAUCUAACGGUGAUAGUGUAUACACUGUUAAUGUAUAUAAAAUUUUUUCAAUUUUUAAAUGAGUAGAUUUUCAAGUUAAAUGGAAAUAUAGAUUAAUAGGUGGUUAAUCCCAUUUUACCAUUUUGCUUCGGGAUAAACACAAUUAAAUUUUGUGACAUUUUUAUAUUAUUUUUACAAUUUCUUUCUUUAGGCUUUUAUGUCUAAUCUUUUCUAAAAACAACCAAAUUAAUUUAAGUUGUAUUGUGUUUAUAAAUAUACCUAUUUCACUAAAUGGAGUAAAAACUAUAAAUUACAUAUCUAUCUAGUUAAAGCAUAGGUGCUUCCUUAUAUUGUAUUGCACAAUUGUUAAGGUUGUUUUAUCUCAAUGUUAUCCCCAUGACUUUCUAAUCAACUAUAAUCUCAAUUGUUAUAUUUCCAUAUCACUAGUAUUAAGUGACGUGAUUUGCUUGUAAAUAUGAUUCCCAAAUAUAACAAAUUUUGUAUACAAAAUUAUUUCUAAAGUUGUCAACAUUUUCUUAAAAUAAUUUUAUUCUUUUCAUUUUUCUUGAAUCAAUUGUAUUUGAAAAUCAAUUUUUAAUUCAAAGAUGGUCACAUGUAAAUCUAAAAACUUUUUCUAAAGGUUUUUUUAAUCUUUUCCCGACAUUGUUCGAUAUUGAAAUGCUAACACUAGCUUGUGUCCUUAUAGUUAUCAUAUAUAUGCUUAAAUCAUAAAGACUAUAAUUUCUUAUUUACAAAAUAAUGUUGUCAAAGUCAUAAAUAAAAAUUCUAUCUUUUCCUCUCAUCACUAACAGUGCUUUCUAAAUCCAAAACUUAUUUUAUAUCUUGUGAAAAAGUAAUAGUUUGAGUAAAAUUAUGUAAUUACUCGUACAUCUUGAUAGUAAUUAUUAAGAUUGCAAAAAAAAAAAAAAUUUCAACACUCAUAACCUUUGGUCCAAAAAAAAAUAUUAGUUCAACCAUAUAACUAUAAAUGAUAAACACGUUUAUUGUUUUAGAAUCUAAAUCCUUGAACCUAUAAGCAUAUUCAACAUACUAAUUUUUGAAUAUAAACGUCAGUGUUCGUUUUUAAUAUAAUAAGAAAUACUUAGAUUUGUAAAAAUCAAAUUUUCUUGUAAAAAAGGCAAACUAAUUUUUUGUUCCAAGUGAAAAAUAUCCAUGAUAGUCAAAUUGCGAUUGUUUUAAAUUAUUGCCAUGGAAGCAUUAAUUUUACUUAUGUAUAUCUUCUCAAAUUGCACUAUAUUCAUUUUUUAAAUCUAGUAUUUGAUGUUUUCUUCUAGUAGUUUAAAGGAAUAUUUUCUCCCAAUGUACUUUUGAAUAGUAGAUGUAAUUCUUUGUCCUUUUAUUUUUCUUAACAAUAUCGAAGAUACACAAAUUUAAAAUGCGAUAUAUGCAUUAGUGUAUAUCCAUGAUCGAGUGCUAUAUAAUAUUUUAGUGCUGCAAAAAGGUUUGAAACUUUUUGUAAGAUCUUGAAACCCCCUCUAACCAGACAUUAAUUCUGUUGCAUCUUUAAGAAUUUGGUUAGCUUCAAACUCAGGAGGAUAGAUAAGAUUCUUGAAUAAUUUACAUUGCCACACAAUGAAUAUCCCUUUGAAAGAUACUUUUCUCACAUAACUAACAAAUACGAUUAUGAGAGCAAUUACGAAUCAUAUAUUGGAGGAUGAGAUUGAACAAGGUGUCACAAACUAGCUAAUUAAUCACCAAGCUUUUAUUUGACAUAGAUAGUUUCUUGAAACUGUUGCUCUAUGAUUUUUUAGUGUUUUUACUACUCAAUUCCUAAAUAUACAAUACAGUGAACUUAAUUUGUUUUUAGAAUAAUAGUCUAAACUAAUAGAGUACAAGACCCUAACCUAAUAUAUCAUGAUUAGAGAGUUAAAUUUUGAAUAAAACUAAGAUGAAAUACUUCAACAUUGACUUUUAGGUACUAGAAAAUCAAUUACUUAUCCCACCUAGAAUUUUCUUCCUUUUUUUUCUUUUUGUUGUUUUAUAAAAUUUUUGAAUUGGAAUUUAUAUCUUCACUAUAAAUAUGUCCAUAGUCAAUUAUCAAAAAUAAGAGGAACUUAUUAGGUCAAUGGAAUUCUUGUAAAAGUUUUUACGAAAAUCGGAUUUAGUGAUUCUUAAUGGAUUAAAUUAAUAAUAAUGUUGACAUCGAAUGCUGUGAUUUGUGCUAGUCUUUGGCUUUUUGGCUAGAAUAAAUAGAAGAAAUAGAACUAAUAAACAGAUAUACAACCUUGAUGGUUUCAAUAGAAACUUUGUUCAAAUACAAAGUCAAUAGAUAUUUCAUCACAACAUAAUAUUUUGCUUAACACCACUCUCCGCCGCCAAAAAAGGAAAACAAGAAAAAAGAGAAAUAACAUUUACACUUUGACUCCCUCUCUUACUUCCCAAACCAUGAACAAAAAGCAAAAAAAAAAAAAAAGAGUGAAAGAAACACUAGUUGAUCUUUCACUUUCAACAUUCAAAUGAACUUUUCCAAAACUGAUAUGCAAAGGGUUUUGGAUUUCUUAUUCCAAUAUAGUCCAAUGGUCAUUCCAAAACUCAAAUUUCUGUUAGCCACAAAUUCUUCAAACCAACUUCCUAGAAUCAAAUACAUAUCACGAGUCGGCCACUUUUUGAAGAACAUUUGGCACUUAGUUCCAGUGUCCAAAUCAAGAAUUUGGAUAGGAAUUCUUUCUCCAUUGAUCACACGGUUUUUGGUUUCAUCUUCCCAGUGGAUGAGUAGGUGCUCUUUCACUUGUUUUGCACUUAAUUCCAGACCAAUUUGAUGCUCUAGCUCAUAGGCUGAGAUUACUUUCUUGAUUUCCCAUGGGAAUAGGUACAAGAGUUGUGGAGAACGAUUGUUUCUCUCCACAAGUUCGUAGCGAGCACGGCCCAGUUGAAGACCACUUCUUCUAUUUUCUUCCUCUUUCUCUUUUGUUUCUAGAAAAUGGUAAAAGAUAUGUUUCACCAUUCUCAGAAAAUACUUUCUUCUCUCUUUUUUUUCUGUUUUUGUUUUCUUUUGGAUGACUUGGAGCAAAGAAUAGAGCAAGGAAAACUGCUUUUAUACUGUACUAAGGUGGGCUGCGGUGCCUUGAUAGUUUCUGAAAAUUUGACUCAAGCAUUAAUGAACCAUAAAAUUGUUUAGUAGGCAUUGAUGGAAAUCUGUUUUACAUUUAUUUCUUUUCCAUAUAAAACCAUUGCAUUUGUGAUAACUAUUUGAAAAAGAGAUAUAGUCAAAGAAUCAUUGAUUCUUAUGCACAUGUAAUUUUUGUAUGAUUAACAAACUAUUCUUUUGAUAAAUUUAUCUUCGAGUCAAUUGCAAGGUAGAGAUAGGAAACUGGUUCACCACUUUUGUUCCUUUCUUUUGCGGUAAAAACAAGCAAACUAAACUUUAUGAUACAUUUUCUUUAUUUUUUGUUUAACUUCAUAUGACCUUUUUUUUUUUUGAAAUUGAAUACCAUAUUAGCCUUAAUGAGUGUACGUUAGAUAUAUUAUCUACAUAUUUAUUUUACUUUCAAGAUAAUUUCCUUGUAUUUAUGUCACAAUAAUGUUAAGAUAAUUUUAUCCUAAUAUUAUAAUUUUCAAAACACCCGGAUAAUUGCUACGUUUUCAAAUUAGAAUCCAAGCUUUCGUAUUGUGACUUCAUGUCAUACUCUAAUUUGCUAUUUCUUUUGUUAAUAUUUAAAAGACUGUCAUUAGCUUUGUACAACUUAUUAUAACUUCAAAAUUAUGUUUCAUAAUUCUUUUUCUUAGUUUAUUGUCACAAAAAUGCUACAAAAUAAGUAUUUUGAGCACAAAUUAGUGAACUUCUUCAAUAUCCAUUAAAACCAUAAAAUUUUGUAAGAGAUAAAGCAUAGUAUGGCAAUGAUGGAAGUGUAUAUAAAAAAUGAAGUAGCUUUUCUCUAAAAAAGAAUGAAAAAUGUUCUUUGUAAACUAACUACCACAAGAAAUAGAAAAAUCACAAAACGUCUUAAGGAUGAGGUUAAAGUUCAUUAAUUUUUAGAAAUAACUUCAUACAUAACUAUAGAAUUCUUUUUCACGUUGAUGAAAUGUUAAGUUAAAAUAUUACAAAAGUGUCAAAUAAAAAUAGAAGAAUUUCUCAGUUGAUGUAAUAGCAGUUUAUCAUUGCUUUUAAAACAAAUUAUCAUAUGAUACAUAUAAGAAAAUGUUAAAUUCUAGUUGGUAAUUUAAAAAAUUAAAGUGACAAUUCCAAAAGAAACAUUUUCUUGAUUUAUAGCUUUAUCUAUAUUUUUCGAUUUUGUAGGAUUAUACUUAUGUUAAAUUCACAUUCCAAAUUUGGUUUCAAUUUAAGCCAUAGAUAAUAUACACACAAACACACGUAUGGUAGUAAUGUACAAUCUGAUCUUCGAAAUUCAUAUACAAAAAAAUAUGUAUAUGAUAAUGAUAUACAAGAUGAACUGCAAAUUCAGCAUGGGGAAAGUCUACAAAUAAUGUGCAAGUACCUAAAAAAUUGUGGCAUACACAUUCAAACUUUCGAUAUUUCAGAGGUAGAGAUGACAUUUCCUCUUGAGGGAGCGGUAGCAUUGAAGAAGGGCUUGCUAGAACCUCAAGACUUGUAACAAUACAUGACUCUAUCAUUAUGGUGGACAAAAAUAACAGAUGGCAAUAUAGUUUGCUAUUAUAGAUGCAUGCUUUUAAUUUUUUUUUUUGAUAAAAAGCAAAUUUCAUUAACGAAUUAUUGAAAGUCGUCUAGCAUGAUUUGAUUUACAUCUCUACUUUAAUGACAGAUUAAACAUGCACUUGAAAUAAUAGAUAUGCAAUUUAACAAUAUAUACAGUGGAUUUGAAUGACUUUAAACAUAUCUAAAAAAUACAAGAAAUUUUUAAAUUGCCUUAGAAUAAGAUAAAUUAUUAUAACUCCUUUUUGUGCAAGUUUCAAUUGCAUGAUCUUCUAAUCUACGGAUUCAAACUCCAAUAAUGAUGAUGAGAUCUGUUGAGACAGAUCCAAGAUCUAAAAAAAAUUCCAGAUCUAAAAUAAAUUCGGAUCAAACAAUAAAAUAAGGAUAAAAGCAUAAAAUUCUCACUAGAAACUUUUAGGAGAAACCGAAUUUCUCACUAAGGACCCCUAGGAGAAAUAAAGGACUCAAGCUAAGAAAAUUUAAAAGAGAUUUUAUUGAAAAACAUAAUAAAAUGAGAUCCCCAAAAAGAAAGGUUUUCUGAGAAGAUGAGAAGAUGUAGAGAGAAGUUGGAGACUAGAGAAUCAGUUUUUUGGUUUGUUAUUGAAGUUUUUAAUCAUGGCCGUUAAAUGCAUUGUGAGUGAGAGACUAGGGGUUUGAUUCUUGCCUCUUAUACUUGCCACUCAUGUGGCAUUUUUAGGAUUUAGAGUUACUGAGUACAUAUGCACCUAUCUAGUUCGAACGUGGUUUAGUACCCACCAGAUUCUCAAUGGCCUAGUUGAACUUGCACCCUUUAAUAGUAGUUGUAAAUAAGUGUCAAUUGACUUAAAAAAAUGAUACAAGAAAAUUCCUCACCAACUGUCUUGAUGAUAAAUGGGCUUCCCUAACUAGACUUAGUUGACCACGAUUUUUUGAAACUUUUCUAAUGGUUGCAUUAACAAAACAUCUGUUGGAAUUACAACGAUUGAAAGUGACAUGGGAUUAGAUGUAAAAUUAUGAUGAAAGAUUGUCUGCGUGCUACUAAAGUUGACAAAGAUUAAACUACACAAUUGAGAUAAAAUUUUAUAACUGAUGACACAAAAUCUGAAUUCUGAACUGCUUCCUUAAAGUCUUGCAAAUUAACUAUCGAAAUAUAAGAGCUCAACCAUACUCUGAACCAUUAAUUAUUUUAUAUUUUGGUGAUUAUAUUUAUGGUAGUUCAUACAAUUUCUAACUAACUAUCAUUAUUUAUCUCAAAUUAUGAAUGUAGUGCAAGAAACUAAUAUUCAGUUUUGGUUGAAUAUUAUAGCAAAAAGUUCUGUAUCAAUCUAGCUUAAUGUUUAAAAAUAUGCCAAGUUCUCUUCAUAUGAGUAUCCCAACAGGGGAGCAAGGGGAGAGUGCGGCAGGGCUGGUUUCUCAACAGGGGCAUGAAUGUGAGGUGCGGUAGGCCCUCCUGGCUCAAUCUAGCGCGGAACGGCGGACUGCCGAGGGGCAGUUGGUCUUGUUGCACAGCAGCGAAUUGGGGAGUUUGGUUGUCGAUUUGAAUGGGAAGGAGGAAGUGGCUCACGUAGCACUUGAGGAGGCUGACGCUGAGUUACCAAAGGUCGCAGGAAAUUUAUCGCUUAGGUUGAUUGUUCGUCAAGAGAGGUCGGGGGAGUCAUCGGUGAGAGCUUUGAACAUUGACCAAUUGGAGGCAGUUGAGAGAGAUGCCAAACAAGCGAGAGGGAAGGGUAUGCGCGCUCAUUUUCCCUCGGAUAGACAGAUUCGGUCCGCGACAUCCUCCCAUAACUCCUUCCGGGUAUUAUCUCAUGAUUAAUGGCAUUUUUUGAAAUAUUAGAGAGGUGACCAAAGCCCCUAAUUUGAGAAGAUUGGUUAAAUUUGUCAAGGUGCAUCAUGCUAAGUACGUUUGAUUGUUCGUCAAGAGAGGUCGGGGGAGUCAUCGGUGAGAGCUUUGAACAUUGACCAAUUGGAGGCAGUUGAGAGAGAUGCCAAACAAGCGAGAGGGAAGGGUAUGCGCGCUCAUUUUCCCUCGGAUAGACAGAUUCGGUUCGUGACAUCCUCCCAUAACUCCUUCCGGGUAUUAUCUCAUGAUUAAUGGCAUUUUUUGAAAUAUUAGAGGGGUGACCAAAGCCCCUAAUUUAAGAAGAUUGGUUAAAUUAGUCAAGGUGCAUCAUGCUAAGUACGUUGUGAUAUGUGAGCCCAAACUAGGGGUGUCUAAAAUUGAGUCCAUUCGGUUAUACUUACAGUUUGAUUUUGUGAUUGUGAAUCACUCGGGGGAUAUUUGGGUGUUUUACAGUAGUCCUUUCAUGUGUUCCAUUGUUGGUAAUUCAGGUCAACAUUUGUCUCUUUCUGUUCAAUGUCCGUUGAUGCCUGGGUCAAUCACAAUGUCUUUUGUUCAUGCAAAGUGCUCCGUAGAGGAGCAAAGAGAACUCUGGAGCGAUUUACUAGCUGAUAAGCAUAGCUCUCUACCAUGGUGCAUUGGAGGGGACUUUAAUGUCAUAUUGGCACCUCAUGAAAAAUGGGGAGGCCACCCGUUUGUUGUAGAUGAGGGGAUGGAGUUCAUGUCCUUCAUGGAAGAGGUUGGGGUUUUUGAUGUAGGCUUUUCGAGCCCUAACUUCACGUGGUGUAAUAAUCGGAGAGGUAGAGCUUGAGUUUCGAAGAGAUUGGAUAGGAUGUUAGUCAAUGGGGAGUGCUUGGAUUUCUUCUCCGCCAUCUCUGUGGUUCACCUGGCGACAUAUCCCUCGGAUCAUGCGCCAUUGAAGAUCUCAUUUGCAUCUCGGAUAGAUACUAAGCCGAGGCCGUUCCGAUUCUUGAAUGUUUGGACGACUAAACCUGAGCUCAUGAAGGUGAUUAGACGUGCCUGGGGUCAAGAAGUGAGUAGAUCCCUCUUGCGGAUUUUGUGCACUAAGUUGUUGGCGACGAGGAGGGCUAUUCAGGUUUGGAACAAGCAAUCGUUUGGUAAUGUGUUCGAUGCCAUUCGUAAGGCGGAGGCUACGGUGCAAAGGGCAGAUGAGGCCACAGAUCAAGGUGAUUUGGAGGAGGGCCAAAUUGAGCUCAGGAAGACUCAAGUGGAGCUACGUUAUGCGCUGUCUAUUGAAGAGAAGUUUUGGAGUCAAAAGACUCGAGUAAAGUGGCUUCAACAUGGGAACUGCAAUUCAAGGUACUUUCAUACGGUGGUAAGGCAGCGACGGGCCCAGAGAAUGAUAUAUCGAAUAAAGAAGUCCAGUGGUGUUUGGGUGGAUGCGGAGGCUAACAUAGCAAGUGAGGCAAUCUCAUAUUUUUCUGACUUGUUCUCUGGUCCCUCAGAGUCUGCAUCUGAUAUGCUGCAUCUCAUCCUACACAUGAUUUCGAGGGAAGACAAUGGGAAAUUAGAGGCAGUUCCUUCUAUGGAGGAGGUUCACCGAGUGGUACGGGCAAUGGAUGGGGAUAGUGCUGCUGGUCCCGAUGGAUUUACGGGCAAAUUUUACAUCUUUGCGAGGGAAGUUAUUGCGCAGGAUGUUUAUAACGCGGUACUCAGUUUUUUUUGUGGGCCAGAGCUCCCUCGAUUCAUCACUUCCACCUCGCUGGUGCUGCUUCCUAAGGUGUCGAAUCCCUAGGACCUUUCCCAAUUUAGGCCGAUUAGCUUGUGUAACUUCUUUAAUAAGUUGUUAUCUAGGAUCUUGGCUGAUAGAGUGGCUGGUGUUUUGUCAAAGAUUAUUUCCCCCCAGCAGACAUGAUUUGUUAAGGGCCGGAAUAUAUCCGACAACUACUUGUUAGUACAGGAGGUGGUAUCGGGUAUUGACAAAAAAGCUAGGGGUGACAAUGUCGUCUUGAAGUUAGACAUGUCCAAGGCUAAUGAUAGGGUGUCUUGGUUGCAUAUUAUUGGUGUCUUACGGAAGUUUGGCUUCGGGGAGCGAUUCAUUGAUCUGGUAUGGCGGUUGUUGGCUAAUGUGUGGUUCUCGAUCAUUAUCAACAUGUCGUCAUAUGGCUUCUUUAAAUCUAUGAGAGGGUUACGUCAGGGUGACCCACUGUCACCGGCGUUAUUUAUUAUUGGGGUUGAGGUCUUGUCGAGAGGCUUAAAUGACCUUAUGGUUCAAUCGGGUUUUUUGGGGUUUGAAAUCCCUUAUAACUGCCCCGCUGUAACUCAUUUGGCAUUCGCGGAUGACGUGCUUAUAUUUGCGAACGGGUCCACCUUUGCUUUGAAAGAUAUUAUGCAGGUGUUAGAGAUGUAUCAACGAUACUCAGGGCAGCUGAUAAAUGCUUAGAAAAGUGGCUACUUGAUUCAUCCAUCAUUGUCGCUAGCUAGAAAAAGAGUGAUUGAACGUGUUACGAGGUUUACUUGGCAACCCUUCCCUAUACGUUAUUUAGGGUCUCUGUUGUACUUUGGGAGGUGUAAAUCAUCAUAUUAUGGUGAAGUGUGUCAGUUUAUUCUAGGAAGGGUUCUGUCAUGGAAAUCAAAGUUUCUGUCUACGGGAGGCAAGAUGGUGCUAAUCAAGCACGUGUUGUCAUCGAUGCCAGUUCACUUGCUGUUCGCGGCUGUGAUCCCUGGCAAGGUGUCUAACACUAUAGAGAAGGUUUGCUCGAACUUCCUGUGGGGAUCUUCACCCGAAGAGUUGAAGUUCCACUGGAUAUGGUGGUCUCAACUGUGCUACCCAGUUGAGAAGGGUGGAGUACGGUUUCGGAGGCUUAUGGACGUCUAUUCAGCUUUCUCUUGUAAACUAUGGUGGAGUUUUCGAACGGGAUCGUCAUUGUGGGCUGCUUUCAUGCAAGCAAAGUACUGCAGAAGGAUCCACCCUUGUCAAGCAGAAAUGAGGUUGACAAAUUCGGCAGUCUAGAGGCGGAUGUUAAACGUGAACCGACACGUAGAACUGUCUAUGGUUUGGUUAGUCAACGACGGGUUGUGUCACUUUUGGUACGACAACUGGUUGGGCAGUGGUGCCUUAUUCCUUAGAGCGUCAGUUGAUCCAACUCUCUCGUUUCGGAAUUGCACUUCAAAUGGGCAUUGGGAUGUAAAUCUCUUGUAUCAAACCUUGCCACGGGACAUUGUUUCCUCCAUUUUAUAGCACCCGAUCCCUGACGGGCGAUGUGCCGAUGAAGUCAUUUUGUUGCCAACGAUAUCUGAAAAAUUCACAUUAGCCUUUGCUUUCCGGGAUGUACGGCAGGCCCGUAACACGUCGGUGGUCCUCUCUAAGGUUUGGCACCCUCGGAUCCCUUUGAAGUGUCAUUUUUAUAUUGCGGUUAUUGAUAGGGAGGUUGCCGCUACCGGAUACUUUAUGUAGACUUGGGUUUCAUUUGCUUUCUAAAUAUUGGUGUUGUCAAGUUGGGGCGGAGGAAUCAAUUGAGCUUGUAUUCUCUGCUGGCCACAUAGCGUUGGAGGUUUGGACUUAUUUUGGUGGUCUAUGUGGUUUUAAUUCCCCGAGGUCUUCACUGCGAGCUCGCAUAGUUGACUGGUGGUUGCGAUCACACGAGUCGGAGACGCGACGUUUUAUUUUCCUUAUUCUGCCAAGUUUUACCUGCUGGCAUAUUUGGAAGGCUAGGAAUAAAACAAUGUUUGAGGGUGAACAUAUGCGGUCUUCUGCCAUUUGUCAAGCCAUAUUCUCGGAAAUUAAAUCCAUUAUGGAGAUUCAGUUCAAAGAAAGGAUUAGGGUGCAAACAUUUUGCCAGCUGUAUGAUUGGUCAAAUUCGCUUGCCAGUGUUAGCUUCAAAUUUGUACGCUGGGAGGCGAAGGAGAUGAGAAGGUUAGUACUGAAUAUGGAUGGAUGCUCGAAAGGUAAUCCGGGAGUGGGUGGAGGGGGUGGGGUCCUUCGGGGUUCAACGGGGCUACCCCUGGUUGCAUUUUCGGCCUUCUUUGGAAUAACUACUUGUCUUCGCACAAAGACUAUGGCCCUUUUGAUUGGGCUCCAAACGUGUGUUCAUAGGGGUUUUACUAAUCUAUGGGUGCAAUCGGAUUCAUUGGCUUUAGUUGGGGUUCUCCAGCGGCGAAUUCAGUACCCGUGGCAGAUCCGACGCGAGGUCCGGCAGAUUUGGUAGUUAGUCGAGGAUCCUACUCGAUUCUCACACUAUUAUAGGGAGGCUAACACAGUAGCUGAUGCAUUGUCCAAUGUGGGUGUAGCUCAUCCUGAGCAGCAGGUCAAAGUCUAUGAAUGCUUUCGUAUGUUCCCGAGGUUGGCCCGCGUGGCAAUCAGGCUGGAUAGAUUAGGCGUGCAUUCAGUUCGGAAAUUUCGGCGUAUGUAAGCGGAACUUAUUGAUUGUCUUUGUGGAAUAAGAAUUAAAACUUGCUUCAAAAAAAAAAUGUAACCAAAUUUGCACUCUUAUGAGGAUAGAUCAUAUAUUUUUGGAAUGCCUAAUUAUUUUGAUAUCUAUGCAUACAAGUUUUAUGUGUAAAAAUGUGAUUUGAAUUGAUUGAACAUAUAAAUGUUUGAUUAUGAUAACUCUCAAUAUUUUCUAAAUUAGUUCAUGACUUGAGAGGGAAACUUUUUUUUAUUAAAAAGACUUUAUUUGGUUGAAAAUUUUUCUGUUUAACUUGCUUGAAGUUUUGUAUGUGGACUAUGCUAGUUAUUUAAUUUUGACAUAGUUUAACUAUUAGGUAUAAUGUAUCUCCUUGUUUAAAGUGUGAGAACAUUCUACCAUAAUUUAGUUAAAAUUAGCAUAUUAUUUUAUGCAAGUGAAAUGAUUAUGAUGUUACUUUCUAAUUUAUAUUUAAAUGCUACAUCUAGAAUGUUAACAUCAUGUAUGAAAAUCAAUUAGAUAUCCAUCUAGUGAAUUUCAAAUCUUCUAUCAUAAUCAGUUUGAUUGGAUACGUAAAUAAGCUCUUAGCCUCACAUCUAAUGAAAAAGUUCUAUCAUAUAUGUUUCACUGAUGAUAACUCUUUUUUUGUGAUACUUUUAUGAAUUUCUUGGUACUUAUUAAUACAUAUUUUUUUGAAAUAGGAGGAAAAUAUUAAGGGUGAGCAAAAAUUAAUUUGGAAAUUAUCUUUUACAUGAAUUCUCUUGUAUAUACUUGAUGAUAUGCUUUUGAAGGGAAGUAAUUCUUUAAAUUUAAUUAAUCCCUCUGUACUUACUUGAUUUAUAUGUUUAUUUUAAGUACAAGAUAGUUGAUGAAAGAUAAAAGCCAAAAUCAAUAUUGCCAUAAUUGAGUGGGAGCCCAAUGCUUUAUCUUAUGAGGAGUCUCUUUGUUAUGCCAUUUGAAAAUAUUAGGUUGCUUUGGUAGCUUACAAUGUGCUUGACUAUACAAUGCUCUUGAUCUUAGAGGGAGUUACUUGCAAUUCUUGCUUACAUACUUUAUUUCUAAUAUUGUCAAAAGGGAGAGAAGAUUGAAUGAUAUUUCUUUGAAUGUUGGGCUUUUACUUAAAGGGAGUUUUACUUGAAUUCUAUUUAAUUAUCUUUGAGAUACCAUUGAGUAAGGGGGAGUUUAUUUGAUAAAAAAAUUAUCAUUUUGUUUGUCAUCAUCAAAAAAGAGAGAAAUUGAAGAUUUAAACCGAUCAACCCUUGGUUUUGAUGAUUAACAAUUUGAUAAAAAAAAAUCAUCAUUUUGUUUGUCAUCAUCAGAAAGAGAGAGAUUGAAAAGUUAAGUUGAUCAAUCUUGGUUUUGAUUAUUAACAAGCCAAAAUGAUAUUUUCGACUAAUGUUUUUAACAAGAAUUUUGUUAGAACAGGUGCUCAAAUAUUUGGAAAAAGAAAUGAUGAAAAAUGAGAAGGAAUUAAAAUUGUCGCUUAGCAUCGGACACAGUUUUGAAGGCAUAAUUAUUUCAUUAGAUGUCCGAAGCACCACAAUAGAAACAUCCCUUAUCAUCGAAUACAACAUCAAGCACAUAGUGAAGGGUUGAUCAUCCGAACAUUGAAGCAAGUAUCAUUGAAUGAAGUAUCAGACGCUAACUGACUCUAUCAGCCGUUCGAAAAUUAAAUGAAAACUUGGGAAGCUACUGAUCUCUUUCGGACAUAUCUGUCAGAUAGUAUAUAUUUAGAUCGAUCGUCCGAGCCGGUGUCAGAAGCGUGAUGGAUGCAGAGCAUUUGAUUCAAACGGUCGAUAGUUUCAAUAGCUAGUUUUUAACAGCCUUUUUUUUUUCCUGAUCAUUGGAGAGUUUCUUGGACCAAAUUUUUAUCUUCUAUAAAUACCCGAAGGCCUGAAAUAUUAGAGCAACUUUUGCCUACAUUGAAUACAAGUUUUUUAGAGUGAAUUUAUGAGAAAAUACUCAUUUCUUGUGGACUUGUGGUUCUUUGUGAGGUUGAAAAGUUCAGGUGUUCGUUAUUAUUUGGGUGAGCAUUCAAUUGUAAUGUAGAGAGAGUUAGCAAGGGAGAGUUGUAAAAUCUCUUAGUACAACUAGAGCAUUUCUUUGUACAAAUUGGUUUGUUUCACAAUAUUGGAAGAAACAUUUAGUAGGUUGAACUCCCAAGUUUGGUAAAACUUGAGAGUGGAAAGAGGUGCCAUAUCAGUUGGUUUGUUUUCUUUUUAAUUUAUUGUUUUUUACUUGCCCAUUUAUGUGAUUUCAUUACUUUAGCUCUUUUACUUUCUACUUGUUUAAGUGUGUAAUCACUUGGGUAAUUUGGCUAGUUUAAAUUGAAUGAAAAUUUGUCAUAUCUUACUUAGUUGUUAAUCAAUCCAAUUCGCUUCUCUCUUAGAUUGCAGUAGGACCUUGCAACGGUAAUUGAUAACAUCCAAGGCUUCUCACUAUUCAUGCCGUUGGUCUAGUGUUUUAAAACGCCUUGCCUGGGGUAAGGCGUUUUGCCUCCACCUAAAAGCCUUGAGCCUGGGUUGCAAGUCCUAUGGUUUUAAUAUUUUUAAUAUUUAAAAAAAUCAUAAAAUUUACAAAAACUAUUAAUAUUAAAAGACAUAUAACUAUAACAAUAGAAAAAUUAUAGAAAAAAUAUUAAAUUUUCAAAAAUUAUAGAAAAAUAUAUUGUCAUAAGUCAUAACAAGGGAGAUGAUUUUACUAGGAAAUAUUUUUAUAUUCUUGUGGUAUGUAAUACUAUAUAAAAAUGGUAAAAUUAAAACAUAACCAAGUUUUGGGGUUAAAUAAGAAAUUUGAGAUAACAUGUUAGCUAAAUUUUCAAAGUAAGUUGCAACGAUAAUAUUUGUGUUACCUACUCUAGUUUGAGAAGAAAUCUAACCGACGGAGGAAUCCCGGAAAGAAGCCACUUGAAAGUGAUUGUCACAAUUAAUUAGCAAAUAUACGGUACCCUUGCCUCUCACCCCCACUAGGACAGUCUUAGUGGCUACCAAGCAGUUGGUGCCAAAGCACAUGGACUUAAUACUACGUGUUUUUACUAACAUGGGAUCCACAUCUCCAAAUUCAGGCCCGUCAACUUCAUCAAGGUCCACCGAGCACAUACCCAUUUUUCAGCCCAAAUCAUCAAAUGCUUCUUUCCUUCACUUUCUCUUUUCUAAACUUGAAAUGACUUCCCGAUUAUUCCAGGCAAGUGUGGCAAUUUUUAACACAACUUGAAAAAAUGACACGAACCUAAUAUGAAAUUAAUGGGUUUGAGUUGAACUUUCGCAGGUUCGAGUUAGAAUCGGAUCGAACUCGAUGAAUUCGAAAAGAAAACAGGUUGAAUUCAGAUCAUCCAUGGGUUGACCUGAUAACCCGUUUAUGAAUUAAAAUAAUUUAAUAAAUAUGAAAAUAUUUUAUCUAACUAAACUAAGUUAUUCUUUUUUUUUUCAAAGGCAUUAACCACUUAAUCCUAAAUGAAUUUGUUUAACUUGUGUGAAGUUGGAAUUAUUUUGCUUGGACAAGUGAUGUAUUAUAUUAUUUUCUACUUUUAUAAUGUCUUCAUUUAUUUUAAAUCCGAUUUUGGAUAAAACACUUUUAUGGUGUUUUAAUUUAUUUGAGAUCUGGUUUGGGAUUAUUUUAUCGAAAUUUUUAUUACUUGAUUAUGUAAUUAGUCUUGUCCAAAAUUAGUUCUGUUAGAAACUAUAGUGUUAAAUUAGUAAAUUGAAAUUAUGUUUCGGGUGACCUGCCAACCCAAAAAUUUCGGAUUCAGGCCAAGCAUCCUGACUCGUUGCGGGUUGGCAGGUCAUGUUCGGGUCAGCUAGUUAUCUAUUGUACAUGGGUCUCAACCUGACCUGCCAAUUCGUUUUUGACCUAAUUGCCACCCUUAAUUCCAGGUUCCAAUGCAUGUGUGUUUUUUUGUCAAAAUAUUAUUUAAUUGCAUAUUAAACACGUUUUUCAAUCAUUUUUUAAUUUUUUAAUUUUUUAUUUCACAUACAUUAUAUCACAAAAAUACUACAAUAAUUAUUUCAAAUAAUUUUCUAUCCAGACAUCUUUGUACUUUGUUAUCUCUUUUCUUUCUUGCUCCAUUUGUUUGUCGAAUAAUUUAAAAUCUCUGUUUUUCUUCCUCACUAUGCCAUCAAAAAUAUUAAAAAAAGUUUAAAAAAAGAGUAAAAUUCAGGAAUGAAAUACUUACCUGCUAGCUCUAGCGAAGGUGAGAUUUGUUUCUCCUUCAAUUAUCUGCACUGAUUUUAAGACUGAAAUUGAGGAAGAUCCCUGCAUCAUAAGAGAUGGAUGUGGCCUCCACUUGCAUAAAAAGACAAGUUGCUCCUGAACAACUUCCCAAAAGCACCAUGGGUGUUAUUGCUAGUAUAUUAAUGCACAUACAUAUAUUGAACUUAUACAAAUUAGCAAGGAUAAAUACAGCAGUUUUUUCGAAACUCAACACCUAAAAGAAAUAUCUUUUUGGUCAGUUGGGGCACAGUUACUCGCAGGUAAGAAUAAUUUCUUUGUUACCUAAUAUAAGCAUUUUUUUUUUCAAUUUUGGCCACAAUUGGACUUGCAUGGCUCUUCACCCAGGUUGGUGUGGAUUUCAUCACAACAUAUCGUUCAAAAUGUAUACUGCUGGAUCAUAAGUUUGAAUCCGCGAUACGCAGCUUUAGGAGUACAGAAGUUUUAAAUCGAAUUUUCCUUCAUCAUGUUGAAGAAAUUUGUCGAAAAUUGAAGUAUGGAAGCCAAGUUCUUUGGAGAAGGAUAUCUAUCCACUUAUAAAAUUGUGCUUUUCACUUAUGGAUCUACCUAUUGGUGAGUGGGGCACGUCUCCUGACUGGCCAAAACAAAAAAAAUGAUUAUAUUAGGUAUAAAUUUAUUUUAAUCUCACUAAAUUUGUAACUGUAUCCGAAGCAAUGAUGAAAAUAAUACGGUAUUGAGUUUCAGUAAAAAUUAGUAUUUAUCCAUGUCAAUUUGUAGAAGUUCAAUCUAUGUAUGUGCAUAGGAGUAAUUUGUUGACAAUAAUUAAUAGGAUAAAAUGCCCCAGUGGCCCUCAAAUUGUUAUAAAAUUUAAUUUUUGACCGUCCAAUUAUUAAUUGAUAAGUUUUAGUCCUUCAACUAAUUAAAACAUAUAAUCUUAAUCCUUCCAUCAACUUGAGAUGUUAUAUUUAACAAUAAUAGCACAACAUGUGCAACAGUGGCCCUCAAAGUAUUAUAAACUUCAACUUUUGGUUUCCCCACCUAUUAAUUGAUAAAUUUUACCACUCCAACUAAUUAAAACAUGUAGGAUCUGUUUCGAUUAGUUGUUUUUUGGAGGUGUUUUUUAAAAACUUUACUGUAACUGUGUAUAUGAAAAACUUUUACUGUAAAUAUGUUUUGGAUUGUUUUUAAAGGUAUUUUUAAAAUAUAUUUUGGGUUAUUUUUAUAAUUUACAACUUUGUGGGGUAUCUUUUUUUUUUCAAAUUUUACACCUCCCUCCUCCUCUCCCCUCUCUCCUUUCUCUUCCUCUCCUCUUCCUCUCUCUUUCCUUCCCCUCCUCCUCCUCGCUCUUUCCUCUCCCUUCUCCCCCCUCCCCUCCUUUCCCCCGACCCUAACCCCUCUCCCACUCGCGAGUGGUGACUGCGACUCUAGCCACCACUCUAGCUGCAACCUUCUUAGUCACUACCAGAAAGGUCACGACCAGAAGCCAUGAGUCGCAGCCUUUGGCCGUGACCUUCUAGUCACGAUCAAAUUUGGUGACGACCAGGAAGAUUGCAGUCAGUGGAUGGGAGGGGGAAUUGGGGGGCAGGGAAAGGGUAGGGAGAAUGAGAGAGAGGAGAAGGAAGAAGGGAGAAGGAGAAGGAGAGAGGGAGGAAAGAUGGGGAGAGAGAGAGAGAAAGAGAGGAGAAAGGAGGGAGGGUCAUGGGUAUGGGUAUGGGUAUGGGGUGGUGGCAAUAAGGUGGUGGUGGUGAUGGUGGAGAGUGAUGGGUGGUGGUGGUGUAUUUUUUUUAAUAUAUAUUUGGAAUUAUUUUUGUAUAUUGUAUGGAUGUGGUGUUUUUGAAAUUAUUUUUGUCCAUCUAUUACUUUCCAAAAAUUGAGGAAUCCAAAUAGAGCCAUAAUCCUAGCCCUUCUGUCAACUUGAGUCAUUAUGUUGAAUGGAAACUUCACCAUGUGCGCUGUAGGGGCAUAACCGAGGGGCAUUUUCAUCUUCAUAGGACAUGUGUUAUGGUAAACUUGUUUUGACUCACAAACUAGUUUACCAAAUCUCUAAUUGCUGAACUUCACCAAAAUCAAUUGAAAACCCAAAACCUAAAUAGAAAUUCUAGCAAGAAUAGGCAACUUGAAAAAUUGAGUUAUCUUCAUCUGGAAUUAACUCAUUUUUAGUAUUGUUCCAGAUUAAUUGGGUUCAUGUAGUUCUUUUAAUGGCAUAAAUCUAGCAUAUAAUUCAUUUUUUGGGAAUAUUCCAACAAGCCUUGGUUCCCUUCCAAGAUUGAAUUUUCUAAAUCUCUCAAAUAAUCAAUUCUCUAGGGAGAUUCCUCCAAACUUUACAUUACUACAUCUAAACUUUCUUUAUUUGUCUAACAACUAGUUGGUUGGGUGUAUCUUGGAUUCUUUAUCAGUAGAUGUUUCACUUCGAAUUAACGACUCAAGUUGACAGAAGGCCUAGACAAGUUAGAGAGGCAAAAGUUGAAAUUUGUAAUAGUUUAAGAGCCAUGGGAGCAUUUUACCCAUCUCAUGAAUCCUAUAUCUCUGCUAAAUAUAACGACUCAAGUUGACGGAAUGAUUAGAAUUAUAUGUUUUAUUUAGUUAGAAAGCUAAAACUUAUUAAUUAAUAGUUGAAGGGUCCAAAGUUGAACUUUAUAAUAGUUUGAGAACCAUUGGGACAUUUUCACCUAAUUAAUAACAUACACAAGUAACACAUACAAUUUGCCAAUUAAAUAAGACAUAAUAUCAGCAACCUUCCCUAAAGUUUUUCUUAAUAUCACUGAGCAUUUCUAAACUUUUAAAAGUAUUACCUACCUUCCUUACGUUUGUCAAGUAAAUGAUACUGGACGAAUUUCAACAAUUUUAUUGAUGCAAUUUUUUUUGUCAAAAAGAAUUUUUGUUAAAAUGCUAAAAAUGUAUCUAUUAAAUCCAAAUGGACAUGAGAAGGAUACUUUGCGUUAAAAUUGGUGCGAAAGUUAAAUCCGGCUGUGCCAUUAACAGCGGCUUGUCAUGCAAUAAUCCGCAGGAGCCGGCACCCAAUUUUAAAGUCCAAAAGCAGUGAGCCCACCACUAACUAAUGCCUCCACCACCCUCUUUAAUUUUUCAUUUACACAAUUUCAAAUCCUAAAAUCAUCAAAGUGUGUAAAAAUGAGGCCAUUGCCAUCCCAUACAUAACCUAGAAAGAGAGAGAGAGUGAAAGAAGUAGUAGCAGAUCUCAGCCAAAUUAUUCAGCCAUGGCAACUAGUACUCCAGUUAACGUCCCCUCCAAAAUGAAGGCCUGGGUCUAUGGCCAAUAUGGAAAACCCGAAGAUGUCCUUAAAUUGGAAUCCGAGGUUGAUGUUCCUGACGUAAAUGAUAACCAGGUCUUGAUCAAAGUAGUUGCUGCGUCCCUGAAUCCAGUCGACUUCAAACGCAUGUAUGGUGAAUUCAAGGCCACUGAUUCUCCUCCGCCGGUAAACACCCUGUUUUUUUUCUCUGGAAAAAAUUGUUGUUUGUUUUAGUUACUAGAUAGAUAGUCCUUGUGUAGAUUUACUGUGUUUUUUUUUUUUUUUUUGGUUUUUUGAUCGGGUAGACUGUAGCGGGAUAUGAUGUGGCGGGCGUGGUGGUUAGAGUUGGAAGCAAAGUGAAGGAAUUCAAGGUCGGGGAUGAAGUAUACGGAGACGUUCACGAGCAUGCUUUGAACCCAAAGGGAUGUGGGACACUGGCGGAGUACACUGCAGCGGAGGAAAAGGUAUUAGCUUUGAAGCCCAAGAAUCUGAGUUUUGCCGAGGCAGCUAGUCUUCCUCUUGCCGUUGAAACAGCAUACGAGGGCCUUGAAAGCGCUAGGCUUUCAGCUUGUGAAUCAGUUCUUGUCCUGGGUGGUGCUGGUGGAGUUGGAACUUUCACCAUUCAGGUAUUUUAUGCGUUCACUUUUUCCUCUUAAUUUUCAAUACUUUAAAACACCUGGAAAAAAUCAGACCUAGUUGGUCAGUUCCAAGGAAUCAGUGUUAAUUUUUGAGAACCAAUAAACAACAAGUGGUAGCAUUUCCGUACUAAGUCAUCCUUGGCAGAGACAAUGAACCUUCCUAGCAAAAAAAUUAGUGUAUGUAUGUAUCAAUCAAAUUUUCAGAUUUGGCAGAACCUUCAUAGCAAUUUUAGGUUUGGCUUUUGAGUUGCUAGAUAAAUUAAAAGUAGUUCUGAAGACUGACCUUUUAUAGGGGUGUUAAUUAGGCUUUAGAAUCGAAUUUUGGCAACCUCAUUCUUGACUCACAAAUUAUACAAGUUUUUGUGUUUCGAAUUCAAAUUAAAAAAAUCAAACUCAACUCGCAUUUUAUGAGUUUUAGACUCAAAUUGGGUUCGACUCAAACUCAUAAUAAAAUACAUAAUUAUAUAUAAUAUAUAUUAUAUAAUUAUGAAUUACUAUAAAUUUAUAUAUAAAUUAUUAACAUUUUAUAUCUUAAUCGAGUUUGAACUUAAUUAAUAUGACCCAAGUUCAACUCAUAUUUAAUUCGGACAUAAUAUUUAUAUCCAAUCUCAGCUGGUUUAAUUAAGACUUAGGCUCAAUGGCCUUUUUUUGGGUCCCAUUGACAGCCUAACUUUUGCUUAGAACCGAAGAUAAAUCAUAGUACUACCUAAAUUCAUGCAUGACUGAAACGAUUUCUUGAUAUGCGGCAGCUGUCAAAGCAUGUGUUUGGUGCAUCCAAAGUAGCAGCAACUUGUAGCGCUGGGAAACUGGAGUUACUUAAAACCUUAGGGGCUGAUUUGGCUAUCGACUACAAAAGCAACAAGUAUGAAGAUUUGCCAGAGAAAUUUGACGUGGUAUAUGAUACCGUUGGUAAGAAUGAAUCCCUUGCUCUCUGUUCUGGACAGUAGGUAAAAGUUCUGGUGCUAACUAGCAAUUCAUUUUGCAAAUGUGCGAAAAUGAGCAGGUGAGGCUGAUAGGGGUAUCAAGGCUUUAAAAGAAGGCGGAAGAGUGGUGACAAUCGUGGGGGGCCAGUCGGUGGUUCCCCCUGCUUUCGUGUUUGUGGUCACUUCAACUGGUUCUGUCUUAACCAGACUCAAACCUCUCAUAGAGGAGAAGAAGCUGAAGCCGGUGAUGGACCCUAAAAGCCCUUUCCCAUUCUCUCACACCAUUGAAGCAUUUUCCCAUCUUCAAUGUGGCAGAGCUACCGGCAAGGUGGUCAUAUAUCCGAUUCCAUGAUCAAGAAUCAUUGCCCUCUCCAAUACCUGAACGCAAUCAUGGCCUUUUACUAAUAAGAAUUCUAGAUUGCCAUUCUUUCUUUUCUUUUAAUAUGGUACUAGUAGCAUGGAUAGACAUGUAAGUAGAAGGGAGAGUUGGAUUGGGUGGUAAAGUGGAAAGGAAUAUAAACAGAAACCAAGACCAUUUAUAUAUAUAUAUAAAAGACAUGUAUUGGAAUAAAUGAAAAGAUAUUGCGGUUUUACUUGUUUCACUAAUAAUAAUAAUAAAAUGUAAUUGCUAGUAGUUCUAUUAAAAACAAAGUGUCUCAAAUUACACCAACAACUCAUAUUACAAAUCAAAGUGCUCUAGACCACAUAUACAUUCACUCUUUUUUUCUUUUUUUUGAAUUAAUCUUUCCUACACUGACAGUGUAUACACUAUCAGUAUUGGAUAAAUGACAAUUAUACAAAAUUUGAAUUUAAAAUUCAACUUUUGCAUACAUGUCAUGAAUUCAACGAUAAUAAUGUAUAUACCAUCAGUGUAGGAAAGAUUUACUCUUUUUUUUUGGUUGGGUGUGCGGAUAUUCUAAAGCACCAAUCCCACUUUUAUAGCUAAGAAGCCAAUGCAUAGGUACAUAUUACUCCUACAAUGACAUUAAUAUUGAUUGAAACCACAGUAAUUUGGGAUGAAUUAUUGACUUUAGGGUGAAAAACAUUCAAAAUUAAAUUUUGAGGUGCAAUUUCAUAGUUAUUAAUAACUUUAAAGCACAAAAUAUUCAAAAAUAAAAGUUUGAGAUACAAAUAUCAUUCAAAAGGGCGCAAAAUGAAAUUUUAGUUGCUUAACAAACAAUCUUGUUUCUUAGACCCGAGAUGUGGGAUAAACCAACCCUCAAAGUCUUCUUUUUUCUUUUUUUUUGGACAUAGAAAUGAGUGAUUUCAACUUAAAAGAUUUGUCAAUCGAGAUGCUCAAAAGUUUUCUUUUAUUGACUGAAGUGCAACUUGAUAUGAUUCUUGAAACGCUAAGACGAAUCAAGAACGUGACGCACAAGCCCGGAUCUAGGUUAGGAAUCACGUUUGGUGACGGAGUCUGUAAUCUAUCUUGGACCGCACAAGAAAGACUAGAAUGGGUAGAACAACGCCACAAUCAAGGGGACUACUUGAUUGAUAAGUUGACGAACCACCUUAGGGCAACUCUAAGAUGUUCAAUAUUGGCUUCACAAGCCAAGGGGAGCUCUUUCAUUCGUGAAAGAAAUCUGGAAAAAUUUUCUCAACUUUCUUCAAUCCCAUAAAACAUGAAAGUAAAGGCUUUUUAUAGCCUUUUACAGGACCAAACUCCUAAUCCAACUAGGAAGUAAGAACUUAACCCUAACUCCAAUUAACUCUAUGAAUUUAACUCCAAUUGGCUACUAACUAUGGUCAACAUGACCUUGAGCCCUUUUAUUAACUAAUUGACUAAGAUGAUCAAGCUCAAAUUUUGGAAUUAACAACCAAAUGACAUAAAACAAUGGAAAUAAGCCACAAACAGCCCAUAAAGAGAACCAUUCGGCCAAGACACAAUGAGGACACCAUGAAAUGACUCUAGCUCGAUGCAAAUGGAUUUGAUAAAUGUUAAGACCAGCUAGCCUCGUAUCAUUCCCCUCCUCUUAAAGGCGAUUUGCCCACAAAUCGAAGCACGAAGGGUCACAAGAUGAGUGACAUGUCGUUGGGACAACCUGACGAUGAUCACAUUCAAGGGUUGCAUCCAAUACAAGGACCACCAUGUGCGACGCUGGAAAGGACCAGUUGUAAUACGAUGAAGCUCACGGACCAGCUUCAAGGCUUGUGUAUCAAUGAGGUAUGGAUCCUCAAAUUGGCGUGGAACAUCUUCCCACAAUCCACUGGCAUGCAAUUGCAUAUCCGGGUGGCUAACUUGCAAAAAGGAAGCAAAACUAGGAGCAAUUGUGUUAGUAAAGUUACAAGAAAAAACUUUGUCACACUCAGCCCUUACUAACAAACUAUGCUUCAUAUCUUUAUACAUCCCUUUAGCCAAACUCACUAGUGCUUUUCUCCCUUCACUACUCUCAAUCUCACUCUUUUCUUGUUUUCUCAACUCACACUCUAACUCAUACUCUUCAUGUAACCUCAGUUGAUCCUCUUGGACUUGUUGGGGGGUAAGAGGAACAAGAGUAAUCUUUUGACGACCAUGCAUGAAAGAAUACUUGUUAGAUCGACCAUCGAAGUGGACAACUUUGUCGUAUUGUCAAGGUCGUCCUAAGAUCAGGUGACAUGCUUGCAUGGGUACCACGUCACAUACCACCAUAUCUUCAUACCUACCAAUGCGGAAUGGGACCUUCACUUGUCUAAAAACUCGUUCACCAUCAUUGUUAUUUAACCAUUGAAGUCGAUAUGGUUGAGGGUGCUUAACGGUUGAAAGAGAUAAUUUCUCAACCAUGAACAAGCUUGCUACGUUUGCACAACUCCCUCCAUCAAUUAUUAGACUACACAACUUGUCUUUGAUGUGACAACGAGUGUAGAACAAGUUAUCCCUUUGCUCACCCUCAUCCUUUAAAGCUCGGGCAGCAAAUACUUUCCUGGCAACCAAGACACCAACAUUCCCUUCACAUGGCAAUUCUUCCUCUGAGUGGUCGCUUUCUUCUACUAAAGGUGGCAUCUCUUCACAAUCAUCCUCAUCAUCGGACACCACUUCCCCAUUAGGCAAGAUAAGCAUGGCCCUUUGGUUGGGACAUUGAGAUGCUAUGUGUCCGAAGCCUUGGCACUUGAAGCAUUUAGCAUCCCGACUUCGCGAUUUUGGAGCUCUUUGGCUAGCUUCUUUCUCGGCCUUAGGUGCUAGUCUAGCAUCAUAGGGCCUCGAUUUUGGUGGUUGAGAAAUCCCUACGGUCUUGUCCUUACCUCUUGAAGGCGAACUUUGCCAAGUGGCAGCUUGAUAGUUGGAAUUUGAGCAAGUGUUACCCCUCCGCUUGAGGCGCCUUUCUACCUUUACCGCCUUAUCCAACAACUCGCUUAAAUCAAGGUAAUGAUGCAGCUCCACAAUCUCAGCAAUUUCGUCCCUCAAUCCACGCAAAAAUCUGGCCAUAGUGGCCUCCAAAUCCUCAUGAACAUCAGCCCUCAUCAUGGCCAUUUCCAUUUCCUUAAAAUAAUCUUCAACCGUCAAACUACCUUGAGUAAGAAUUUGCAAUUUGUUGUGCAAAUCUCUAUGGUAGUAAGCUGGAAUGAAGCGUUUUCGCAUCAAUCUCUUGAGCUCAUCCCAUGUCCUUACGGGAUGCUCAUCAUUUCUCCUCCGACUUGAAUGAAGUUGAUCCUACCAAAUUGCAGCGUAAUCGGUGAAUUCAAUAGCUGCAAGCUUAACCUUGUGACUCUCUGAAUAAGAUUGGCAUUCAAAGAUAAGUUCCAUCUUCCUCUCCCACUCUAGGUAAGCCUCUGGAUCGGACUUGCCUUGGAAAGGAGGAAUUUUGACACUACAACAAAAAAGGCUUUAGCGGCAUUUAAAGGUGUCAGUAUAUAAUAUCUAACCUGACACUUUAUCUAUCCUGACACCCAGGAUGAGUGUUGUCCCUUCCAAUGUGGGGAUAGCCUCAAAUCUUUAGCAGCAUUCAAAUGUGUCAGGCAAACCAUGCUGCUAUAUCUUUACCUCUGCCAACAAAAUCCUUUUUUUGUGAUAAUCGAAAGUGUCUGUAUAGCGUUAGGACAUCAGUAGGGAAUCAUUAGGAUAUCAAAUUUAUGAAGGCAUCUUGAGUUGUCUUAAUAUACGGCUUUAAGGACACAUAGCCAUGUGAAUCUACAAUGUGUUGGACGACAUGCCCAUUUGUUAUUAGUGUUUUUCGAAGCUUAAGCUAUGCUGACACUUUUAAUUGCCUGGAGAAUUUUCUCUGUUUUUUUUUUUAUAUGGAAGCAACCUGCAAUUAGUCCUCCCUGCUAUACAUUCCAUCAACCAGAAUCCCAAGGGACUUGUAAAUUUAUCCCAAAGAGCAGAAUGCAUAUAGCAAUGUAAAAGAAGAAGUCGAUACUGAAAUAUAAUUCAUUGAAUUAAAAGUCGAUAACAAGUACAAACAUAGCAAAUACUAAAAUCGCAAACAAGUGCUAAAAGCAAGUACUAAAAUAUCAAACCAGUACCGAAAGAUUCUCAUUUACAAUAACUUGAAAGCUCUAUCGGAAGCACAAAAUAAAAGACUCUCAUCCCUAAUAAGUUGAAAGAAGUAGAAGUAGCUUCCAAACUUUCCAUUUUGUUGAGAGUCCUCAGGCAUAACCACGAAGUCCCUAUCAUUCUUCAGCUGGUUCCACCUGUGCACAAAGACCAAGGGGAUCAUUAGAUCAUCAUAACUAGAACUAAAAUUCCAGAAAAUCCGCAAUGUAUUUAAGUGCAUAUCUCACCAAAUGACAAGGCCAAGCAAUUGGUGCACCAAGUGCAUCUUGAAUCGUUUGUUGUAAACCAUAUGGUCUAAUCAAUUGCUCACGUGGAGUCAUUGCAACUUGUAUCUGUAUUUCACACCAGUUUGGCCCAAGAGCUUGUCCCCUGACCUCAUCUAAUGGAUUCAGACUCCGUAAAUAUCCCAACUAGUAUUGGGAUAAGAUUUCUUUCACGAAUGAAAGAGCUCCCCUUGGCUUGUGAAGCCAAUAUUGAACAUCUUAGAGUUGCCCUAAGGUGGUUCGUCAACUUAUCAAUCAAGUAGUCCCCUUGAUUGUGGCGUUGUUCUACCCGUUCUAGUCUCUCUUGUGCGGUCCAAGAUAGAUUACAGACUCCGUCACCAAACGUGAUUCCUAACCUAGAUCCGGGCUUGUGCGUCACGUUCUUGAUUCGUCUCGGCGUUUCAAGAAUCAUAUCACAACUUCAGUAGUAGUUAUGACAAUAUGUCCAUUAUUAGUUGAGACUUUCUCGUUCACGUGAUUCCCUCAGCUUUAGUUGAUUCCCUCAGCUAGUGAUGGACAUAUUGUCAUAGAUAAUAAGUCAUCAUUAGUUGAUUCCCUCUGCUUUAGUGAUGGUUAUCUUGCCACAAAAUCGUUGCAUAAUUACGUAGUGGUUUUCUGGCUGGCAGAGUUUAACUUGAGAAAAGCACGAUUAAACUACCAUUAUCGUUGUCUGGAAUCCAUUUUGAUGCCAAUUCCAUCCUGAAAGUACCCAACGCUGAACUGAAGUGUGGGAAUCUGUCAUCUUAUUUGCUUUGCUAGUUUUGAGUUGGUUCGAAGGAGAUUAUGUCUUACGAGGAGGGAAGGGGAAAAAAUGGAGUUUGUUAAUUGAUUAAUGUUCCUACCAAUUGAAUCGAGUCUUGAGGACUCUUAGUAUUUUAUAGUUUUGCUUUUUCAUGUAUCAAGGUUUGAGGACUUUGUUAAGAUGUAGUAAUUAUUUUCAUUCAACUCAAAGAAUAAGUUAAACUAAAAUAUCAAAUAAAGUCAUUUUACAAGUUUCUUAAUAAUUAAAGAUAAAAUUGUUAUUUCGUAAAAUUGUUAUUUGUGAUUAUUGGAUGUAAAAAUUAUUAAGCAACAAUGCUUGAAUUCUCAAAGAAACUAUCAAUUGAAAAUUAGAGUUUUUUUUUAUUGCCCCGUUUCUGUUCUUUUUCUCUCUUUGACUAUGGUAACUAGGCCAACAUGCAAGAAAGUCUUACCUAAUUAAUGAAAAGGAAAAAUCUUGGUUAAAUUUAUUUAUCCUCAGUUGAUUUAGCACUUUUUCACAUAAAUCUUCUAUAAUUUAAAAUUAUAAACAAAUCUCUCGUAAUUUAGAUUAAAAUAUCAAAGUAACAAAAAUGAUCCUCAACAAUGGUGCCAAACGAAAUGUCAAGAGUGCUUUGAUGUAAAGACAACAAUUAUUUGUUAACGAUUGAGGUUAUAUAUAGAUUUUCAAAACAUGUGAGGGUUAUAUUAGAAAGAACUGAUCUGUAAGGUGCAAAAGUGUAAUUUAUCCUAUAUUUAUAUAUGUUAGCCACUAAAGUCAUUUUAGGUUUUUAAUGGGAAUAAUCUUAUCAUUUUAGGUAAUUCUAUCAUGAAGGGCUUCAAAGCAUGGGAGUUAAUGUACAUUUUGUCACAUGACAAUUAUACGAAAAUGCACUAAACUACUGAGAUUAAAGUAUAAUUUAUCCAAAAAUCUUUUAAAUGGAAAAGCAAGUGUAGUAAUGCCACACUGGUGCUUCACAACUAGAAAUCAGUAUAAAAAACUUCAGGGCCCUAUGUGUGGCUUUUAAAAUUAUACAAGGAUUAUUAUGAAAACUUCUUCUCGACAGCACUGAUAGCAUCUCACUGUUCUCGACCGAUCACGAGAACAGUAGUAUUGAUGCAACAAAUGAAACUUGCGAAUUCCUUCUAUCAUUCUAUCCAACACAUUUUGUGGAAUCCCGUGGUUGGGUACUUGAAAAAAUCCCCAUUCCCCCCAUGCUUGCUUUAUUUGAGCAAGUACACUUUUGCUUUUAUCUUACUGUACCUCGAGAUGACAAUUGUUUAGCCCAUUAAUGAGCUCUUCAGCUGGCUGAAUAAGGAUUUUGGGAAGACUAGCAACACCUGCAUCAACAAGACCUUUCACAUCAGCUUUUGUAUCGUCGAAAGCCUUCAGAUCUUUGAAACGAUCACCAUCUGCAGAAGCCAUUUGAGUUGCAAUUUCUUCGACACACGAUCUCUCCAUAUCCUUUACAGGUCUGGUCUAAAUGAAGCUUAACUCAUACAAACUUACUUGAAGCCUCCAUUCGAGCUUCGAUUUUUUAUACACAUGAACAUGGGCUCACAUAAUAAUGUCAUCCUAGCAUUCUUGUAUUCACUGUUAAUUGAAAUUUUGUUUUUGUACGUGUGACAUGCAUUCAAUCCCAAUAGGAUAAAAAGUUUAAACUCUGCGCGUAAGAGUAAUCAAUCCACAAAUUAGAUAUCUACCAUUGCACUAUUCUACAGUAGAUGAAUAAUGGGUCGGAUUAAUGCCAUUAUUGAAAUAGUUUUCGAAGAUCAACUUGGAACAUCUUUCUUGGUUUGGAGAAUCAAUUUGAAUUUUAAUUUUUUUUAUCAGUUUGAGGAACCAGUUAAUAUUUUCUACAACUUUAGAAGACCAAAUUGAGACUUUUUCAAUAUGAGGAACCAGAUUAAGAUGUUUUGCUACUUUAAAGAAUCACAUCGAAAUUUUUUGAAUUUCAAGGGCUAAAUUGAGAUUUUGAAUCAUCGUGGAGGACAAAUAAAGUUAGCCAUUUGAUAUGAGCGGUCCUUGACAACCGACACAUUGAAACUAACCCUUUUAAGGCUUAGAUGUUGAAAAAGGUUUUUGUGGUCGCCAUAUAAACAAUUGAAGUAACCGGAAAGAGACACUAGGCUAUUCUCAAAACAAGAACAUCCUGGAUACAAACUUGACUGUUCCUUUUUACUAGUCUAAAAAUUUUAGAAUUUUGAAGGGCUAACACAAGAAUCCAUUGAGUCAUUCUUGCAAAACUUUCAGUCCUGACUCCUGACUCAAAGAUGAGAAAUCAUUCCAAGGAAAAAAAUUGAGCCAUUUAUAUAUUUUUUUCCCCCUCUUUUGCUUCAUCCUUUUGUUUUGAAACAGUGCGUACAUCUAACUCAUCAAUCUCUUCAUAUUCAGGGAUAUCUUUUGUUAAAUAAACGAAAUUGAUGUAUUUCAGACACGUAGUUGAGGGGAAUGAUGAAACUAAUAGUAAGCGCUAUAAAUGAAAUAUGUCCAACAGAAGAGGGAGGGGAGGCACAAUAUUCCAUGAAUUUAAAGAAACACAAUUGCUUUUGUAUGUGAAUCGGUUGCAUGGUCAAAGACUACAAGUUAGCAUGCGUGCAAAUCUGUCUAAAUCAACCUCCUAGAAUUCAAUACUCAGUUUAUUAGUUGGAAUUGAUUACAAAUCCAGUUUGCCUGAAUAUUGUUCCUUAUUUGUUUCUCCUGAUCUAAUAAUUAAUUCCCUUAAUGUUAGGUGGCUUGACAAUGGCAGUGGCAAUGAUUUGUGGACACAUGUAAGAAGCUGAAAUGAUUGCACCCGUUUUGGAUUUUGACCUUUUUUUUCCUCCCUUCUUUUUCUAAAUCAUACGGACUUCUUACCGAACAAAGGUAAUUCAUUGAGUUUGCUCGCAUCGAUCAAACUUGUUGGUUGAUGUUUGUUAUAUUUCCGCCUUAUUCUCCAUCUACAUCAUUGAUUUCACUUUAUUUAGUAAACCAUAUGAUACAACUAUUCUCAAAUGAACUGUCUCUGUUAACCUCUUUGCAAUCACUCAAAUGGUGUUACUGCCUCGCCUAGGUCUGGGUUACCCAAAUUGAUUCUUGCACGUAUAUUCAACCAUCUUGGACCAUGUGGCCUGUCUCAAAGAAAAGUAGUGUGAGGGUUAACACUAAUUUAUCCUUAAAUUUACGUAAACUAUCUUCAAGUGAGCCAGAUGGAUCUCUUAAUACAACGUGUCCUUCAAGAAAGGAAAAUCGAUUACGUUUUAGAAAAUAAGAGUAAGAUAAAUAGACCGAUGUUCUAGAGAUUACAGGUGCAAAAAUAGAUCGGUCAUAAAGUAUGACUUAUUAGGCUUCUUUUUUUAAUCAAUUUGAUGGACCAAAUUGAUACAUACAUACAUAUAUAUAUAUAUAUAUAUAUUGCUAUUUUCAAUUUGAGGAACCAAAUUAAGAUGGUUUGCUACUUUGGAGAACCGCAUCCAAAUUUCCGAGUAGCUUAGUAGAAUUUUUUUUCCUUAAUAAUGAAUUUUGACAUAUUUAAUCAUGGCCAUUAAUUAAUCCUUCCCUAAUGCCACCAGAGCAGCCGGCCAUAGGUAGGCCUGUCAGUCGGCCUUAAUGAGUCGGACUUUCAUAAACUCAAAUUCAACUCAUUUAAUUUGGUAUAUUUUCGGAUUUCGGGCUAUGAGUUUCGAUUUUAUAAAUGUGAAACUCAUACUCAACUCACAUAAUAUUCAGGUUGUGAGCCUUAAUCGGGUUUAGUCCAAACUCACUUAUUACUCCUUAAUUUUCUUAAUAUAAUUACUAUAACUAUUAAGUUGUAAAACUAAUUUAACAUUUACAAGACUAUAAUAUUAAAACUAAAAAUGAACAAAUAAUAGUUCUUAAAAAGUAUAUAAAUCAAAACUUUUUCAACAGUAUUUAUAUUUAAUUCGUUCAAAAUGCAUGAAAAAUAGUAAUAAAACAUGCGAUUAUAAGCCAAUACAUCUUUAAAGUAGAAACUUUUUUUAUAAUCUUGUGAUUUGACUCCAAACAUGCUUGAAAAUUUGUAUUUGUAGAUAAAAAAGAAAUCAAUCAAUAUUAUGCCAACACAAAAAUUUAUUCAAACAAUAAGAAAAGUUAGAAAUUCAGUUAUGCAUCACUAAUAUUGGCUCUCAAGAAAGCUCAUGAAAGAGUCUUUAGAUAUAUUUUUAUAUUUUGUAAUAUAUAUAUAUAGUAUUUAAUAAUAAUAUAUUUGGAUAUAUAAUUAUACAUAAUAUCAAAAUAUAAAUAUUAUAUAUAUAAAUAAUUAAACCUAACAGAGUUCAAGCUCGCAUCAUAUUUAAUUCGGACUUGAUUUUUAGGUUCAAUCUCAGAUCGACUCACUAAAAUAUUGGGUUCAUCGGACUUUUUAUAGGGCCAAACGACCCGAACUCGUGUUAGCCCAGCCCCAUUGACACCUAGCUAUAAAAUGCCAUAUUCCUAAAGCAGUAUUCACUUGCUAAAAAAAGUCAACUCUGCUCCGUUGUACUCUUUCCACUUCCACUGUGUCUGUGUUUUUUGGUCUGAAAAUGGCAGCGGCUGCAGCAGCAGAAGUGAAAGUGCCAAGAAUCAAGCUGGGCUCGCAAGGUCUUGAAGUUUCAGCUCAAGGACUGGGCUGCAUGGGCAUGUCAGGCUCCUACGGGCCGCCGAAGCCCGAGCCUGAUAUGAUCAAACUCAUCCACCCAUGCUAUUAGCAGAGGUAUCACCCAUCUUGAUACCUCCGAUCUCUAUGGACCUCACACCAACGAAAUACUCAUUGGCAAGGUACCAUAUUUGCAAAUUUUCUGCUGUUGUGAUCUAUGCAGGAACUCUUGUACUUUUAAUUUCUAAAAGAGCAUAUUUGUAAAUAUUUUAUUUAGGUAAAUUAUACUUAAUCCCCUGCACCUCAAAAUUUGUCUCCCUAUGUGCCCCCUUAAUUUUGUUUGUCAGCACUUAAACUCCAUUUGUUUAAAUUGUAAGUAUUAUUAGUCAAAUAUGACAUUGUUCUUCCUUUUUUCUUCUUCAACUUUUCAUGUUACUGCCUUUUCAGUUUGUCCUCCUUUAUAGACAUGGGAUGAAUUACUUUGAUUUUGAUUUUGGUGCAAUUUUGUAUAAAAUGAUUUUUGCUAUGAAGUUAUUGAUUUAUUAUGAGCUAUGUGUUGUAUAUUUACAAAAUUCUGCUAGUUAAACAUUCACUUGAGCAAGCCUUCCAAACAUGAGCAAUAUAAUUCUCUAUGGGUGCAUUUGGUAAAUUUGAAGUCUAGAAAUUGAAAUCUAAUCUAAAGUCUGAAUCUAUAAAGUUAUUAAAUUGUUAAGUACUAAAUUUGAUACGUUUGAGUGUAUGUCACAUCAAGUGAAAUGAAUAACUCAUAACUUAUUUUUUGAAGCAAGUUUUGCUUAAGAAAUUUAAUGUCAUUUAAUUAAUUCAGAUAUUCAAUUUUUGGUUAUCAAACGUGUCUAAAUAUGUUAAGAUCUGAAUUUAUUAAUUUUAAGUGUUAAAUUAGGUUAUCAAACAUGACCUAUAAUUAUUAAGUAACCAAGCAGACAACAUGUUUAGUGUAUAAUAGUAAUUAGCUUUCAAUUUGUCUUGUUAUUCUUUGGUAAAGAACUCUUUGAAUUAAUAAUAAUAAUUUUCUCAUACACGGGAAUCAAAAUAAUUGAAGUGUUAUCUCUACAAUUGAGAUAUGUCACCUUCUAAAAGAAAGGAAAGGGAAGGAAACAUGGGGGGAAAAUAGGGAAAGGGCAAAGUGAUGAUAAAGAAAAUUGGAAGUAGCAAAAUGACACAAGUGAAUUAUUGCAAGGGGUUAAGUGUAAAUUAUGUUUAUUUUAUUAGUCUAUUUAACCAGAAAGAUUGGGCUCUUGUAAGGCACCAAUCAAAAGUUCCAAUUGCUGGAAAUAACAUAAAAACUUAGACUUUGUUUGGUUUGGCAUUUUUGGAGGUGGUUCAUGAAAAUUUUAUUGUAGUUUUUUUUUUCUUGUUGAAAAAAUAUACUUGUAAGAGGAAAAAAAAUGGUUGAAAAAAAAUUGAGAGUUUUUUUUAAUAAAUUGUUUUCUAAAUAGCUCAGUCACCCAAAAUUUUCAGUAUUCUGACAAUGGCAUCCAUGUGGUGUCAAUUGUCAAACUUGCAACAAAGUUGAGAAAAGAAGGUCGUAGGUCUAGCUCUUUUUUAAUACGUUGAAUAGCUCUAUCCCAUUAGAAGGAUUUAGAACUCUUCUACCAUCUCUUUAUUUUCUUUUUUUUUUUCCCUUCAAAAUUCUACAUCAUAAUGGAGUUGGUAAAAUAGUACUAUUUUCGUCUUUGAUGUUAAAAUUUUCAUCAAUUUAUGGAAAGUUUACUAUUUCUCUAACAAGAGUUAGUAAAAUUUACUUUUUAUGAGCAGUAAAGUUUUAAAGAUUAUGAAAAAAGAAUUGUAUGAAGGAACAAAGGGGAAAAGAAAGGUAAGAAAAUGGAUGGAUUGUAUUUGGAUUGAUUUUGAGAGGGGAAAGGAGAGGAAAACGGAAAGAAAAGGAAAUGGAUGGAUUGUGUUUUGCUCAGACAUCAUUUCCCUACAAAAGUAGACGGAAACAGAGGGAAAGAAAAUCUUGUUGAUGAUUUUCUAGUAAAAUGCCUCAAGCGCCCAAAUUUUACAUAAACUGGCCAUUUGUGAAACCUGCUUUAGAUAUGAAUUGUGGGAUGCAACAGCAGGCUAGGAAUGUUUGACGAAGCAACUUAUGUAAAUAUUUUAUCGUUAAGUAAAGUUCCUCUUUUGCUGUUAAAAAAAAAGAGAGAGAGAAAAACCAUUCCUUUCAUGUCUGUCAUUCUACCAAACAGCAUAUUUAGGUUUUCUUUCUUUCCCAUCCAUAUCUUAUCCAAAUAAGACAAAUGAGAACUAUUUUCCUCUACUUUCCUUUCCUUUCUUUUUCACUAGGAUGUUUUAUUUAUUUAUCUUUCCUUUCCUUUGAUCCAAAUGGUUCCUAAAAGGGCACUAAUUCAUCUACAUUGAUCAGUUCCCUAUUUUUGUAUUAAUGUGCAUGUGCACGAUUCUGUGUACGUUCAUGUUGUGCAUCAAAUCUUGUGAUUGUAAAUUUAAGUUGAAGAAAUAUAAAACAAAAAGAGAAAAUGGAUUGGGUCCUUUAAGAGUAUCAGACUUCUAAACUCCAAGGAUUACAUAAUUUUCAUAUCCUUUGCUAUAUAAAGAAGUGGGAUAGCCUAAACAAUGAAGUGUUGGAAAAACUCCAGAGGAACUGUGCCAUCCAUGAAAUCACAAAUCCACUUGCUAUACCAUGCAAUAAUGUUCAUGUCCUUGAUGAUUAAUAUAAUGAAACCAUGGUUCUAGGCCUUGAAGGAAGGAAUAAGAGUGAAAGUGGAGCUAGCAACAAAAUUUGCAGUCAGUUUUCAGGAUGGGAAGUUUGAUGUACGUGGUGAUCCAGCCUAUGUGAGGGCUUCUUGUGAAGCGAGUUUGAAGCGGCUUGAUGUGGACUGCAUUGAUCUCUAUUAUCAAGCUCGCAUCGAUACACGUGUGCCCGUUGAAGUCACGGUUUGCUCAUUUUGCCUUUCUUGUAUUUUAGCUCCACCUCAUUCUUCAUGAAACAAAAGUUUGAUCAAUUCCAAAUUUAGAAUAAUUCAGUUUCAUGCUAUACAUUGUACAGCUUUCUUUAGAGCCAAGAGACCUGAGCAUUCUCUUUCUUUGAGAUAGGCUAUCUGCUUGAGUAAUGAUAUGCUAUUUACUUACAUUGUCAUUUGUUUUCAGUUGGUGCCAAAAGCACUGCGGAUAGACAUUUAUUAUUGAUAUCUAAAAAACAUGGUACUCAUUUUGUUCAGAGCACAGCUUUUUGUCUAAUUGUGAAAGCCAGCUGCAACUGCCCCAUUGACCUCUCCAAGCAAUUCAAAGAUUUCAGCAGCUUGCUUACAUUAAGCUUUUAUGAAACGAUUUCUCUGUCUUCUUUUUCUCAUGUAAUCAGCAAAGAAUUGUCUUGUUUUCCUGAGUAUUAGGUAGAAACUUUCUUGCAGUUUAAUCACUCAAAAUACAGGCAAGUAUAUGUAUAGCCAUUAUUAUAUAUAGAAGUCAACAAUGCCAUGUAAUCAUAUUGGAGGAGCAUUAUGUUGGCAUGGUCCAGUAGAACUAGGUCCUCCGGUGGGCUGUACCUAGAGAAGUAUCACUGAAUGCUUAUUGCCAUUUUCAUCAAUUAGUCAGUUUGACGUAUACUUUGUCCAUGUCUUCGUUGAACUAGUGCAACUUUUACUUUUUGAACGUAAUAUUUCGAUUAUCUGCCUAAGUGUUAAAUGUAAUAAAUCAGCUUAGCAUCUUCUUGUCCAUUGAAAUUCUCUAGAUAGGAGAGCUCAAGAAACUGGUUGAAGAGGGUAAAAUAAAGUAUAUAGGUCUGUCUGAGGCCUCAGCUUCAACAAUUCGAAGAGCACAUGCUGUUCAUCCAAUAACAGCUGUACAGUUGGAGUGGUCAUUGUGGAGCAGAGAUGUCGAGGAAGAGAUUAUUCCCACUUGCAGGUAGUGCAUAUAUUCUGCUGCAUUUUCUAUAUGGUCUAGAACAAAUAUGAAGUUCUCAAUUCAGUUUUUGGUAUAAUCUUUCAGAGAGCUUGGCAUAGGGAUUGUUGCAUACAGUCCACUUGGACGAGGUUUCUUCUCAUCAGGUCCAAAGCUGAGCGAGAAUUUGGCUGAAGGUGACUUCCGAAAGGUUUGUGCAUAUCCAAAACGAUGGAGUUUUUGAGUAUAUAUUGUUUAUAGUUCGAAUAAGUUUCUCACUCAUCUACUUUUACCACAUUCAGUGGCAAUCUUGCUUGAUAUCCCUACUCUUGUUUAUCUGUUAUAUGUUGCUGCACUUUUUGAUGUCCAAUAAUUUGAUUAAGGCUAGUAAUAUGAUCACAUUUAAUCAAAUUUCUAUUAAGCAUAGUAAUUCAACGGGCUUUUUUUUGUCUCUCGAACAAGUCUUGAAGUCUUUAGUUGAUUCAAUGAAUGCAGAUUUUGGUGUCCUCUGUAUUUAGUUCAAAUUAAAAGAUAUAGCACUAGCUUUGUCAAAUUUUAGAUCUUAUAUUAAUUGAAGGUUGUUAUUGCCUGCUGGAAAUUUAUAUAGUGGACAACAAUCACAAGCAAUGGAUAGUAUCGAAUUUUAAAGUGCAAAGAUGUCAAAACAGGAAAAAACUAUGUCGCUUUUUAAGUGAACGUUUCUUUACAGUUUUGAGGGGAAAUGGACCUUAGACUUCAACUUCAUCAUUUAGUCUCAGGCACAGAACUUAUGUUGUCCUGUGAAACUAUGAUUUUUCCUUUACCAUCAAUCCUAAAACUGAGGUUCAUUGGUCAGAAGUAUACUUCAUAGUAGUACCUCCUCCAUCGUUCAUGGUAGUACCUCCAUCGUUCAAACAAACAAAAAUUAGUUGAUUUGUAUUUCUAGUUUCCUCUCUGAUGGGAAAUGUGUCUCAGAACUUAACUCCAACAGUUGAUGUUUCCUACUUGGAGUGUUCAGUCCACCUUGAUGCAUUGUUCUUUCCCCUGAACUUGUGCCCUUCAAACAGUAUUUCUGAUCAUCUUGAAGUAAUUAGUACCGUCUGUUCAUUGCUCCCUCCCGAUUUCUUGCAUUAUAGUUUCCCCUUUAAUGGGAAAUGUAUCUCAGGAUCUACCUUCUACAAUUGAUGUUCCACCUUACUGGAUUGUUCCUUCCCCUGAACUUUGUACACCUCAAAUAAUACUAUAGAUCAUCUUGAAGUUAUUCAUAUUGUCUUCAUUUGUAGACGACACAUGCUUCACUCCCUUUUGCAUUUCUGGCGUUACAGUAGCUUAAAAUUUUGAAAUUCAUACAAUGCAGCAUAUGCCAAGGUUUCAAGCAGAGAAUUUGGAGCACAACAAGAACUUGUACGAGCAGGUCAAUGCCAUUGCUUCAAGGAAGGGUUGUACUCCAUCACAGCUAGCAUUGGCCUGGGUCCAUCACCAAGGCAAUGAUGUUUGCCCCAUACCUGGCACUACCAAGAUUGAGAACCUCAAUCAUAAUAUAGGAGCUUUGUCUGUAAAACUGUCAGCAGAGGAAAUGGCGGAACUUGAAUCUAUUGCUUCUGCAGGAGUCAAGGGUGAUAGGUAUGGGCCUGGCAUUAGUACUUGGCAAACUUCUGAAACUCCACCUUUGUCAACCUGGAAGAGGACAUGAAGACAUAGCUUUGUUGUGGCAAUAAUUCCUUCUAGCUAUGUGCCUGAUGGUGGAUUUCACUAUAUUAAGAGUUGAAUGAUAUGUAUUUGUUCCAAUAAAUUUCAUCAUACUAUUGUCUCUAGGGUUAAGGCAAGUAAAGUUAUAAGAAGAAUGGAGUUUCUUCAGAGAAGUUGUAAUGAAUGAAGAUAUGGUCAUGUAAAAAAAGCAGAACAUAAUUUUCCUUGCAAUUGAAUGCGUUAAAUAUUAUCUAUUCUACUUCUGAAUGUUACUAGUAAUAAUUCACGUGAUUUGCACGCAAUUGUAACAUCUUGAAAUGUAUUAUUCUGUAGGUAUUAAAAGUUUUUAUGAAAUUUUGAUCAUCAACAUCAUAAUAUAGUAUUUUUAUGUUAUUUUUUUUAGCUAGUUAUUUUUAAAAAUUUUGUUAAAUGAAAAGAGACGGAAAACAUUCUAACAUAGUUUUCAUGUCCCUUAGGAUUCAAUUUGGAAUCAUGGUGCAAACACUUUUUGCGUUUUAGCUUGAAUUCUAACAUAUCAAAUAUUGAUAAUAUCAUGUUUUAUCAAAAUGAUUGUAUAUUCAUGAUUCUAUUGCAAAUUAUGAGUUAUAUUCUUAUGAGAUGAAAUGAUGUUAUGGACAAGUUACAUGAUUUACCAAGUUUCUCUGUGAACAUGUUCAUAUUAUGUUAUAUGUUUUAUGCCACUCAAUUUUCAAUGACAUCUGUAUAUGUAUUUAUGAAGCAAUGUCAAUAUUUUCAAACUGAGAUAUCCAUGCAAUUUUGUGUGAUCAAGUAUAUAACUACAUGAACCUGCAGGAGAGGUGUGAUGCUUACUCAGCAUACAUUGCUCAAUUCAUGUGUCCUUCAAGAAAGGAAAAUCGUUUACUUCUUAGGAAUUAAGAGUAAGAUAAAUAGACUGAUGAUCAAGUUCUAGAGAUUAUAGAAUAAGAUGUUUAACAGGUGCACAAAUAGAUUAGUAAUAAAGCUCCACGGAUUAUAGAAUAAGGUGUUUAACCGGUAUAUUAAAUUAAUAGUACGUGGUUUGUUUGAAUAGUGUUUUAUUUGACAAAUUUUAUUUAUUUGUAUUGUCAGCACAUUUUUCAACCACCUUCUCAUUUCAUAUAUAUCAUAUCAUCUAAAAAGUGUUAUAAUAUAUAUAUUUUUUACAAAAUUAUCUCAAAUAAUCUACUACUCCCUUCGUCCCAUUUUGAUAGUCAUGUAUUCCUUUUUCAUCUGUCCCAAAUUGUAGUCCACUUUCCAAUUGAACAAUAUAGUUGUAUUUUAAUUUUUCUAAAAUACCCUUAUUUAAUGUAAGUAGUUAUUACUAUAAACCUACCCCAUUUAAUGAGAAUUGAUUCUUUUUUUUACCAUCAAUUCAAGUUCCCAUAAAAUUGUACCAUAUUUAAUGUGAGGGUAUUUUAGGAAAAUAACAAUCUAAAUUUACUUUUUUAAUAAAGUUAAUUAUUUUUUCUUAAACUGUGCGAGAAAAGAAACAAGAUUAUCAAAAUGGGACGGACGGAGUAUUUAAACACGCUAGCGGUUUCGCAUGACGUUACAGACCCGGCCCAUGGUGGACUUUGGAUCUAUGGUUUCCGGAUUUGAGGCGUGACAGGAAUUGUCCAUAUGCUUAUAGAUCCAAAAGAUUAGCUCAAUCGAUGCACUGCCAGAAUCCUCCGUUGCAGGCUUCAGUAAUGUAUACGUGCACAUGGGCCUGCAUUAAUGGUCAACUGAAUUCCAACUCAAUACAUAAAAUGUCCAUUUAGUGGGCAAAUUUUUGUCUUCCUUUCAGGUAACAAGUGCACAAUUCAAUGCAAAUGUCAACUGAAUUUGAUACAAACUUACCGUUUAAUCACUAAUGUAAAUGCCAACGGAAUCUACAAGCCUACAAUUUAAAAUUAGUGUACCUCAAAAUCACAGCCAGCGAAUAUCACAUCGAUAUCAUUGAAACAACUACUGUGGAAAAAUCGCCCGUCCCGAGGAAUUUGAUAAUAAUUAUUGUACUUCCCUCGCCUAAUUUGGUAAAUUUGAUUUUUUUUUUCAUGCAGUUUAAAAAAAUUAAUUAAUCUUAUUUUUUUUUUCCCAAACGAAUUAAUCUUAUUGAAAGAGUAAAAAUCUAACUUAAUACUCCCUCCGUCCCACUUUGAUAGUCUUGUUUUCCUCUUUCGUCUGUCCCAAAUUGUAGUCCACUUUUUUCAUUAAGAAAUGUAGUAAUCUUUCAAAUUGUCUAAAAUACCCUUAUUAAAUAUCUUGUUAUUAAUACAUUGUUAUUAAAUACUAACCCACUAUAUUGAAUACAUUGAGCUUUUCCAAUACAUAGAUAACUGAUAUUUAUUGGCACCAUUAGCUGUAACUGAUAUUAAUUGGCACUUUGUGAUUAGCAUAAGGGUAUUUUAGGAAAUUAUUAAUCUAAAUUUAUGUUUUCAACCAAAUUAAUUACACUUUCUUAAUCUAUGUGAAAAAAAAAUUAAGACUAACAAAACGAGACGGAGGGAGUAUGUUUCUAAAAUAUCUUUACAUUAAAUGGAGCAUGACUAUUAGUUUUCUUUUUUUUUAAUCAGUUUGACAGACCAAAUUGACACCUAUAUAUAUAUAUAUAUAUAUAUAUAUAUAUAUAUAUCUAUUUUGUCAGACCAAUAUGAGAGUUUUUCAAUUUGAGGAACCAAUAAAAUUGUUAAAAAACUUGUAACAAAUAAACUUGACAAAAAACUUGCGUACCAAACAAGGCCUAAGAUGAUUUGCUACUUAGGAGAACCGCAUCGAAAUUUCCGAGUUGCUUAGUAGAAGUUUUUUUUUCUUAACAAUGAAUUUUGACAGAUUUAAUCAUGGCCAUUAAUUAAUCCUUCCCUAAUGCCACCAGAGCAGCCGGCCAUACUUCAUCCAUAAAAAGCCAUAUUCCUAAAGCACUAUUCACUUGCUAAAAAAAGUCAAUUCUGCUCCGUUCUACUGUUUAAACUUCCACUGUGUCUGUGUCUUUUGUCUGAAAAUGGCAGCGGCGGCAGCAGCAGCAGCAGCAGCAGCAGCAGUAGCAGAAGUGAAGGUGCCAAGAAUCAAGCUGGGCUCACAAGGUUGUGAAGUUUCAGCUCAAGGGCUGGGCUGCAUGGGCAUGUCAGCCUUCUACGGCCCGCCCAAGCCCGAGCCCGACAUGAUCAAGCUCAUCCACCAUGCUAUUAGCAGAGGUAUCACUCAUCUGGACACCUCCGAUGUCUAUGGACCUCACACUAACGAAAUACUCAUUGGAAAGGUACUAUAUUUGCCUUUUUAAAUUACUCUUGCUUAAGAGAAGUAGAUUUGUGACUUUAUAUUUAAGGUGAAUCACACUUAAGCCCAUGAAUAUAUAUGCUUCUCACUUAGCCCCCUCAAGUUUAUUUGUAUGUCCUUGAUAAUUAAUGGCAUGAAAGCGUGGUUUUAGGCUUUGAAGGAAGGAAUGAGAGAUAAUUAAUGGCAUGAAAGCGUGGUUUUAGGCUUUGAAGGAAGGAAUGAGAGCGAAAGUGGAGCUAGCAACGAAAUUUGCAGUCUCUUACGAGGAUGGAAAGUUUGACAUAUGCGGUGAUCCAGCCUAUGUGAGAGCUGCGUGUGAAGCCAGCUUGAAGCGGCUUGAUGUGGACUGCAUUGAUCUCUAUUAUCAACAUCGCAUCGAUACACGCGUGCCCAUUGAAGUCACGGUUUGCUCCAUUUUGACAAUUUGAUGUUCUUUGACAACUUUGACAAAGUACACAUCCAACUGAAAUCAGCACAUAUAUUGAUAAUAGAGAAAGUUCAUUUUGAUGUUCUUAACAAUUUCUUCACCAUUAUGGGCUACUGUACAUACUAAUCUUCAUCUCAGUAAAGCUGAUUUAGCACCAGGCAUCUCAAAAAGUAAAAAGAACCAACAUCAUCUCAAAAAGUAAAAAGAACCAACAUAUUUGUCUUGUAUAUGUGCACAGGUAUUUUAGCUUGCCAGCCCUGCUGAGGGAGGUACAGGUGGAUAUGAUGCCAUACAUUGUACGUAUUUCCUUUAGAACUAGAAGACCUGUGCAUUCCUUUCAUUUGAAAUAGACCACUCAGUUGAGUAUUAUUAUUUAGAAACAGUCAACAAUGUCAUUAUUGAUGUUACAGGAGCAUUGUGUUCGCAUGGUCCAAUAGAGCCAAGUCAACUGGUGGGAUUAAUAACAAUAUCAUCUUGAGAAGUUCAAUUGGCUGCGUAUUGCACUUUUUCCAAGUGAUGAUUUCAGUUGGAUGUAUACUUUGUCAAAGUUGUUCGCUGCACUGAAUUAGUGUUACUUUUACUCUAUGCUUGUAUAAUUUCAACUGUCUGCCUUAGUAUGGAAAAAGAUAAACCAGCUUAGCAUUUUCUUGUUUGUCGUUGUAUUCUCAAUUUUUCUAGAUUGGAGAACUUAAAAAACUGGUUGAAGAGGGUAAAAUAAAGUAUAUAGGUCUAUCCGAGGCCUCUGCUUCAACAAUUAGAAGAGCACAUGCUGUUCAUCCAAUAACAGCUAUACAGUUGGAGUGGUCAUUGUGGAGCAGAGAUGUCGAGGAAGAGAUCAUUCCCACUUGCAGGUAGUGCAUUUAUUCUUCUUCAUGUUCUACAUGGUCUAGAAGGAAACAUGUUCUGAAUUCACUUUUGGUGUAAUCUUUUAGAGAGCUUGGCAUAGGGAUUGUUGCAUACAGUCCACUCGGACAAGGAUUCUUCUCUUCAGGUCCAAAGCUGAUUGAGAAUUUGACUGAAGGUGACUUCCGAAAGGUUUGUGCAUAUCCAAAAAGAUAAGUAGUUUUUGGUGAAGUAUGUGUACAGUUGGUAUAUGCGAGUUUCUUAGUCGUCAACUUUUACCACAUUCAGUCGCAGUCAUUGCUCAAUAUCCCUAUUCUUUUCUAUCUGUUAUAUGUUGCUGCAUUUUUUGAUACCCAAGCCUGAGCUUUUUCUAAAAUGAUCAAAUUUAAUGAAUUUUUUGGUCAACUGUGACGCAACAAGGUUUUCUAUCUGACAAGUCUUGUAGUCUUGAAUUCCAAUAAAUGCAAUUUUUGGUAUUGGUAUAAACUGAACCUUUUGUACAUACAGGAUAGGAAUUGUGUGCUUUCUAUAUAUUUUGAAUUUUUUUAAAAGAAAAAGAUGGCACUAGCAUUGUCAAACUUUUAGAUAUUUUCUUGAAAGAAGGUUUUCCUUGCAUGCUGGAAAAUUAUAAAAGGACAGAGCAAUGGGUAAUGUUCUAUUUUGCAGUGCGCGAACGUCCUGGACAUGAAAACAGGAAGAAACUAUGGCAUCUUUAAGGAAACGGUUAUUUACAAUAUUGAGGGAAAGUGGACCUUAGGUUUCAAGCUCGUUGUUUGGUCUCGAGCUGUUGUUUUUCCUUUUUGGUUAAUCCUUUAACCUAGUUUCAUUGGUCAUUAGUUCACUUCCUAGUAGUAGUGCCAUCUCCAUCGUUCAAAAAUAUAGUUGAUUUCUAGUUUGACCUUCCUCUUUUAUGGAAUUGCAUCUCAGAAUCUACCUUCUACAAUUGAUGUCUCCCACCUGGAGUACUCUGUCCGGCCACCUUACUGCAUUGUUCAUUCCGCCGCACUUGUACACUUCAAACAAUAUUUCCAAUUAUUCUGAUAUAAUUUUAAGGAUUAAUCUUUGUUAUACUGACAGUGUAUGCAUCAUUAGCGUUGGAUGAACGACAAUCAUGCAAAAUUUAAAAUUGAAAUUCAACUUAAGCAUAUAUGUCAUGAAUUCAAUGAUGAUAGUGCAUACACUAUUAGUGUAUAUAAAAUUUACUCUAAUUUACUCUAAUUUUAAUUGUCUGUGUGGGCUGCUCCUUUUGUGCGCUUUAACCCCUCCAGAUUCUGGUUUUACAGUUGCUUAACAUUGAAAUUCACACAAUGCAGUAUUUGCCAAGGUUUCAAGCAGAGAAUUUGGAGCACAACAAGAAGUUGUAUGAGCGUGUCAAUGCCAUUGCUUCAAGGAAGGGUUGUACUCCAUCACAGCUAGCAUUGGCCUGGGUCCAUCACCAAGGCAAUGAUGUUUGCCCCAUACCCGGCACUACCAAGAUUCAGAACCUCAAUCAGAAUAUAGGAGCUUUAUCCGUAAAACUGUCCGCAGAGGAUAAGGCGGAACUCGAAUCUAUUGCUUCGGCUGGAGUCAAGGGUGAGAGAUGCGGGCCUGAAAUUAGCACUUGGCAAAAUUCUGAAACUCCACCUUUGUCAACCUGGAAGUGCACAUGAAGAUGUAACCAUAUUAUGGUAAAAAUAAUUCCUUUCAGCUAUCUGCCUGAUGGUGGAUUUUACUGUGUUGAAGGUUAAGUUGCAUUUAUUCCAACAGCCUGUAAUCUUCGUCGUACUAUUUUCUCGACUGUUGACGUUGUAAUGAGAAAAGAUUUGUAUCAUAUAAGAUGACUGCUUGGUCUUUUACGUAGAAGAAAAGGCAAAACACAAUUUUCCAUGUAGUUGAAUCCAUUUUUUUGAGCAACUUUUAACUUCCUAUUGAUCAAGCAUGAAAGAGUAUAGUAUCUCACAAAACUAAAUUAAAGAAAGUCAUCAGCUAAACCAUAUCCAUCAGCUAAAACAACUAUGUGGCAGCCAAAGUUCCAUAGCUAGCUCCCAAUUAUCGUCCUUGGACAGUGGAACCUUACUCCAACCUGCUACUACAUCUCAGACAGCAGAGAGAGUUGAAUGCACAAUAGCUACAGUAGUCAUAGAGGUUUGGCAAAAUGAAGCUUGGUUCCCAGCGCUCCAUAGGUGAUAAAUUUUGCCGCACUAAAAUCCAGCCUCUUCACAGCAGAUUUUACUGAAAAUUUUGGACAAAUUACACUUUAUCCCCCUGUCGUUUUGUAUUUUUCUACAUAACCCCCCUAUGAUUUUAAAAGUUAUACAUAAUCCUCUCACAAUUUGGAUUAAAGUGUCAAAGUAGCGAAAAUAAUCAUUCAUAACAGAGUCACCUAAAAUGUCAAAACUACCUUUAUGCAAAGUUAAAAAUUAUUUAUUAACCAAGGGAGAUUAUGUGUACAUUUUGAAAAUCAUAAGGGGAUUAUAUGGUAAAACAUUAAACUAUAAUAGGGUUAUAUGCUAAAACAUAAAUCAUACGGAGUUAAUGUAUCAUGUAUUUAUAAGAGUAAUUUCGACAUUUUUUAAAGAUUAUGUUACGAAUGAUCAUUUCCGUCACUUUGACACUUUAAUUCAAACCGUGAGAGGGUUAUGUAUAGCUUUUGAAAUCAUAUGGAGAGUUAUGUAAAAAAAUACUAAAUUCCAGAAGGGUAAAGUGUAAUUUGCCCGAAAAUUUUCUAGUAGCAUUUCCAGUCCAAUAUGCCUCAUCUUUACGCUGGACUUGAAGCCAUAAGUGCAGGCAUUGUAUCUCUUAAUCUCUUGACUUCUUUUGUCAGCCUCCUACCCUAAGGCCAUUGACCGGUUGUUAGCCUGUACAAUAAUAAAAACCUGCUCAACUAAAGUUAAGUUUUGUAAAUAGUGGUAAGUAAGGUCGAAUCCACAGGGAUUGGGAGUAAUUGUUUCUUUCCAAAUUCACAGUAAUAAGGGGGUGUUUUUGUGCAGAUGGUGACAAUCAAAGAAAUUCAAAUAAAAUCUAAGAAACUACUAAAAAUUAAAUAACAAAUUACUAAAAUCAAAUUAAUGAUAAUUAAGGAUCUAGCCAAGGAAUAACUUCAGCCAUGGUUCACCUAAUUGAUCAUCGAUGCAAAGCCAAUUCCAAUUAUUUACCAAUAAAUAGGUUAUAACUGCCAAACAAGCGAUGACAGUCAACCCGUCCUUACUGUGUCGGUGAUUAAUGUACGCCCGUUAAUCACUGCCCUAAUUGAGAAAUAAUUCUAGGUACGCUCAUAAGAUUUAAUUCCCCAAUUGCCUUACGUAUUAGGGGAACUCUAUUCUAACCAAAUAACGCACUACCAGGCUUAUUUCAUAUUAGCUCGCAUAUCCCCCUGACACAAAUCCAAUCAUGCCAGCAGUCACUAUUUCAAGGCAAUUAAACAAUUACGAAUUUAAUACCCUAAUUGACAAUAGAUUACCAAAUUAACUAAUUAUCCGGAUCCAAAAUAAUCAAUUAAUUAAAUAAUCAUGAACACUGCAAUCAAGGGAUAUGCGAAUACCAAUAAAUAAAAGAAAAAAAUAAAAUUAAAUCGAUCUCACAAGUUUUAGGCGAAUCAAAGCCUCCGUUGUCCCUUGACUAGACAAAGAGAUUUAACUCAUCCCUUAUCUACUCCUACGGAAGAGCAACUAAAGACGAAAAGAAAAGUCAACAUCAUCCAAUUUGAUUGUGACCUCCGUAGGCAAGAACCACAAAAAGAUGAUAAAUGGAGAAAAUCAAAGUCUAGCCUACCAAAAGUCUCCACUAAAAGACGAAGAAGAUCGAAAGGUCAAAAGAAAAGCUAAUCUAUUCUAGUGCUUCCUCUCCUGUGCGGCGGCUCCCCAGGAAAAAUAGAAGCCUCUGCCGUGCUCUCUUCUUUUGAAAUUAUCAAAAUGGGCAAAAGUCUUCCCUUGCCAACGAUGCCUCUGGGAUAAACUCUGUUAUUUGGGCUCUUUUCUUGUUAAAUUGGCACUUGUUAUCAUAUUUUUGUUCUACUUCCUGAAAUAAGUGCAAAAUACUAAAAGUGGGUAGAAUCUAACAAUUACUCCACAUCGGGUCAGGUAAUAAGGGAAAUUAAUUAUAAAAUAAAUGAUAAAAUUGCAACCUAUCAGCCAUUCCCAACAAUCCCCUUAUAUGCAUUGUGCUACAAAGUCAAUUUUGAUAAGGCCAAAAUUGUGUAAGAGAUUUAUGUUACAAGUGCUUUUCUGCAAUUUGGUACUUUACCAUAUAAUUUCUAUCAGCUAUGAACUAUAUACUAAGCUGAUUCUAUGAUUCCUCAUUUGGACUCUAUAAAACAGGCCAAUAGCCUCUAAGAGUUGGUAAAAGGUCUUCAACAGAUGAAGUUGAGUAGCUAAAAAAUUUCUAAUAAUUGCAUGCCAAAACUAAUUAAUACUUCAUCUGCUUCUCCACGAUAAUAACAAGUCACCACUCCUCAAUUAUUUCGAUUUUUUCUUCGGCACUUGUAAAAAGAUUAAAAGAAAAUGAUAAAGAUGUUAAUAAUUGGUAUAACUAAUUGUAUCAGAAAAAAAUAUAUUUUUGCGAAGCAUCAUAAAUAGUAAAUGGCUGGUGCAUAUCCGAUAUGAAUUCAAGUAAAAUAUAUAUUUUGGAUCCUGGUUGAGUUGUGUGUAAUUCAGUGCUACAUCGCACAUGUGGAUGUAUCCACAGGCUGAUAUGGAAAAUAUUCGUGAUCUCUAAAAGUCAACGCUGCUUAUAUACAAUAUCCUGGACAAAUUUCUUCAGAAUAUGGGAAAUUUGUGAACGUGACAAGAUUAGAUGCCCAAUUAAUGAAGAGGGCAUGAUUUUAAAUUGUUUAUUAUAAAUGGCUUUUUCACUGCUUUUGGCACGCAAAAAAAACUGAGAUUAAAUAAAAAAUCAAUUCAAGAAUACUGCUAGUAAUCAAGAAAACUAUUACUAAUCAAGAGUACAACUAGUAAUUAUUUCAAUUCUAAAUCCGUAAGGAGAGUUGGAGGUGUCGAUCACAAGUCAAUUAUAUUGACCUGUCCAAAUCCGUCAACUAAUAAACCACCCAAACCCAUCCAUUAAAUUUUAAAUGGGUCUAAAUGAAUACCAAAUUAUAUCCAUUUAAUUGCUAGAUAGUGGGUUAACUCAACUCACCCAUUUAUACCCAUUCAGAAAUAAUUAUACAUUUAAAUUCAAUUUUUAGUAAGUGUUAAGGAGAUAAAUUUGAAAUUCCUACCAAUCUAAUAACAAUAAAAUACCAUUAUUUAAUGUUAAAUAACAUGUGAAAUUUUUUUUAAAAAAUAAGUAAAAUUUCAAAUGAAUCAUAAAUGGGUAAUUGAGCUUACCCAACUCAUUUAUUUCAAUAGAUAUAAUGGGUUGACCCAAUUAUGACUCGUCCAAAUAACCUAUUUUGACACCUCUAAGGAGAGUAUCCACCAUAGAGUAAUAUAUUCUUCGCAACGCUAGCUUCAACAUGCUAUCAAAACCCUUGGCUUUUAGAAAAUUGCUUAAGAUAUUCGGAAUAGAAUUAUACAAUAUUCUAUAAACACACACUUUCGGUUAACAUGUUAGGUUGGAAUAAACUUGUGUAAAUACUUGAAGCCUGAAAAUUAAGUUAUCAAAUAAUCUUGUUCAAGUAAAGCUUGAUUUCUUUUGACCUCAAAAGGAUGGAUAACUCCAACGCCAAAGAUAUUGCAAAUCAUUCCACCAUAGUGAUCGUUUCAAAGAGCUCAAGGCUUUUGAUGAUGGCAAAGCUGGUGUGAAAGGCCUUGUUGAUGCAGGGAUUACUAAUCUUCCCAGAAUCUUCGUUCGGCCUCCUGAAGAGCUCAUCGAGGAGAAGAAUAUUGGCCAUCUCCAGGUACAAGUUCCAGUCAUAGAUCUCAGUGGCAUAUAAGAUGGAGAUAAAAGCAAUAGUAUAAUUGAUGAAAUAAGACAAGCAUCGGAGGAAUGGGGAUUUUUCCAAGUAAUCAAUCAUGGGAUUCCACAAAGCCUGUUGGAUGAAAUGAUUGAUGGAGUGCACAGGUUUCACGAGCAAGAUGCUGAGGUGAAAAAGCAAUACUAUUCUCGUGAUCUGCUGAGAAUGGUGAGAUAUUUUAGCAAAUCUCCACCUUGACUUGAAUCUUCUCAGAAACAGAUAUAACAGACGUACUGAUGAAGUGUCAGACGUACUCAAAGUCUUCUUUUACCAUCAGAAUUGUCUCUAAGUACCAUCAGAAUGCCCAUAAGGGCUAUCAGAAACUUAGGACAUUUAGCAAAUCCAAACAAUGUUUGAACUUGCUAUGAGGAACCGACUUGGUGAACAUAUCAGCAGGAUUGUCAGCAGUGCCAAUUUUCUUCACCUUGAUCCUUGUCUCAGAUCUCAAGAAGUGAUAUCGGACAUAAAUAUGUUUAGUGCUCUCAUGAUGAACUUGAUUCUUGACUAGACAUAUUGCACUGAGACUAUCACAAUAUAUAUUAGCCUGAUCCUGAUGUAGGCCAAGAUCUCCAACUAGCCCAUUUAACCAAAUUUUCUCUUUAACAGCCUCCGUCAGUACCAUAUACUCUACCUCAGUAGUGGACAGAGUCACUGUAAGUUGUAGAGUUACUUUCCAACUAACUACAGAUUGCCCAAGAGUAAAAACAUAACCAGUCAUCGACCUCCUACUAUCAACAUCUCCAGCAUAAUCAGAAUCUGAAUAGCCUGUAACCAAACACUCUGUAUCACCUCUAUAGAUGAGACCAACAUCAGAUGUACUCCUCAAGUACCGAAAAAUUCGCUUUAUGGCCAGCCAGUGCUCCUUCCCAGGAUUAGCCAUAAAUCUGCUAACAACACUGACUACAUGUGCCAGAUCAGAUCUAGUACAGACCAUGACAUACAUCAAACUACCCACUGCACUAGAAUAGGGAACUUUAGCCAUAUACUCUAUCUUGGCUUCUGACUGUGGUGUGAGUAUAACUGAUAGUUGAGCAUUCGGUGCACUCGAAGUAUUCAAGGGUUUUUCUGUAGACAUGCCAAAUCUGGAUAGUACCUUCUCAAUAUAACUCUUCUGUGAUAAGAAAAGUUUCUUCUGACUUCUAUCCCUGAAAAUCUCCAUUCCCAGAAUUUUUUGUGCUGCACUUAAGCCUUUCAUCUCAAACUCUGCACUGAGAAGACUUUUCAACUUUUGUAUAUCAGCUUUGUUCCUUGCAGCUAUGAGCAUAUCAUCUAUAUACAAAAUCAAGUAGAUCAUCGAACCAUUUUUAAGUUUGUUGUGAUAUACACAACAAUCAUACUGACUUCUACUGUAGCCGAGCUCAAUCAUGUAGCCGUCAAAUCUUUUGUACCACUGCCUUGGGGACUGCUUUAAUCCAUACAAGGAUUUCUUCAACUUGCAUACAUAAUCUUCUUUUCCCGGAAUAUGAAAUCCAUAUGGUUGAGUCAUAUAAAUCUCGUAAUCUAACUCUCCAUGUAGGAAAACUGUCUUCACGUCUAGCUGCUCAAGUUCUAAGUCCUGAUGUGCAACCAUUGCUAGUAGCACCCUGAUAGAAGUGUGUCUGACCACUGGUGAGAAAAUCUCAUUGUAGUCUACUCCUUCUCUUUAAGUGAACUCUCUUGCAACAACACGUGCUUAAUACUUGAUGCCCUCAGCUGGAGAAAUUCCUUCAUUCCUUUUAAAGACCCAUUUGCAAGUCACAACCUUUCUCUGCUGGCUGUUUGACUAAUUCCCAAGUGUCGUUCUUGUGUAACGACUUCAUUUCAUCACCCAUUGCAGCAAGCCAUUGAACUGACUCACUGCCUGAAAUAGUUUCUUUAUAGGUAGAGGGUUCAGGAGAAUCCACCUCCUCAACAACCUGAAAUGCAUAACCUACAAAAUCCCGAUACCUGCUGGGAGCUCGUACUCCCAUUCUCCUCGCACGAUCAUAAGCAAUACCGUGCUGCUGAGUUUCUGACACAGUAUGGGAUAUAGGUGCCAAUCUUUCUGCUGAUGUUAGUUCUGGAAACUCUACUUCUGCAGGAGGUUCAGUUUCAAAGGAUAGCUGUUGAUGAUCACCAAAUUGCUACUGUGAUUCAAAAUCAUUUUGAAUGAUUUGUAGCUCCACCUGUUUAUCAACACCUGCACUUUCUUCAACAACAGUCUUCACAGGGAGUUAAGUAUAUAGUUUUCAUAAAAAAUUACACUUCUGCUAAGUAUAACUUUCUAUUUUGAGGGUGACCAGAUUCUAUACCCUUUAACUCCGUCUCCAUAUCCCAGAGACACUCCUUUUUUAGCCCUUGGUUCUAGUUUGCCCUCACUGACAUGAUAAUAUGCAGUACAACCAAAAGCCUUCAAAUUUGAGUAAGUAGGGGACAUACCAGACCACACUUUAUAAGGUAUCUUGCAGUCUAUACCUGUAUGAGGUGCACGAAUGAUCAAGAAGCAGGUUGUGCUCACUGCUUCCGCCCAGAACCUCCUUGGCAACUCAGCAUUGAAGAGCAUACACCGUGCUCUCUCUAAAAGUGCCUGAUUCAUGCAUUCUGCUACACCGUUUUGUUGUGAUGUGUGUCGAACUGUGUGAUGCCGAGCAAUUCCUUCAUCUUUGCAGAACUCAUCAAACUCCUUUGAACAGAAUUCCAGACCAUUAUUAGUUCUCAGCCUUUUGAUCUUCUUUCCAGUUUGAUUCUCCACUAAGACCUUUCACUGUUUGAAGUUCUUGAAAGCUUCACCUUUUUGCUUCAUAACGAUUACCCAAGUCAUUCUUGAAUAAUCAUCAAUCAUGGAUAAAAAAUACCGACAGCCUCCCAAAGACUCAACUCGUGAUGGGCCCCAACAGUCAGAAUGGAUGUAAUCAAGUAUGCCUUUUGUCCUGUGAAUUGCCUUUCCAAACUUUCUGCAAUGUAGUUUACCGAAAGUACAAUGUUCACAGAAUCCAAAACCGAUGACCUUGUGGCCUUCUAGAAGAUUACGUUUAGACAGAAUCUGCAUCCCCCUUUCGCUCAUAUGACCAAGCCUAAUGUGCCACAACUUGGUCAUAUCAGACCUGCGAUCUUCAGAAGAUGCAACAGCAGCAGCGGCAGAACCUGUUAGCGUAGAACCCUGUAAAAUGUACGAGGUGUCAUGCUUAACUCCUUUGAAAACCACUAAUGAACCUUUACCGAUGCACAACUCUCCACUUCCUUCGCUGAACCUAAAACCCUUACUGUCAAGAGUACUAAGUGAUAUAAGAUUCUUCGUCAUUUUGGGGACGUGCUUGACUUCGUUCAGUGUGGCAAUUUUUCCAAUAUGUGUCCUGAUCUUAAUCGAACCGAUCCCAACAGCCUUGCAAACAGUGCUAUUAGCCAUCACGACAUUCCCGCCAUCUAUCUGCUCAUAUGUUGUAAACCAUUCCCUAUUUGGACAUAUGUGAUAGGACGCCCCAGAAUCAAGAAUCCACACAUCAGAGUGAUGUGUUGGUUCAUCUGCAAUUAGGGCAAGGUUUUCUUCUGAAUUUUUCGCUUCCUUUUCUGCAACUGAAGCUAAAGCAUGUUAUUUUUCCUGCUGCUUCUUCUUCUUGGGACAAUCAGAUUUCCAAUGACCCUUUUCCUUGCAGUAGUUACAGACAUCAUCCGGCUUGGGACCUUGAGAAAACUGCUUCUUGUUUCCGGACUGCUGACAACUAGCCCAACAGCCUGAUUAUCUGUAACAUUACCAGCCGCUUUAUGGAUCAACUCUCUACUAUGCAGUGUUGAUCUUAUUUCUUCUAAAAUCACUGUAUCUUUACCGCCAAUAAAGGACUGAACAAAAUUCUCAUACGAUAACGGUAGAGACACUAACAGAAUCAACGCGGCAUCCUCAUCCUCAAUUUUAACAUUAAUAUUAUGCAACUCAAGCAGAAUCGUAUUUAAUUGAUCUAAAUGUUCUCGAAGAGGAGUACCUUCCUGCAUACGCAGACCAAACAGACGUUGCUUUAAGAGCAACUUGUUGGUCAAAGACUUUGUCAUAUAGAGAUUUUCAAGUUUAACCCAUAAACCCGCAGCAGUUUCUUCACCGGCGACCUCAGUGAUGACAUCAUCUGCCAGGCACAGCAUGAUUGUCGAGUGAGCCUUUUCCUCCAGACUCAUCGACUCUUCAUCAACGGAAUCCGAUUUCUUCUUCAUCAGCGGACUCCACAGACCCUGUUGCUUUAACAGAGCCCGCAUCUUGAUCUACCACAGACUGAAACUAUUUCUCCCGGUGAACUUGUCGAUCUUGAUGUUCAAAAAAGACAUGUUGUUGCGUGAUCCGAGCCCUAGGACAAACCUAGAGCUCUGAUACCAGUUUGUUAAAAUCGAUGCAGCGGAACGGAAAGAACAAACAAGAACAAGGGGAAAUUAGAUUUUUUAUUAGGGUUCGGAAUGUAUCAGAUGUUAUUUGUACAGAAUGGAUAUAAGGUAUAUAUAUACAACCAAAAAACCAAAAGCGAGACCCCCAACGGGGGUCGAAGAUCUGAUUUAAGGCAUUUCAACAUAUCUGAUACAACUAUUCUCAAAUGAACUGCCUUCGUUAACCUAUUUACAAUCACACAAAUGGUGUUACUGCCUCGCCUAGGCCUGGGUAGCCCAAAAUUGACUCUUGCAUAUAUAUUCAACCAUCUUGGACCAUGUGACCUGCAUCAAAGAAAAGUAGUGUGAGGGUUAACAGUAAUUUAUCCUUAAAUUUACGUAAAAUACCUUCAAGUGAACCAGAUGGAUCUCUUAAUACAACGAACUAGUUCGUAUUUGAGUUUGUCAAAUCUUGAUCAGGAGUCAGGAAAAGAAUUAGUGCUUGGCUCUUAUUCAAAAUUUGGUACCUAACCAGCAGAUAUUUCUUCACUGAUGAACAAGAGUGGGAUUUUUUGUUUUCACUUGAUUAAUCUUAGUGCAUAUGUGGAACUAGGCAAGGCCCGUUUGGCACUAAAAUAAGCAUAUUCACAUGAGUCUGGAGGCCCUUCAUGCCCCUCUUCUCCUUUUCUAAGUAGAUCUAUUGAUUUUUUUCAUCUUGAAUACAUUACAUAAGUGGUUAGAACCUUUUAGCAUGGACAUACAUGUAAAUUGUGCCAGGUGAGUAUGCGACAAUGAAAAUUACAAUGAGUCCAUUAUAAGGAUAGCAUUAUUUGGAGGGGGAAAAAAAUCUACUUUAGCAUUUUUUUUUUUUUAAGAACAUGAGAGAUCACAAUGAAAUCUGGAUACCUGAGUGGACCCAGAACAAAAAUCAUACACAAAUAUUUUAUGUUAUGCAGUGCUUGCAAAAAAAAAUUGGGAUAAAUUAUCUUUUAUCCUUUUGUAGUUUGGUACUUUGCCACAUAAUUUCUCUUUCGUAUAGAGUAUUGGCAAAUUAAUCCGCUAUGAACUAUGUACACAAUUAGAGCACAUACAGUGAAAUAUCCAUGAGCAAAGUCCGUUUUCAUAUGUUUUCUACUAAAUUCAAAGCAUAAAGCAGUGCGCAUUUUUAAGUUACAGGGAGUUUAUCUUCAAGAGCACUUAACCAUAGGGGGUGUAUGAGGUAUUUGCCUGUAAAAAAAUAUCCAUGUGAUGUGUGAAAUGAGUUUAUAUUAUGAAAAUUUUUAAAUGACAAUGAAUUGGAUAGUAGGAGCCAUAGCCCUAUUGUGUUCAAGUAUAGUGAAUUCCAACAGUUUGUCCAACCUUUAACUCAUGUUUAUGUUAUGUUCAUGUGAUCCUUUGAUCGCCUUCUUAGACGGGGUUAAUUUCUAAAUUGAGUACUUAAAAGAUGGCUAUUACUUGAACUUGUUUAUAAGUUAUAUUCUUAUGAUAUGAAACGAUGUUAUGGACAUCUUACAUGAUUUACCAAUGCUGUGUUUGGAUUGAUCAUUUUUUCAAAAACAAGUUUUUCAAAUACAAUACACAAUAAUUCAAAAAACAUAUCAUCCAUCCAAUAUAUUAAAUAUUUCAAAAAAAUUUUAUAGUAAAAAUUUUUCGUACACACUACUACAGUAAACUUUUUUAAAAACACCCCUGAAAACAGUUAAUCCAAACGGAGCGCAAGUUUUUCUGUGAAUAUGUUCAUAUUAUGUUAUAUGUUUUAUGCCACUCAAUUUUCAAUGAAAUAUGUAUACGUAUUUAUGAAACAAUGUCAAUAUUUUCAAACUGAGAUAUUCAUGCAAUCUUGUGCGAUCAAGUAUAUAACUACAUGAUCCUGCACGAGAGGUGUGUUGCUUACUAAGCAUACAUUGCUCAAUCCAUGUGUCCUUCAAGAAAGGAAAAUCGUUUACGCCUUAGAAAACUAAGAGUAAAAUAAAUAGACUGAUGAUCAAUUUCUAGAGAUUAAAGAAUAAGGUGUUUGACUGGUGCACAAAUAGAUUGGUAAUAAAGCUCUAAGGAUUAUAGAAUAAGGUGUUUAACAUGUAUAUUAAAUUUUCAACCACUUUUUUAACUCACAUACAUCAUAUAAUCUAAAAAGUAUUACAGUAAAUUUAUUUUUUUUUACAAAAUUAUCUCAAAUAAUCUAUUAUCUAAACACGCUAAUGGUUUCACAGAUACAAUGUAUGACGUUACAGAUCCGACCUAUGGACUUGGUUUCUAUGGUUUCCGAUAGAGGUGGCAAUAUGGAUAAAUUGUUCAUAAUUGGUUUUGAUUUAAUGGAUGGUGAAUGAAAUUUAUCCAAUCCAUUUAGAUCCGUUUAAUAAAUGGAUCUAAAUGGAUUAAAUAAAAACUAAUUAUCCAUUUAUAAUUCAUUUAAAUAUUUUGGUUACUUUUUUUUGUAUUGCCAUCACAGACUAAGACAAGCAUCCUACAAUAUCUGCAUCGGCAUCGUGAAGAGUAGUCAUCAUAUGAAGAGCCACAAAGGAAGCAGCUGCCUAAAACAUUCGAAUCUAAGCUCCCAACAGUGGUAUUACACAGCUUACAAUUUUGGGGUUCAAUAGGAAAGAAGUUCGGAAGAAACGAAAAGGAAAAAGAAAAAAAAAAUCCAUCACUUCAAAAACCAUUCACCUUUAAUGUUUGUCCGAAAGUUACUGUUUGGUGAAUGUGUAGCUACAUUUGCCUGAAUGCCGGCCAUGGAUUUUGAAGAUGAGUAUUUAUAGAAAUGUCACAUGCAUAUUAGGUGUUUGUGAGAAUGAUUGUUUGAAAGAUGAGUAUUUGUAGUUGGGUUCUUUGCCUGGGAUUGAGUUGAAAAACAUGCAACAAGAAAUAUAUGGUUUUUAGUCAUUUCCUUUCUGUUUCUUUUAUUUGAUUUUUAAGUAAAUGGAUAUAUAUGGAUUUUGUAGAUAAUCCAUAUAAAUCUAUUUAAUUUAAUGAUUUUAUUUUGAUCAACCAUUUAAAACUAAUACUAUAAAUGAAUAAUUCAAAUCCAUUUAAUUAUGGAUUAUAUGGAUGGAUAAAUAGAUCUCAAUCCAUAUUAAUUACCACCUCUAGACUUUCCGGAUUUGAGGCGUGACAGGAUUUGUCCAUAUGCUUACAGAUCUAAAAGAUUAGCUCAAUCGAUACACUGCCAGAAUCCCUCCAUUGCAGGCUUAAGUUAUGUAUACGUGCACAUGGGCCUGCAUUAAUGGUCAACUGAAUUCCAACUCAAUACAUAUAAUAUUUUAGAGCGCAAAUGCACAAUUUUUUUUUGUUUUCCUUUCAGGUAACAAGUGUACAAUUCUAUAUAAUUGUCAACUGAAUUUGAUACAAACUUACCGUUUAAUCAUUAAUGUAAAUGCCAACGUAAUCUACAAGCCUACAAUUUAAAAUUAGUGCACAUCAAAAUCACAGCCAGCGAAUAUCACAUUGAUAUCAUUGAAACAAUUACUGUAGAAAAAUCGCCCUUCUUGGGGAAUUUCCUAAUAAUUAUUGUACUUUCUUCUUCUCAAUUUGGUAAAUUUGAUUUUUUUUCAGGCAGUUUAAAAAAAUUAAUUAACCUUGUUGGAAAAUAAAUCUAACUUACUAUAUUUCUAAAAUAUCCUUGCAUUAAAUAAAGUACGACUACUUAGCCUUCUUUUUUUAACGGACCAAAUUGAUAUAUAUAUAUAUAUAUAUAUAUAUAUAUAUAUAUAUAUAUAUUUUGUCGGACCAAUAUGAGAGUUUUUCAAUUUGAGGAACCAAAUUAAGAUGGUUUGCUACUUUGGAGAACCACAUCGAAAUUUCAGAGUUGCUUAGUAGAAGUUCUUUUCUUAACAAUGAUUUCUGACAUACUUAAUCAUGGCCAUUAAUUAAUCCUUCCCUAAUGCCACCAGAGCAGCCGGCCAUACUUCAUCCAUAAAAAGCCAUAUUCCUAAAGCACCAUGCACUUGCUAAAACAGUCAACUUUGCUCCGUCCUACUCUUUCCAUUUCCACUGUGUCAGUGUUUUUUGUCUGAAAAUGGAAGCGGCAGCAGCAGCAGCACCAGCAGAAGUGAAAGUGCCAAGAAUCAGGCUGGGCUCACAAGGUUGUGAAGUUUCAGCUCAAGGGCUGGGCUGCAUGGGCGUGUCAGCCUUCUACGGCCCGCCCAAGCCCGAGCCCGACAUGAUCAAGCUCAUCCACCAUGCUAUUAGCAGAGGUAUCACCCAUCUGGACACCGCCGAUGUCUAUGGACCUCACACUAACGAAAUACUCAUUGGUAAGGUACCAUAUUUGCCUUUUUAAAUUACUCUUGCUUAAGAGAAGUAGAUUUGUGACUUUAUAUUUAAGGUAAAUCACACUUAAGCCCAUGAAUAUAUAUGCUUCUCUCACUUAGCCCCCUCAAGUUUAUUUGUAUGUCCUACAUAAUUAAUGGCAUGAAAUCAUGGUUUUAGGCUUUGAAGGAAGGAAUGAGAGCAAAAGUGGAGCUAGCAACGAAAUUUGCAGUUUCUUACGAGGAUGGGAAAUUUGAUGUACGUGGUGAUCCAGCCUAUGUGAGGGCUUGUUGUGAAGCCAGCUUGAAGCGGCUUGAUGUGGACUGCAUUGAUCUCUAUUAUCAACAUCGCAUCGAUACACGCGUGCCCAUUGAAGUCACGGUUUGCUCCAUUUCUCUUUGUUCUUAUGUUCCACCACAUUCUUGAUAAAAUGAAAAGUUGAUCAACUUCAAAUUAAGGAGAAUAGUUCAUUUUGAUGUUCUUAACAAUUUCUUCACCAUUAUGGGCUACUGUACAUACUAAUCUUCAUUUCAGUAAAGCUGGUUUAGCACCAGGCAUCUCAAAAAGUAAAAUGAACCAACUUAAUUAUUUGUCUUAUAUAUACGUGCACAGGUAUUUUAGCUUUGCCAGCCCUGUUGAGGGAGGUACAGGUGGAUAUGAUGCCAUACAUUGUACAUAUUUCCUUUAGAACUAGAAGACCUGUGCAUUCCUUUCAUUUCAGUUGAGUAGUAUUAUUUAGAAACAGUCAACAAUGUCACUAUUGAUGCUACAGAAGCAUUGUGUUUGCAUGGUCCAAUAGAGCCAAGUGAACCAGUGGGGUUAAUAACAAUAUCAUCUUGAGAAGUACUAUUGGCUGCGUAUUACACUAUUACCAAGUGUUGAUUUCAGUCGGAUGUAUACUUUGUCAAAGUUGUUCGCUGCACUGAAUUAGUGUUACUUUUACUUUAUGCUUGUAUAAUUUCAAUUGUCUGCCUUAGUAUGGAAAAGAUAAACCAGCUUAGCAUUUUCUUGUUUGUUGUAUUCUCAAUUUUUCUAGAUAGGAGAACUUAAGAAACUGGUUGAAGAGGGUAAAAUAAAGUACAUAGGUCUAUCCGAGGCCUCAGCUUCAACAAUUAGAAGAGCACAUGCUGUUCAUCCAAUAACAGCUAUACAGUUGGAGUGGUCAUUGUGGACCAGAGACGUCGAGGAAGAGAUCAUUCCCACUUGCAGGUAGUGCAUUUAUUCUGCCUCAUUUUCUACAUGGUCUGGAAGAAAUAUGAAGCUCUAAGUUCAUUUUGUUGUAAUCUUUUAGAGAGCUUGGCAUAGGGAUUGUUGCAUACAGUCCACUCGGACAAGGAUUCUUCUCUUCAGGUCCAAAGCUGAUCGAGAAUUUGACUGAAGGUGACUUCCGAAAGGUUUGUGCAUAUCCAAAGAGAAUAGAAGUUUUUGGUGUAGUAUGUGUACAAUUGGUAGAUACGAGUUUCUUAGUCAUCAACUUUUUCCACAUUGAGCUGCAGUUUUUAUCAAUAUCCCAUUCUUUUCUAUCUGUUACAUGUUGCUGCACUUUUUGAUACCCAAGCCUGAGCUUUUUCUAAAAUGAUCAAAUUUAAUGAAUUUUUGGUCAACUGCGACGCAACAAGGUUUCCUAUCUGACAGGAUAGGAAUUGUGUUCUUUUUAUAUAGUUUGAAUUAAAAAAAAAAAAAAAAAAAAAAGAUGGCACUACCAUUGUCAAACUUUUAGAUAUUUUCUUAAAAGAAGGUUUUCCUUGCAUGCUGGAAAAUUAUAAAUGGACAGAGCAAUGGGUAAUGUUCUAUUUUGCAGUGCGCGAAAGUCCUGGACAUAAAAACAGGAAGAAACUAUGGCAUCUUUAAGGAAACGGUUAUUUACAAUAUUGAGCUGUUGUUUCCUUAGUCAUUAGUUUACUUCCUAGUAGUAGUGCCACCUCCAUGGUUCAAUAUAUAGUUGAUUUCUAGUUUGACCUUCGCCUUAUAUUUGUCUUAUAGUUGAUGUUUCCCACCUGGAGUACUCUUAACACCUUACUACAUUGUUCAUUUCUCUGCACUUGUACACUUCGAACAAUAUUUUCAAUUAUUCUGAUAUAAUUUAAGGAUUAAUCUUUACUACACUAGCAAUGUAUGCACCAUUAGUGUUGGAUAAACGAUAACUAUGCAAAAUUUAAAAUUGUAAUUCAACUUUAGCAUAUAUAUCAUGAAUAGUGUAUAUAAAAUUUACUCUAAUUUUAAUUGUCUGUGUUGGCUACUCCUUUUGUGUGCUUUAACCCCUCCAGAUUCUGGCUUUACAGUUGCUUAACAUUGAAAUUCACACAAUGCAGUAUUCGCCAAGGUUUCAAGCAGAUAAUUUGGAGCACAACAAGAAGUUGUAUGAGCGUGUCAAUGCCAUUGCUUCAAGGAAGGGUUGUACUCCAUCACAGCUAGCAUUGGCCUGGGUCCAUCACCAAGGAAAUGAUGUUUGCCCCAUACCCGGCACUACCAAGAUUCAGAACCUCAAUCAGAAUAUAGGAGCUUUAUCCGUAAAACUGUCCGCAGAGGAUAAGGCGGAACUCGAAUCUAUUGCUUCGGCUGGAGUCAAGGGUGAGAGACACGGGCCUCAA
RNAcentral lists this long non-coding RNA (132848 nucleotides) under Coffea arabica (coffee). RNAcentral's name for it is "long non-coding RNA (CARA_LNC002173)". Lineage: Eukaryota; Viridiplantae; Streptophyta; Magnoliopsida; Gentianales; Rubiaceae. The record is from RNAcentral.